Molecule: long non-coding RNA, 98219 nt
Filed under: Coffea arabica (coffee)
Lineage: Eukaryota; Viridiplantae; Streptophyta; Magnoliopsida; Gentianales; Rubiaceae
Description: long non-coding RNA (CARA_LNC002175)
Source: RNAcentral
AUGCUCGUCAAACCUCAUUCGUGUACACUCGUAAGGAGUGGUUCUGAGCUUAUUGUGAAUGCUCAGUACCAAGAAGUAGAAGAGAGAAUGCAUAAGAGAGAAUUAACUUGGCUAAAGAAUUAGGAAACAAAUGAGGGAUUUUUUAAGAAAUUAAUUCUCCAACUGCCACUUUUGGAAAUUUUCUAUCAACAACUAGCUACCAAAACACUAGCACAUAGUAAGAAAUUGGGAUAAUUUCAGAAACCUCGCUUGAGGCUUUUAAUAAUCUCAAGAAGCUCCCCUCAAAAUUUUAAAAUUACACGUACCAUUCCUAUUGGUGCAAAAGUACUCUACUACCCCUAAUAGGAUACUCAAAAGACUUUUUUAUGGGAAAAAAGAAGGCCAGAAAUCCAAGCGAAAACAAAAAAAAAUCAAUUUCUUUUCUCUUUUAGCCUUUUACGCUUGUGCCUUCUACCUUUGCUCACUUUCCCAUGCCAAUCUUCCUAUAACCACUUUCCUAAUCCCUUUUCCCCAACUUUUCUUCUCUACUUCAAGACCAAUUUUUGUCCAUCAACCUUGGCUUGUGCUUUGUUCCAUUCCCUUCCCUUCUCCUUCUUUGAUUUCCCUUACAUCUCCCUUUCUCUUUGCAAAAGUGACUAGGCUCAUCUCUCUCCUUUUUUUCCCCAUAUUUUAAGUGUAGUGGGUUUGAUUAUUUUGCCUCUAUUUUAUUUGAUUUUGGUGGAUUAUGGGUGAUAAAACUUGGUGAUGUCACAUAUUAAAAGUUUGAUAGAUGGAUAUUGGGCUUUAGACAAUGAUUUGCUGAAAAAAAAUGGCCGCAAUGAGAGGAAGAGGCAAGGGGAUUUGAGUGUGGGGGUUGAUUGUUGAUGAAUUGUUGUUUUGGACAAAAUUUGAGGUUGAGUUUUAUCAAAUUUGGUAGCAAGUGGCGAGAUUUGUUUAGGUUGCGGGAAAUAAAUUGGAUUGUGGUUUCUUGGGCAUCCACAGUCGUUGGAAUUGGUUUUGAUUCAAAUUAGGGUGGUUACUUGAUUUUCCUAAUAGUGUUGCUUAAAAGCACACGAUCAUCAAAAUUCCUUAUUUUUAUCUUUUAUUUUUUUUGUGGAAAAGAUUUCAUGACUUUCGUGAUAGUCUAAUUUGGAAGAAGGCAAUCAAGGGAUGCAAUCAACAUUUAGCAAAAGCUUUUGUUGUUUUCUUUGUAAUUUUUAGGGUAAAAAGGGUAGUUUAGGUUAUUUGAAGGAAAUGAUAGUCUAUUGGAUCUAUUUUGAAGCAUAAAUAGUGAACAUAAGGGAGGUUGGUGUUAUUUCUAAAAUCUAAGGGGAAUUGUCUGAAAUUGUCCGAGACCUCGGAGGAGGUUUUCAAAAUUAUCCGUAAGAAAUCAAAUGCGAAACUUGAUUAGUACACGCACACACGACACCGCACCACGCCACGCGUGUGUUGAGGACUGAUGUCCGUAACCAACGACAAGCAGGUUUUCAAUUUUUUUUUCCUUUCCUAGAUUCAAAGAUGGUGUCAGCUUCUAUUAUUGGUGAGCAGGAGGAAAUCCACAAUAUACAUUACACAUCACCCAUAUUCUUUUUAAUUGAACAAUGUAUGAAAUUAUGGUGAUUCGAAAUUAAAUUAUAUGUUUAUUGGGCAACGAAUCCAAAAUAAGAGUUGGAAAUGUAUUGUGACAACAAUUGUUAACUUUGGCCACAAAUGAUCAAAAUAAAUAUUUAAGGUUUAAUAUGACAUUAUGGGUUCAAAAUAUAGUUACUUGUUAUGAAACAACUAAAAGUGCGGAUGCCCAUUUGUAUUCUCAAAAGGAUCAAUUCACAAUUCAUUGCUCCCAAGAGGAUUAAUUCAUAAUUCAUUGCUAUAUUAUGUAAAGGAAUUACAUUGGAUGAACGGUUUCAAUCCAUAAGAGCUAUUCAUGUAUUGGAUGAACCAUUUCAUAUGGCUAUUUAUAUUCUUGUAGUAAUGAGUGUUUAAUAGAAUUGUUGUACCUCUAAUUUUGUAGUACCUAUAUAUAGAGGUACCUUAGCACCUCUUGGGUGUACUUUUUGAUUAGUUGGAAUAAUAAGAAAAUCAUUCUCUAUUUUUGUACUUCUUUCUCUAAUAUUUCAAUUCCUAUUAUAGUAGUUCAUUUUUUUUUUAGUUUUACAACACGUUAUCAGUACAAGUCUCUACUUUUGAACAAAAAGGUGAAAACGGAGUCUCUACCUUAAAAAAAAGUGAAACACGAGAUUCUGCCGAAAUUCUGCCCGUAUUUUUCCAGUAACUUCUGUCUACUUAUUGAGAAACGGAUGCCAAAUAUUUGGGAUUAAAUAAUGGUGAUGAUGACAUUUGUCUCAUUGAUAGUGCUACUACGCACACUAUAUUGAAAAAUAAGAAAAUUUUCUUGUAUGAAAAUGAGAGAGACAAAUGUUAAUACCAUAAGUGGUAGUGCAAAAUUGAUUGAAAGAUUCGAAAGAGCCACUCUAUUUCUUACUGAAGGGACUAAAAUUGUCGUAAAUAAUGCACUACUGUCUCCCAAGUCUCGGAGAAAUUUAUUGAGUUUUAAAGAUAUCCACGAAAACAGAUAUCAUAUCGGGACAAUAACUGAGACAAAUAAAGAAUUUUUAUUAAUCAAAAGUAUCAUUUCUAGGCAGAAAUACGUAGUAGAAAAAUUACCUUCUUUUUCUUUUGGCUUAUAUUAUGCACAAAUUAGUGCAAUUGAAAUUUAUCACCUAGUAGACCAGAAGUCUACUCAUCCCAAUAAUUUUAUCAUUUGACAUGAUCAUUUCAGAAAUCUUGAAUCUAUAAUGAUGAGACGAAUAAUCGAGAAUUCACAUGGUCACUCAUUGAAAAAUCAAAAGAUAUUAAAAGCAAAUGAAUUUUCCUGUGUUGCUUGUUCCCACGGAAAAUUAAUUAGACCAUCACCCGCUAAAGUUGGGACUGAAUCCCCUACAUUUCUAGAACGAAUUUAUGGUGAUAUAUGUGGAUCAUUUCGAUAAUUUAUGGUGCUAAUUGAUGUAUCAACUGGAUGGUCACAUGUAUGUUUAUUAUCUACUCCCAACCUAGUGUUUGCGAGAUUGCUUGCUCAAAUAAUUAAAUUGCGAGCACAAUUUUCAGACUAUCCAAUAAAGAAAAUUCAUCUAGAUAAUGCUGGUGAAUAUUCAUCACAUACUUUUGACGAUUAUUGCAUGCCCAUUGGAAUAACUGUUGAACAUCUUGUAACUUAUGUUCACACAUAAAAUGGUCUAGCCGAAUCAUUUAUUAAACGGGUACAAUUAAUUGUUAAACCAUUGUUGAUGAGGUCUAAACUACUUUCAUCUGCUUGCGAACAUGCUAUAUUACAUGCAGCAACACUUGUGAGAAUUAGACCGACAAGUUAUCAUACUUAUUUUCCCCUACAAUUAACUUUUGGUGAUAAAUCCAAUAUUUUUUAUUUACGAAUAUUUGGUUGUUCGGUUUAUGUUCUAGUUGCACUGCCCCAACGUCGUAAAUUGGGCUCGCAAAAAAGAUUGAAAAUAUAUGUCGGGUAUGAAUCACCUUUAAUUAUUAAGUAUAUGGAACCAUUGAUAGGUGAUUUAUUUACUGCGAGAUUUAUAGAUUGUUAUUUUGAUGAAUCACAUUUUUCAACAUUAAGGGGAGAUAAAAAUCGACCAAAAAAGGAAAUCACUUUAAAAAUAUCAUUGAAUUUCUCGAUUCUCGUACCGAAGUAUGUGAACUAGAAGUUCAAAAGAUUACACAUUUGCAAAAAAUUACAAAUCAAUUACUGGAUGCAUUUAAUGAUUCCAGAAGAGUUACUAAAUCACAUAUUCCUAUUGAAAAUGCUCCAAUUAAAAUUAAUGUCCUUGAAAGACAAAUUACAAGUGCUAAUGAGUCUAAAGUGCACCUGAAGUGUGGGAGAUCUCUUGGUUCCAAAGAUAAAAAUUCUCGAAAGAAAAGAGGAGCAUAUGAAUCAACAAUUAGUGACAAAAUUCAACCUCUUGAAGAGAUCGCUCCUAAAGAACCAAUUCUUGAGAAGAAUGAAAUCAUAGAAAAUUCAAUAAAUUUUAUCACUUCAGGAAAAAGUUGGAACCGAAAAGAAAUAAUUAUUAAUAGUAUUUUUGCAUAUAAUGUAGCACUUGAUAUUAUGGUAGAGAAUGAGGAUCACGAGCCUAAAUCGAUUGAUGAAUGUCGACGUAGAAAUGAUUGGCUAAAAUGAAAAGAUGCGAUCCAAUCUGAAUUGAACUCACUGGUUAAAAGAAAAGUUUUUGGACCUAUAGUCCAAACACCUGAAGGUGUAAAGCCAGUAGGAUAUAAGUGGGUAUUUGUGAGAAAAAUGAAAUCGUAAGGUAUAAAGUAAUACUUGUAGCCUAAGGAUUUUCACAAAGGCCUGGAUUUGAUUAUGAUUACACUUAUUCACCUGUAGUAGAUGCUAUCACAUUGAUAUUUUGUGAGUUUUGCAGUACAUGAAAAAUCAGAUAUGCAUCUAAUGGACAUCGUUACUGCAUAUUUAUAUGAAAAUCUUGAAAAUGAUAUUUAUAUGAGAAUUCUCGAAGGAUUCAAUAUGCCUGAAGCAUGCAAAUCAAAUCCUAAAAAUAUUUAUUUCAUUAAAUUACAAAGGUCUUUGUAUGAAUUCAAACAAUGUAAACGCAUGUGGUACCACCUCAAUGAAUGUUUAACUAAAGAAGGCUAUACCAAUGAUCCAAUAUGUCCAUGUGUCUUUAUAAAAAAAAUGGAUCAAAUUUUGUGAUAAUUGUUGUAUAUGUUGAUGAUCUAAAUAUGAUUGGAACUCCUGAAGAGAUUCAAAACAGUGUUGAAUAUUUGAAAAAAAAUUUGAGAUCAAAGAUUUUGGAAAAAUAAAAUUUUGCUUUAGUUUACAAAUUGAGCAUUUGAAAAGUGAAAUUUUUGUCCACCAAACUGCUUAUACCUGGAAGGUAUUAAAGCGAUUUUAUAUGGAUAAGUCACAUACAUUAAGUAUUCCAAUGGUCAGAUCAUUAGAUCCUAAUAAGGAUCCUUUAGACCGUGAGAGGAAGAUGAAGAGAUACUUGGUCCUAAAGUACCAUAUCUCAGUGCAAUUGGUGCACUACUGUAUCUUGCUAAUUGUACAAGACCUGAUAUAUCAUUUGCAAUAAAUUUAUUAGCAAGAUUUAGUUCCUCGCCCACAAGACGACAUUGGAAUGAUAUUAAACAUAUUUUUCGUUAUCUUUAAGGAACAAUUGAUCUUGCGUUAUUUUAUUCAAAUAAAUCUAAACUUGAAUUGCUUGGUUAUGCUGAUGUUGGAUAUUUAACUACUCUGCAUAAAACAAAAUCUCAGACUGGUUAUCUAUUUACAUAUGGAGGUACAACCAUUUCUUGGCGAUCUACAAAGCAAUUAUUAGCCACCACCUCAUCGAAUCAUGCUAAAAUAAUAGCAAUUCAUGAGGCUAGUCGAGAAUGUGUUUGAUUAAGAUCAAUGACCUACUAUAUCCGGAAGAGUUGUGGAUUAUCCUCUGAAAAAGAAAAUCCUCCAACUAUAUUUUAUGAAGAUAAUGCAGCUUGUAUAGCUCAAUUGAAAGGAGAAUAUAUUAAAGGAGAUAGAACGAAACAUAUUUCACCAAAUUCUUUUUUACUCAUAAUUUACAAAAGAAUAGUGAAAUUGAUGUGCAACAAAUCCGAUCAGAUAAUGAUUUAAUAGAUUUAUUUACUAAUGCAUUGCUGACUGCAAUAUUUGAGAAAUUGGUAAAGAAUAUUGGAAUGCGAUGACUAUAAGAUCUCAAAUGAUAUUUGCAUCAGGGGAAGAAAUCAAUACACAAGAAUAGUGUACUCUUUUUUCUUCACUAGAACUUUUGUCCCGUUGGAUUUUUUUCUAGUAAGAUUUUAAUAAGACAUAUUCUUUGUGUAAUGAAUAUUCAAUGGGGAGUGUUAUGAAACAACUAAAACUGUGGAUGUCCAUUUGUAUUCUCAAGAAGAUAAAUUCAUAAUUCAUUGCUUUCGAGAGAAUUAAUUCAUAAUUUAUUGCUACAUUAUGUAAAGGAAUUACAUUGGAUGAACGGUUUCAAUCCAUAAGAGCUAUUCAUGUAUUGGAUGAACCAUUUCAUAUGGCUAUUCAUGUUCUUCUAGUAACGAGUGUUUAAUAGAAUUGGUGUACCUUUAAUUUUGUAGUACCUAUAUAUAGAAGUACCUGGCACCUCUUGGGUGUACUUUUUGAUUAGUUGGAAUCAUAAAAAAAUCAUUUUCCAUUUCUGUACUUCUUUCUCUAAUAUUUCAAUUCCUAUUAUAGCAGUUUUUUUUUUUAGUUUUACAACAUUACUCAAAUAAGAGAGUUAUUGGACUACAUGUUUAUUGACCUCUACUAACUUAUUUAAGGUCAUUUUAUAUCACUAUCCAAAGAAGAAUUAAGGUCAUUUUAUAUCACUAUCCAAAGAAAAAUUCUUGGGCGUUAGCAUUUUUCUUACAUGCGAAGACUAUUAAUGAAAGUUGACCCAAAUCUCUCUGUCUCUCUCUCUCUCUCAAUUCUUAGGACUGAUGCCAAUUCUUACCAUUUAGAAAGAAAAAUUAGAUUGUUUAUAUAUAUGAUGAGUUCCCUCUAAGUCAUGGUUAAGAAAAAUUCUUAGUUAAACGUAGUUUUAUGAAAUGUGAAUUUCCUUUUCGUUGUCUUUAUUCAUUAGUAUUAUUGGGAUUAUUGUAUUCUAAUUGCAAUGCACAGAUACAUGGAUUUUUGACAUUUUUUCUUUUUAAUUGACUCUGACUAUGUCUCAAACUCGAGACAUCAAACCUGGAGACGACUUUUGUCCAAAAUGCUUGUAAAAAUUCAGAAGAAUAAUUUUGGACCUUAUUAUUUAAUAAUGGUAGAAUUAUGAGAGUCAUUCCUAGUUAAUUAUCAAACUUGGAACUUGAAAAAAAUGUCGACAUCAUGUCAUUAUUAUUUGUUUGUUUCAUAGAAAAAUAAAGCAUUCUCCGACUCCACAUUAUCAUAUUAUUUUCAAUUGGCAGCUUAAGUGAGAAAGACAGGUGAAAAUUUUGUGCAUUACUAAUUUAUUUAGGCCUCACGCGUCGCGCGAAUGUGCCCACAUCAUCUUCGCUGUAUUGGAGAAAUUUGAGCGCUUUGAUCAUAAGAAAUUCACAAUCACAACUGGCCACAAAGAAAGCACUAACUGGUUUAAACAAAGCAUGCAAAUUUCUUAAACAAUAGAUACCUAAACCAACCAUUUUACCGUCCUGCCAAAAAAAGGGCAUUAAAGUAAAAACAACCUAUGCCUAACACAGCUAACAAACUUCAGCACCUUCACUUCACUGCCACGUCAUCAACAACAUUUGCAAAUUUCCAAGGAAGUCCACGCACUAAAGGUGCCCAUGCCCCAUAGGUAGGGCUGUCAACGGUCCGGGUCUGGACCCGAACCCGACCCGGACCCGCCAAUAUUUGUCGGGUACGAGUAGGCAUAUAGUUCCGGGACCCGGACCCGGACCCGGAACCGUUUAACCUAAUAGAUUUGCGGGUAGAAUACGGAAUAUGCCGUUCCGACCCGUAUAGGACCCGACCCCGUUUUUUAAUUAAUUAAUAAUUAAAAAUAUAUACCCAAUUUUGUUCAACCCUAAAUCCCUAAUAGUCUAAUACCCACGUAACCCACCGCCGCCGCACUCUCUUUUCCUUUGCUCCUUACCCAGCCCCAGCGACCAUUUUUCUCCUCUGCCUCCCAACUCCUGAGUCGCGCCUCCACCACCACCACUCACCACUCACCAGAUCUGCAAUUUUUCAGGAAAUUGACUGAAGUUUGAGUCUGACCGAAAAGGACUAAACGUCUAAACCGAACGUCUUCAGUCUUCCUGGAGUUUCUGCUCGGCUGCCGCCGACUGCUUUUGCCGACUGCAUGUCGCAGCUAACGUGGCACACUACAAGAAAGUGAGAAGACUGCAGUUCGUGGACGCGAUUCCUAAAUCUCCUUCAGGAAAGAUAAUGAGAAGGCUCAUCAAGGAGAAGAUGGCAGAAAUUUAAAUAAGAAGAUGCGACCAGUGGGCGUUUUUGCUCAGAACCAACACGGGUUCUGUAGGAAUAAUCAAUUCCCUCCUCUUAGUCUUCGGUAACAUAUGGGCUGCUAUUCCAUUCUCACCUUUACUAUUGUGAUUGUAAUAAGCUAAUGCGAAAUUCACUUGGGUCGGUCCCAUGGAGAUAUUUUAAAUACUAGUACUAUGUCUGGCUUAAAGCAGUAAAGGCCUCAAAUAGUCACAACCACAGCACACCAGCAGUACUGCCUUUCACACGCCACGAGGUUAUCUCAUCUCGAAGAUCAACAUAGGUAAUUAAGUAGAGCUCCCAAAGUUUGCCACAGGUUUUAACGGGUCUGAUUGCCGGGUAGACCCGGCCCGGAUUCGGGACCCGUCGGAUACGGGUCCGAUGACCGAUUAAAAGAUCCGUCGGGUAUUCGGGCCGAAUCCGGAACUAAUCUAGUAUAACGGGUCCGGAUUCGGAUAUAUGCAUUCCGGCCCGGACCCGGCCCGUUGACAGGCCUACCCAUAGGGGACCUCAGGUUAGUCUUCUUAACAUCAACUCCUGUCUUUCUAUUCUUAGGAAAUAUUGAAAUUAAACGUUAUAACUAAUCCUGAUUUCCUUGUGCCAUAUUUGUACACAAUUUGGCAACAAGGGUAAAAAAAAAAUAAAAAUAAAAAGGUUUAUCUGCAAACUGUAGUUCGGCCUGGCUCUUUUUUUUUUUUUUUUUGGGGAUAAGAUCAUCUCAGCACCCGCAGACCCCGUCAUGUAUCAAUAUUUCUGUACUUAGCAUUGGCUUCUUCCGCCUGAAGAACACACGAACCACCGAAAUAGAUGGUGAAUGAAAGUGCACUUAACCCUUUUAAUUUUUCAAAACAAUUGCUUUUAGAAAAAAUAAUAAAAACUUUUUUGAAUUUAAUUUUAGAGAAGAAGAAUUUUAAACCUUUUUGAAUUUAAUCUUGGAGAAGAAGAAGUUUAAAACGUACUUUAAUUUUCACAACUGAUGAUGAAAAUAGCAAAAUGUUCACGGAGAGUGACAAAAGUGACAUCUUAUCUUUUUGCUGACUGCUCCGCUUUCCAAUGAGAGGGUCCAGAAGGGACCACGGGGAGCAGUUGCAGGUCCAAUCGUUUCUAGUGAUUUUGUGUAUUUUACACAUCAUGUAACUUUAUUUGUAUACGACGUAAUUUUAUUUGUACAACAUGUAAUUUUAAAAUAAAUUUUUGUGAACCCUACACACGUUAUUAAAAAUGAGGUACAAAAAGUAAUUUGGAUUGCAAAAAUUUUUUGAACCAAAUCUUGGCCGUGAACAGCUCAGGAACGAUCCAUCUAAUGAACGCUUCUGCCUCUUAUCCAUCCAGAAGGGGGUGCCUCUGCUUCAUAUUUUAUCCAUAUUGAUAUUUUUUUUUCCUGUGCCUCUAAGUAUUAAAUGUGAAAGGUUGCCCACCAUAUUUGACGAAACCGUUUAUCCUAAUUGAUUAUUAUCAACAGGGCAUAACUUUAAUAUUCUUCGUCCAACCCUUUCUGGUGAUUCCUGCAACUCCAGCCGUCCGUCAAUGACCAUAAAGCACCAUUAACCGACAACUAACUAACCACUACUAAUCUAUUCUCAAAUUUUAAUGAAAUUGCACAAUUAGUUUUCAUUUCUCACUUUUAUUUCAAAUUUGGUCUCAAUUUAAUGUGAACCCCAACAAAUAAGAUCGGAGUUGAAAUCAAAGAAGGUAUUUCAAUCACCAUCAGAUAAAUUCGUCAUAUCUAGUUUUGUUUUUGAGAUGCAUAGAAAAUGUAAGCUGAUUUUUCAAUCUACGAGAAAAACGAAAGUCUAAGAGAAUAAUUUUGUCAAAAUUUGACAAUGGAAUAACAGUUGUGAACGGGUGGCCACUGGUUGGCAGCUAGAAGUUAUAGCAGUUUUAAAACAUAAUUGGAGAAAGUAAAAGAUUAAAACUACGUUGUCUACUAUUAACGACUUACAUUGACAAAAUGGCUAAAGUUAGGGUUGAAAAAUAAAUUAAACUACGCGACAUUCGAAUCAACUUCGAUUGGUAAGAGUUUAUUUCAAUUUGGUUUGUUAACUAGUCAAAUCAAAUUUCAACAACAUUUUAUAGUCGAUAACUUUGAAACUUGAUAAAAAAGUCCGUUUAAACUCGAUUUAGUAAAUAAACAAAUCAAGUUUGAACAAUAUUUUAAACUCAUUAAAAUAAUUAAAUAUGUUUGAAUACUAGGGUAUUCGAUUUAAUUAGAUACGUUUGUACCCCUAAUUAAAGCAUGCACUUUUAUAAGUUUAGGAAUCAACAUUAUACAUUUAAUAGCUAGCUAGAGGGUCAAACAGUUAAUUGCCUUAAAUUCUUUUAGCAGCCAUAAGGUAUAGUUGGAGGGAUUCCCUUGAAAUUGGUUAGAUUCUUCUAUGUGACUAAAGAAUUUCGGGUGCGACGCAUUACUAGUCCUACCCUAAAAAAAAUGGUAUUACUAGUCCUUUUUUUCUUUUUUGGCGUGCCCCCGCCGUGGGAUGUGGGGAGGGGAGUCUGUGCGAGAAUUCUAGGUGGGGUACAAGGAGCCAAAGUUCACCUUAUUCAAAGUAAACAACCGUCCAUCUCAGUUGUCGACUUUCCUGUCGAUUGCGUAUAUAUAUUACUAUCUUUUACCAUGACUCUAGAGGAUAGCUAAUUUUGCUUGCUAUUAAAUAAUAAUUUCGGUAGUCUAUAAAUACUCUUGUUCCUCACCGCUCCUAGCACCACAUAAUUCCUUCAAGAACAGCCAAAACCUUCUUGAAAUCCCUCUUUUUCCUUCUAGUUCAUUUCCAAGAAACAAAUGGCCCCUGUCACUUCCAGUUAUGAGGUCACCUCCUCAAUCCCUCCUGCAAGGUUGUUCAAGGCCACCAUCCUUGAAGAGAAGCAUCUUCACAAGAUCUUGCCACAGGGUGUUAAGAGUGUCGAAAUCCUUGAAGGAGAUGGUGGAGUUGGCACAAUUAAGUUGACCACAUUUGUUGAUGGUAAGAUAAUCAAUACAAAGUGAUUAUUUUCACACAUUUGAAGUCUUCAAAUUGCUCCUUUUAUUUGGGAAAAACUAAUGACUUUUUUUUUUGGUUGCGUUAAAUAUUUAGGUGGCGAGCAUAAGACUGCCAAACAGAGAGUUGAUGGAAUUGACAAAGAAAAAUUUACAUACAGCUAUACUGUACUUGAAGCUGAUGGAUUUAACGAUGUAAUCGAGAAAAUCUGUUGUGUCAUCAAAUUUGAACCCUCUGCUGAUGGAGGUUCAAUCUGCAAAACCACUAACACAUACUACCCCAAAGGUGGUGCUCAGAUCGGUGAGGAACACCUCAAGGGAGGAAAAGAGAUGGGUUUGGGAAUGGUUAAGGCUGUUGAGGCUUACCUCCAUGCAAAUCCUACUGCCUACAACUAAUUAUAAUGAAUGCUACUGAAGGACUCUUCGACAUAUUUUCUUCAAGAUUGAAGUACACACUGAGGGUGUGUUUCCUUUUUUGCUUGGUUUGCUUUAAGCUGUUUGGUUAAGUUAAAAACAAAAUUGAAUCAUAGAGAGAACAAAAAAAAUAUAGUGUUUCUUAUGGAGAAAAAAAUGGAGCUGAUGCCUAAAAUCUCACAUGGAUCCAACAAGGAUAUGCUCAAAGUUGGAAAAAUGUGCUAUAAUUAUGAUUACUCCUUUAUGAAAUAAAGCUGAAAGCAGCUCAAUUUCUUUUUGUUUUCCAUAUUAUUCAAUUUCGUUGUCGAUUUUUGAUAGUUGUAUUUUUUUUAUUGCUUUAAUAAGGGCUAUGAUUGGAUAUCCUGUUAUGCCAUUGGCUGUCGAUGCUAAACCUGAUAAAUUAGAUGGAUCAUCCAAAUAAAGACAAAAUUGGCUAUGUAAACAUUGGUGAGGGACUAUUUCAGCUUAAGAAAAAUAGUUGAGGGACUAAAUUGGCUUAUAAUAAAAUUAGGGACUACUUCAGCUUUGUAAAAAUAGUUGAGAGACUAAAUUGACUCAUAAAAAGUUUAGGGACUAUUUUGACAUUAACGAAAUAGUUUUGAGACUAUAAACAUUAGGUCACAAUGUUGAAAUAUCAAAACCCAUGUUUGGGACCAAAACUCAUAGAACUUCUUCACGUCGCUAGCGAAAUUUGAUUCUGAAGUAAUGCUAAUUUUAUUUAUUAUUUGUUUCCUUGCUGGUCUUCUGUCUUUUUGGUUACAAUAUUAAAAUGUAUCCAUAAUUUUCAAUUCCAAAAGUGUUGAAUAUUUAAACGAAUUCUAGAAAGGGCACUGAGAGUCAAAAUCUUAUUCAAACAGCCAGCCAUCUCAGAGUACAUAUUUUUUUAUUAUCAGGUUCAAAAUGUAUCUAUUGCAAUUUUUGAAUGAUCAGCCAUGACUAAGAGAAUAAAAUAAUUCACUUGCUGUUUUUAGAUGUGAAUUCAUGACUGUCAGUAGUCUAUAAAUACACUUAUUGCUCACCACUCUUUGCACCGCAAAAUCUUUUCAAGAUCUAUCAAACCCUCCUGUUCUUGAUCUUUGUCCAUUUGUGAAAAAGCAAAUUAAAGCAUCAUGGCCUCUAUCACUUGUAGUGCUGAGAUGACCUCCCCAAUCCCUCCUGCAAGGUUGUUCAAGGCCGCCAUCCUUGAUGACCACCUUCUUCCCAAGAUCAUGCCACAGGCUAUUAAGAGUGGAAAUCCUUGAAGGAGAUGGUGGAGUUUGAACCAUUAAGUUGAGCACAUUUGGUGAAGGUUAGCAGUUAUAUUAAAUGUAGAACCCAAAUUUUAAGGAUCUAAUAAUAAUCAAUGCGUGCAGGGUUACAGAAUUGGAGGGAUAAAAUAAAUACUCAAAAUAUACGUGGAAGAAAAGAAAAUAAUAAAUUCAACUCAUAAUAUUAUUGAAAUUUCAAACAAUGAAGAAAAUCAUACCACAAUAAAUUCAGCUGGUUCUAAUAAUAAUCAAAGCAUACAAGGUUGCAGAAUUAAAAGGAUAAAACAAACACUCAAAAUAUAUGUGGGAGAGAAGAAAAUAAUAAAUUCAACACACAAUAUUACUGAAAUCUCAAACAAUGAAAAAAGUCACACCAUAAUAGAAAACCUUGCUAAUUCUUCUAGAUUCUUUCUCUUGAGAAACCAACCUAAAUAAUGUCCUAUUUAUAAUCUACCAAACUUGUUAGGAAAGAAACCACUUGCAUAAGAAAUUACCAAAUAAAACAGAAAUUCCUAAAUCACACAACUACUAAAAACAUAACUCAAAUAAAACUAAAAAUAAAUAAAUAUUUCUUGGCUUAGUUUAAUUUGUCAACAUUGCCUCCCUUAAACCAAACUAUCCAUUGAGAUAGGUUCAACACCAUCUCGAGCAAUAAUUUCUAUGUUGUAGUACACUUGACAUGAAACUCUAACUUGUUACCAGUUAUUAAUUUCAUUUUUACAUGUAACAAUGGACGCACUAUGUAUUUUGUAAAAAAUUUCUCAGCAAUUUCUUCUUGAUCAAAGUACUCACUUAUACAAACACAUUCAUCACCAGAAUCACCAUAUUUACCACCAAUGUAAGUGCCUAAAAAUACAAAAUCAUAGAUUGCUUUCUGGCUAAAAUUAUCAUCACCAAAUAAUUCAAAAUAACCACUACUACAAUCAUCCAAAAUUUUCAUACUGUCAGUCAACUCUUUUGGAGUAAAGUAUUUUUCAACUCCGAUGACAUCCAUAUCUAUCAAAUCAAACAUUCUCCCAUGACUUUGAAGAGAGUCCGCAACCAACGAAUUUUUCAACAACAAUUUCAUGUUCUCUUCUCUUAUCAAAUCAAAAUUUUCUUCUUCUUUUGUCAAAUUACCAUUUUAUUUUUUUCAACAAAUUCAUUACUUCUAAUUUCUCCAAACAAGGUACGCAAAUCAAAACUAUCAAUUGAUUCAAAAUUUUCAAUAUCACCCAUAUUAUCAACAAAUCUAUCAUUUUUAAAAUCCACAAACUAAUUCCAACAACUAGACUUCGGUUUGAAAGCAUAAUUUCUCUCAAUCGUGUGCAAAACAUAGUAAAUAUUCUUCCAAAAUCUCUAAAGUAUUUUAGUACAACCAAUAAAGGUUUUAUAAAUACUUUUUGCCAUUAAUUUAUGCAUCACUUGAAAGAAUAAUUGUGCCUUUUUCUUAAAAACAUGUUUUGCCAACUUACUUGCGUCAACCCAACAAAGAAUAUCAUCCAAAUUACAUUGUUUGACAUAUUUUUCCACUGUUAAAAUCCAACCAAAUAUGUAUGUAUAUUUGUGCUUAUAGGAGUCAAUAUGAAAAAUUUUUCACCGUCAAUCAGAUCUUUAUAAUAUUCCAUUAUUUAACAAUUUGUAUACCUGAAUAAAUUUUUUUCCUCCAUCCUGUCAUGUUUUCUUGGCCUCCCUGGUUGACUAACCAAAUUAUUGUUGUAUGUAUACCCAUGCUCGUCAAACCUCAUUCGUGUACACUCGUAAGGAGUGGUUCUGAGCUUAUUGUGAAUGCUCAGUACCAAGAAGUAGAAGAGAGAAUGCAUAAGAGAGAAUUAACUUGGCUAAAGAAUUAGGAAACAAUUGAGGGAUUUUUUAAGAAAUUAAUUCUCCAACUGCCACUUUUGGAAAUUUUCUAUCAACAACUAGUUACCAAAACACUAGCACAUAGUAAGAAAUCUGGAUAAUUUCAGAAACCUCCCUUGAGGCUUUUAAUAAUCUCGAGAAGCUCCCCUCAAUUUUUAAAAUUGCACGUACCAUCCCUAUUGGUGCAAAAGUACUCUACUACCCCUAAUAGGAUACUCAAAAGACUUUUUUUAUGGGAAAAAAGAAGGCCAGAAAUCCAAGCGAAAACAAAAAAAAUCAAUUUAUUUUCUCUUUUAGCCUUUUACGCUUUUGCCUUCUACCUUUGCUCACUUUCCCAUGCCAAUCUUCCUAUAACCACUUUCCCAAUCCCCUUUCCCCAACUUUUCUUCUCUACUUCAAGACCAAUUUUUGUCCAUCAAUCCUGGCUUGUGCUUUGUUCCAUUCCCUUCCCUUCUCCUUCUUUGAUUUCCCCUAUAUCUCCCCUUCUCUUUGCAAAAGUGACUAGGCUCAUCUCUCUCCUUUUUUUCCCCAUAUUUUAAGUGUAGUGGGUUUGAUUAUUUUGCAUCUAUUUUAUUUGAUUUUGGUUGAUUAUGGGUGAUAAAACUUGGUGAUGUCACAUAUUAAAAGUUUGAUAGAUGGAUAUUGGGCUUUAGACAAUGAUUUGCUGAAAAAAAUGGCCGCAAUGAGAGGAAGAGGCAAAGGGAUUUGAGUGUGGGGUUGAUUGUUGAUGAAUUGUUGUUUUGGAAAAAAUUUGAGGUUGAGUUUUAUCAAAUUUGGUAGCAAGUGGCGAGAUUUGUUCAGGUUGCGGGAAAUAAAUUGGUUUGUGGUUUCUUGGGCACCCACAGUCGUUGGAAUUGGUUUUGAUUCAAAUUAGGGUGGUUACUUGAUUUUCCUAAUAGUGUUGCUUAAAAGCACACGAUCAUCAAAAUUCCUUAUUUUUAUCUUUUAUUUUUUUUUUGUAGAAAAGAUUUCAUGACUUUCGUGAUAGUCUAAUUUGGAAGAAGGCAAUCAAGGGAUGCAAUCAACAUUUAGCAAAAGCUCUUGUUCUUUUCUUUGUAAUUUUUAGGGUAAAAAGGGUUGUUUAGGGUAUUUGAAGGAAAUGAUAGUCUAUUGGGUCUAUUUUGAAGCAUAAAUAGUGAACGUAAGGGAGGUUGGUGUUAUUUCUGAAACCUAAGGGAAUUGUCUGAAAUUGUCCGAGACCUCGGAGGAGGUUUUCAAAAUUAUCCGUAAGAAAUCAAAUGCGAAACUUGAUUCGUACACGCACACACGACACCACACCACGUCACGCGUGUGUUGAGGACUGAUGUCCGUAGCCAACGACAAGCAGGUUUUCAAUUUUUUUUUCCUUUCCUGGAUUCAGAGAUGGUGUCAGCUUCUAUUAUUGGUGAGCAGGAGGAAAUCCACAAUAUACAGUACACAUCACCCAUAUUCUUUUUAAUUGAACAAUGUAUGAAAUUAUGGUGAUUCGAAAUUAAAUUAUAUGUUUAUUGGACAACGAAUCCAAAAUAAGAGUUGGAAAUGUAUUGUGACAACAAUUGUUAACUUUGGCCACAAAUGAUCAAAAUAAAUAUUUAAGGUUUAAUAUGACAUUAUGGGUUCAAAAUAUAGUUACUUGUUAUGAAACAACUAAAAGUGCGGAUGCCCAUUUGUAUUCUCAAAAGGAUCAAUUCAUAAUUCAUUGCUCCCAAGAUGAUUAAUUCAUAAUUCAUUGCUACAUUAUGUAAAGAAAUUACAUUGGAUGAAUGGUUUCAAUCCAUAAGAGCUAUUCAUGUAUUGGAUGAACCGUUUCAUAUGGCUAUUCAUGUUCUUGUAGUAAUGAGUGUUUAAUAGAAUUGAUGUACCUUUAAUUUUAUAGUACCUAUACAUAGAGGUACCUGGCACCUCUUCGGUGUACUUUUUGAUUAGUUGGAAUAAUAAGAAAAUCAUUCUCCAUUUCUGUACUCUUUCACUAAUAUUUCAAUUCCUAUUAUAGUAGUUCAUUUUUUUUUAGUUUUACAACACGUUAUCAGUACGAGUCUCUCCUUUUAAACAAAAAGGUGAAAACGGAGCCUCUACCUUAAAAAAAAAGUGAAACACGAGAUUUUGCCGAAAUUCUGCCGUAUUUUUCCAGUAACUUCUGUCUACUUAUUGAGAAAUGGAUGCCAAAUAUUUGGGAUUAAAUGAUGGUGAUGAUGACAUUUGUCUCAUUGAUAGUGCUACUACGCGCACUAUAUUGAAAAAUAAAAAAAUUUUCUUGUAUGAAAAUGGGAGAGACAAAUGUUAAUAUCAUAAGUGGUAGUGCAAAAUUGAUUGAAAGAUUCGGAAGAGCCACUCUAUUUCUUCCUAAAGGGACUAAAAUUGUCGUAAAUAAUGCACUAUUGUCUCCCAAGUCUCGGAGAAAUUUAUUGAGUUUUAAAGAUAUCCGCAAAAACGGAUAUCAUAUUGGGACAAUGAUUGAGACAAAUGGAAAAUUUUUAUUAAUCACAAGUAUCAUUUCUAGACAGAAAUACGUAGUAGAAAAAUUACCUUCUUUUUCUUUUGGCUUAUAUUAUGCACAAAUUAGUGCAAUUGAAAUUUAUCACCUAGUAAACCAAAAGUCUAUUCAUCCCAAUAAUUUUAUCAUUUGGCAUGAUCAUUUCAGAAAUCUUGAAUCUAUAAUGAUGAGACAAAUAAUCGAGAAUUCACAUGGUCACUCAUUGAAAAAUCAAAAGAUAUUAAAAGCAAAUGAAUUCUCCUGUGUUGCUUGUUCCCACGGAAAAUUUAUUAGACCAUCACCAGCUAAAGUUGGGACUGAAUCCCCUACAUUUCUAGAACGAAUUCAUGGUGAUAUAUGUGGAUUAUUUCGAUAAUUUAUGGUGCUAAUUGAUGCAUCAUCUAGAUGGUCACAUGUAUGUUUAUUAUCUACUCCCAACCUGGCGUUUGCGAGUUUGCUUGCUCAAAUAAUUAAAUUGCGAGCACAAUUUUCAGACUAUCCAAUAAAGAAAAUUCAUCUAGAUAAUGCUGGUGAAUAUUCAUCACAUACUUUUGACGAUUAUUGCAUGUCCAUUGGAAUAACUGUUGAACAUCUUGUAACUUAUGUUCACACACAAAAUGGUCUAGCCGAAUCAUUUAUUAAACGGCUACAAUUAAUUGCUAAACCAUUGUUGAUGAGGUUUAAACUACUUUCAUCUGCUUGCGAACAUGCUAUAUUACAUGCAGCAACACUUGUGAGAAUUAGACCGACAAGUUAUCAUACUUAUUUUUCCCUACAAUUAACUUUUGGUUAUGAAUCCAAUAUUUUUCAUUUAAGAAUAUUUGGUUAUUCAGUUUGUGUUCUAAUUGCACCGCCCCGACGUUGUAAAUUGGGCUCGCAAAGAAGAUUGAAAAUAUAUGUCGGGUAUGAAUCACCUCUAAUUAUUAAGUAUAUGGAACCAUUGACAGAUGAUUUAUUUAUUGCGAGAUUUGUAGAUUGUCAUUUUGAUGAAUCAGAUUUUUCAACAUUAGGGGGGAGAUAAAAAUCAACCGAAAAAGGAAAUCACUUUAAAAAUAUCAUUGAAUUUUCUCGAUUCUCGUACAAAAGAAUGUGAACUAGAAAUUCAAAAGAUUAUACAUUUGCAAAAAAUUACAAAUCAAUUACCGGAUGCAUUUAAUGACUCCAGAAGAGUUACUAAAUCACAUAUUCCUAUUGAAAAUGCUCUGAUUAAAAUUAAUAUCCUUGAAGGACAAAUUACAAGUGCUAAUGAGUCUAAAGUGCGCCUGAAGCGUGGGAGAUUUCUUGGUUCCAAAGAUAAAAAUUUUCGAAAGAAAAGAGGAGUACAUGAAUCAACAAUUAAUGACAAAAUUUAACCUCCUGAAGAGAUCGCUCCUAAAGAGCCAAUUCUUGAAGAGAAUAAAAUCAUAGAAAAUUCAAUAAAUUUUGUCACUUCAGGGAAAAGUUGGAACCGAAAAGAAAUAAUUAUUGAUAGUAUUUUUGUAUAUAAUGUAGCACUUGAUAUUAUGGUAGAGAAUGGGGAUUACGAGCCUAAAUCGAUUGAUGAAUGUCGACGUAGAAAUGAUUGGCCAAAAUGAAAAGAUGCGAUCCAAUUUGAAUUGGACUCACUGGUUAAAAGAAAAGUUUUUGGACCUGUAGUCCAAACACCUGAAGGUGUGAAGCCAGUAGGAUAUAAAUGGGUAUUUGUGAAAAAAAAAUGAGAAAAAUGAAAUCGUGAGGUAUAAAUUAAUACUUGUAGCCAAAGGAAUUUCACAAAGGCCUGGAUUUGAUUAUGAUUACACGUAUUCACUUGUAGUGGAUGCUAUCACAUUUAGAUAUCUUGUGAGUUUUGCAGUACAUGAAAAAUCAGAUAUGCAUCUAAUGGACGUCGUUACUGCAUAUUUAUAUGAAAAUCUUGAAAAUGAUAUUUAUAUGAGAAUUCCCGAAGGAUUCAAUAUGCCUGAAACAUGCAAAUCAAAUCUUAAAAAUAUUUAUUUAAUUAAAUUACAAAAGUCUUUGUAUGGAUUCAAACAAUCUGAACGUAUGUGGUACCGCCUUAAUGAAUGUUUAACUAAAGAAGGCUAUACCAAUGAUCCAAUAUGUCCAUGUGUCUUUAUCAAGAAAAAUGGAUCAAAUUUUGUGAUAAUUGUUGUAUAUGUUGAUGAUCUAAAUAUGAUUGGAACACCUGAAAAGAUUCAAAAUAGUGUUGAAUAUUUGAAAAAAAAUUUGAGAUCAAAGAUUUUGGAAAAAUAAAAUUUUUCCUUGGUUUACAAAUUGAGCAUUUGAAAAGUGGAAUUUUGUCCACCAAACUGCUUAUACCCGGAAGGUAUUAAAGCGAUUUUAUAUGGAUAAGUCACAUACAUUAAGUAUUCCAAUGGUCAGAUCAUUAGAUCCUAAUAAGGACCCUUUUAGACCGCGAGAGGAAGAUGAAGAGAUACUUGGUCCUAAAGUACCAUAUCUCAGUGCAAUUGGUGCACUACUGUAUCUUGCUAAUUGUACAAGACUUGAUAUAUCAUUUACAAUAAAUUUAUUAGCAAGAUUUAUUUCCUCGCCCACAAGACGACAUUGGAAUGGUAUUAAACAUAUUUUUCGUUAUCUUUAAGGAACAAAUUGAUCUUGGCUUAUUUUAUUCAAAUAAAUCUAAACUUGAAUUGCUUGGUUAUGUUGAUGUUGGAUAUUUAUCUGAUUUGCAUAAAGCAAGAUCUCAGACUGGUUAUCUAUUUACAUAUGGAGGUACAACCAUUUCUUGGCGAUCUAGAAAGCAAUUAUUAGCCGCCACUUCAUCGAAUCAUGCUAAAAUAAUAGCAAUUCAUGAGGCUAGUCGAGAAUGUGUUUCGUUAAGAUCAAUGACCUACUAUAUCCGGAAGAGUUGUGGGUUAUCCUCUGAAAAAGAAAAUCCUCCGACUAUAUUUUAUGAAGAUAAUGCAGCUUGUAUAGCUCAAUUGAAAGGAGAAUAUAUUAAAGGAGAUAGAACGAAAUAUAUUUCACCAAAAUUCUUUUUUACUCAUGAUUUACAAAAGAAUGGUGAAAUUGUUGUGCAACAAAUCCGAUCAGAUAAUAAUUUGAUAGAUUUAUUUACUAAUGUAUUGCCGACUGCAAUAUUUGAGAAAUUGGUGAAGAAUAUUGGAAUGCGACGACUAUAAAAUCUCAAAUGAUAUUUGCAUCAGGGGGAGAAAUCAAUACACAAGAAUAGUGUACUCUUUUUUUUUCACUAGAGUUUUUGUCCCGUUGGAUUUUUUCCUAGUAAGGUUUUAAUAAGACAUAUUCUUUGUGUAAUUAAUAUCCAAUGGGGAGUGUUAUGAAAUAACUAAAAGUGUGGAUGUCCAUUUGUAUUCUCAAGAAGAUCAAUUCAUAAUUCAUUGCUCCCAAGAGAAUUAAUUCAUAAUUUAUUGCUACAUUAUGUAAAGGAAUUACAUUGGAUGAUCGGUUUCAAUCCAUAAGAGCUAUUCAUGUAUUGGAUGAACCAUUUCAUAUGGCUAUUCAUGUUCUUGUAGUAACGAGUGUUUAAUAGAAUUGAUGUACCUUUAAUUUUGUAGUACCUAUAUAUAGAUGUACCUUAGCUGAUAGGUUGCAAUUUUAUCAUUUAUUUUAUAAUUAAUUUCUCCUAUUACCUGACUUGAUGUGGAUUAAUUGCGGGAUUCUACUCACUUUUAGUAUUUUGCAUUUAUUUCAGGGAGUAGAGCGAAAAUAUAAUAACAGGUGCUAAUUUGACAAAAAAAGAGUCCAAGGCACAGAGCUUAUCCCGGGGGCAUUAUUGGCAAAGGAAGACUUUUGCCCAUUUUGGUAAUUUCAAAAGAAGAGAGCAGGGCAGAGGCCUCUAUUUUACUGGAGGCUGGAGCGCCGCACAAAGGGAGCUUCUUCUUCCUUCGGAGGCUCCGUCCUCUCCGCAAGGGGGCUGCCGCACACAGCAGCCAUUAGAAUAGGAGCAAUUGAUAUAUGACAGAGAAUGAGCACUAGCACCAGGGAGUUGCCUUUGUUGACUUUUCUUCCCUUUUAGUUCUUAGUAGUUGUUUUACCUUCCUCGUACGUAGGACCUUUAGCAUAGUUUCCUUUUGACUUUCCCUUGAGUCUUGGGUGGAUGUCUCCUGCGCAUGUCAGGAGCAAUUGAAGGUCUCGGUCACUUUCUGUAUUCUUCCAUCAACUGAGCGAACUGAGCUCCCUUGGUCAAGGGCAAUGGCUGCGGCUUCCUCUCCAACUUUGUGUGGGAUUCGUUCACCAGGAAUGAACUAAUUUUUCUUUUCUAGUCAAGGAACAACGGAGGUCUUGGUUGGCCUAAAUUUGUGAGAUCGAAUUAGUUUUUAUUUAUUUCCAUUAUUCACUGGUAUUUGUCUAUCUUCUGCUUUAUGUUCAUAUGGUUGUUUUAUUAUUCGAUUAUCCAGGGCCCGGAUACUAGAUUAAUUCAAUAACCUGAAGCCAAUUAGGAUAGUUAAAUCCGUAAUUGUUUAAUUAUUCUAAACUGCUGGCAACUGGCAUGAUUGGGUUUGUGUCAGGGGGAUAAACAUGCUAACUUAAAGAGACCCUCGUAGCGUGUUGAUUGGUUAGAAUUAGGCUCUUCUAAUUAUUCAUGCAAUUAGGGAAUUGAACUUCUAUGGUCGUACCUAGGGUUAUUUCCUGAUUAGAGAAAUAGUCAACGGUCGUACCUUGGCUAUCGACAAAUUGAGGAAGAGUUGGUUGUUUAUCGCGUGUAUGGCAACUAUAACUAAUUUAUCAGAUAGUAACUGGAAUAAUCCUUGCAUCUGUGAUCGAAUUAAGUGAACCAUCUCCGAAGUUGUCUCUUGGCUAGAGUUCGUCAAUUAUUAUUUUUAUUGUGAUAAUUAGUUAUUUGAGUUGUAGUUAUUUUAUUUUAUUUAUUCCAAGUAAUUUAGUUACUCUCAUUUUCAAAAACCCCCCAUAUCUGGAACUUGAGAAGAAAUUAAAUUAUCCCCAGUCCCUGUGGAUUCGACCCUGCUCACCGCUAUAUACAGAAUUUGUAUUUUAUUUGAGCAGGUAUUUAUUAUUGCACAGGUUCGGCACCUGUCAAUUUUUUGCUACAUUAUGUAAAGGAAUUACAUUGGAUGAUCGGUUUCAAUCCAUAAGAGCUAUUCAUGUAUUGGAUGAACCAUUUCAUAUGGCUAUUCAUGUUCUUGUAGUAACGAGUGUUUAAUAGAAUUGAUGUACCUUUAAUUUUGUAGUACCUAUAUAUAGAUGUACCUUAGCACCUCUUGGGUGUACUUUUUGAUUAGUUGGAAUAAUAAAAAAAUCAUUCUCCAUUUCUGUACUUCUUUCUCUAAUAUUUCAAUUCCUAUCACAGUAGUUAUUUUUUUUUAGCUUUACAACAUUACUUAAAUAAGAGAGUUAUUGGACUAUAUGUUUAUUGACCUCUACUAACUUAUUUAAGGUCAUUUCAUAUCACUAUCCAAAGAAGAAUUAAGGUCAUUUCAUAUCACUAUCCAAAGAACAAUUCUUGGGCGCUAACAUUUUUCUUACAUGACUAUUAAUGAAAGUUGACCCAAAUCUCUCUGUCUCUCUCUUUCUUUCAAUUCUUAGGACUGAUGCCAAUUCUUACCAUUUAGAAAGAAAAAUUAGAUUGUUUAUAUAUAUGAUGAGUUCCCUCUAAGUCAUGGUUAAGAAAAAUUCUUAGUUAAACGCAGUUUUAUGAAAUGUGAAUUUCCUUUUCUUUGUCUUUAUUCAUUAGUAUUAUUGGGGUUAUUGUAUUAUGAUUGCAAUGCACAGAUACAUGGAUUUUUGACAUUUUUUCUUUUUAAUUGACUCUGACUAUGCCUCAAACUCGAGACAUCAAACCUGGACACGACUUUUGUCCAAAAUGCUUGUAAAAAUUCAGAAGAAUAAUUUUGGACCUUAUUAUUUGAUAAUGGUACAAUUAUGAGAGUCAUUCCAGGUUAAUUAUCAAACUUGGAACUUGAAAAUAAUGUCGACAUCAUGUCAUUAUUAUUUUUUAGUUUCAUAGAAAAAUGAAGUAUUCUCCAACUCGACAUUAUCAUAGUAUUUUCAAUUGGCAGCUCAUGUGAGAAAGACAAGAAAUUCACAAUCAACUGGCCAAGAGAGUGCCAACAAAGAAAGCACUAAAUGGCUUAAACAAUGCAUGCAAAUUUGCUUGGCACUUAAACAAUAGACACCUAAAUCAACCAUGUCACUGUCUUGCCAAAAAAGGGCAUUAAAGUAAAAACAACUCAUGCCUACCACAGGUAACAAACUUCAGCACCUUCACUUCACUACCAUGUCAGCAACAACAUUUGCAAAUUUCCAAGGAAGUCCACGCACUAAAGGUGCCCAUGCCCUUAGGGGACCUCAGGUUAGUGUUCUUAACCUCAACUCCUGUCUUUCUGUUCUUAGGAAAUAUUGAAAUUAAACGUUAUAACUAAUCCUGAUUUCCUUGUGCUAUAUUUGUACACAAUUUGGCAACAAGGGUAAAAAAAAAUAAAAAUAAAAAGGUUUAUCUGCAAACUGUAGUUCGGCCUGGCUCUUUUUUUUUUUUUUUUUUUUGGGGAUAAGAUCAUCUCAGCACCCGCAGACCCCGUCAUGUAUCAAUAUUUCUGUACUUAGCAUUGGCUUCUUCUCGCCUGAAGAACACACGAACCACCGAAAUAGAUGGUGCAUGAAAGUGCACUUAACCCUUUUAAUUUUUCAAAACAAUCUUUUAGAAAAAAUAAUAAAAACUUUUUGAAUUUAAUUUUAGAGAAGAAGAAUUUUAAAAUUUUUUGAAUUUAAUCUUAGAGAAGAAGAAGUUUAAAAUGUACUUUAAUUUUCACAACUGAUGAUGAAAAUAGCAAAAUGUACACGGAUAGUGACAAAAGUGGGAUCACGGGCAGGAAAUCCUGAAGGUUGCGUGCAUUUUACACACGGCAUAAUUCUGUUUGUAUAUAGUGUAAUUUACUUUUUACAACGUGUAAUUUUAAAACAAAAUUUUGUAAGUCUCACACAUUUUAUUAAAAAUAAGGUACAAGAUGAAAUUUGGACCAUAUAAUUUUUUUUAAUCAAAUCUUGACCGUGAACUGCUCAGAAACGGUUUACCUGAUGACCGUCCCUGGUCCAAACCCGACAAAGGUGCCAUCUUAUCCUUUUACUGACUGGCCCGUUUUCCAAUGAGAGGGCCCAGAAGGGGUGCCUCUGCUUCAUAGUUUAUCCAUAUUGAUAUUUCUUUUCUGUCCCCCUAACUAUUAAAUGUGAAAGGUUGCCCACCAAAUUUGACGAAACCGUUUAUCCUAAUUGAUUAUUAUCAAUAGGGCAUAACUUUAAUAUUCUUCUUCCAACCCUUUCUGGUGAUUCCUGCAACUCCAGCCGUCCGUCAAUGACCAUAAAGCACCAUUAACCGACAACUAACUAACCACUAUUAAUCUAUUCUCAAAUUUUAAUGAAAUUGCACAAUCUAUUCUCAAAUCAAAUUUGAACAACAUUUUAUAGUCGAUAACUUUGAAACUUGAUAAAAAAGUCUGUUUAAACUCGGUUUAGUAAAUAAACAAAUCAAGUUUGAACAAAAUUUUAAACUCAUUAAAAUAAUUAAACACGUUUGAAUAUUAGGGUAUUCGAUUUAAUUAGACACGUUUGUAUCCCUAAUUAAAGCAUGCACUUUUAUAAGUUUAGGAAUCAACAUUAUACAUUUAAUAGCUAGCUAGAGGGUCAAAAAGUUAAUUGCCUUAAAUUCUUUUAGCAGCCAUAAGGUACAGUUGGAGGGAUUCCCUUGAAAUUGGUUAGAUUCUUCUAUGUGACUAAAGAAUUUCGGGUGUGACGCAUUACUAGUCCUACCCUAAAAAAAAAUGGUAUUACUAGUCCUUUUUUUCUUUUUUGGCGUGCCCCCGUCGUGGGAUGUGGGGAGGGGAGUCUGUGCGAGAAUUCUAGGUCGGGGUACAAGGAGCCAAAGUUCACCUUAUUCAAAGUAAACAACCGUCCAUCUCAGUUGUCGACUUUCCUGUCGAUUGCGUAUAUAUAUAUAUUACUAUCUUUUACCAUGACUUUAGAGGAUAGCUAAUUUUGCUUGCUAUUAAAUAAUAAUUUCGGUAGUCUAUAAAUACUCUUGUUCCUCACCGCUCCUAGCACCACAUAAUUCCUUCAAGAACAGCCAAAACCUUCUUGAAAUCCCUCUUUUUCCUUCUAGUUCAUUUCCAAGAAACAAAUGGCCCCUGUCACUUCCAGUUAUGAGGUCACCUCCUCAAUCCCUCCUGCAAGGUUGUUCAAGGCCACCAUCCUCGAAGAGAAGCAUCUUCACAAGAUCUUGCCACAGGGCGUUAAGAGUGUCGAAAUCCUUGAAGGAGAUGGUGGAGUUGGCACAAUUAAGUUGACCACAUUUGUUGACGGUAAGAUAAUCAAUACAAAGUGAUUAUUUUCACACAUUUGAAGUCUUCAAAUUUUUCUCUUUUUUUCCCUUUUAUUUGGGAAAAACUAAUGACUUUUUUUUUUUGGUUGGGUUAAAUAUUUAGGUGGCGAGCAUAAGACUGCCAAACAGAGAGUUGAUGGAAUUGACAAAGAAAAAUUUACAUACAGCUAUACUGUACUUGAAGCUGAUGGAUUUAACGAUGUAAUCGAGAAAAUCUGUUGUGUCAUCAAAUUUGAACCCUCUGCUGAUGGAGGUUCAAUCUGCAAAACCACUAACACAUACUACCCCAAAGGUGGUGCUCAGAUCAGUGAGGAACACCUCAAGGGAGGAAAAGAGAUGGGUUUGGGAAUGGUUAAGGCUGUUGAGGCAUACCUCCAUGCAAAUCCUACUGCCUACAACUAAUUAUAAUGAAUGCUACUGCAAGGACUCUUCGACAUAUUUUCUUCAAGAUUGAAGUAUAAACUGAGGGUGUCUGUUUCCUUUUUUGCUUGGUUUGCUUAAGCUGUUUGGUUAAGUUAUUCGCAGCAAGAGAAUAAAAUAAUUCAUUUGCUGUUUUUAGAUAUGAAUUCAUGACUGUCAGUAGUCUAUAAAUACACUUAUUGCUCACCACUCUUUGCACCGCAAAAUCUUUUCAAGAUCCAUCAAACCCUCCUGUUCUUGAUCUUUCUCCAUUUGUGAAAAAACAAAUUAAAGCAUCAUGGCCCCUAUCACUUGUAGUGCUGAGAUGACCUCCCCAAUGCCUCCUGCAAGGUUGUUCAAGGCCGCCAUCCUUGAUGACCACCUUCUUCCCAAGAUCAUGCCACAGGCUAUUAAAAGUGGAAAUUCUUGAAGGAGAUGGUGGAGUUUGAACCAUUAAGUUGAGCACAUUUGGUGACGGUUAGAUGUUAUAUUAAAUGUAGAACCCAAAUUUUAAGGAUCUAAUAAUAAUCAAUUAAUAAUAAUCAAUGCGUGCAGGGUUACAGAAUUGGAGGGAUAAAACAAAUACUCAAAUAAAUGUGGAAGAAAAGAAAAUAAUAAAUUCAACUCACAAAAUUAUUGAAAUUUCAAACAAUGAAAAAAAUCAUACCUUAAUAAAUUCAGUUGGUUUUAAUAAUAAUCAAAGCAUACAAGGUUAAAGAAUUAAAAGGAUAAAACAAACACUCAAAAUAUAUGUGGGAGAGAAGAAAAUAAUAAAUUCAACACACAAUAUUAUUGAAAUCUCAAACAAUGAAAAAAGUCACACCAUAAUAGAAAAUCUUGCAAAUUCUUCUAGAUUCUUUCUCUUGAGAAACCAACCUAAAUAAUGUUCUAUUUAUAAUCUACCAAACUUGUUAGGAAAGAAACCACUUGCAUAAGAAAUUACCAAAUAAAACAGAAAUUCCUAAAUCACACAACUACUAAAAACAUAACUCAAAUAAAACUAAAAAAUAAAUAAAUUUUUCUUGGCUUAGUUUAAUUUGUUAACAUUGCCUCCCUUAAACCAAACUAUCCAUUGAGAUAUGUUCAACACCAUCUCGAGUAACAAUUUCUAUGCAAAUCUAUGUUGUAGUAUACUUGACAUGAAACUCUAACUUGUUACCAGUUAUUAAUUUCAUCUUUACACGUAACAGUGGACGUACUAUGUAUUUUGUAAAAAAUUUCUCAACAAUUUCUUCUUGAUCAAAGUACUCAUUUAUACAAACCCAUUCAUCACCAGAAUCAUCAUAUUUACCACCAAUGUAAGUUCCUAAAAAUACAAAAUCAUUGCUUGCUUUCUCGCUAAAAUUAUCAUAACCAAAUAAUUUAAAAUAGCCACUACUACAAUCAUCCAAAAUUUUCAUACUGUCAGUCAACUCUUUUGGAGUAAAAUAUUUUUCAACUAUAAUGACAUCCAUAUCUAUCAAAUCAAGCAUUCUCCCAUCACUUUGAAGAAAGUCCGAACCAACGAAUUUUUCAACAACAAUUUCAUGAUCUCUUCUCUUAUCAAGUCAAAAUUUUCUUCUUCUUUUGUCAAAUUACCAUAUUAUUGUUUCAACAAAUUCAUUACUUCUAAUUUCUCCAAACAAGGUACGCAAAUCAAAACUAUCAAUUGAUUCAAAAUUUUCGAUAUCACCCAUAUUAUCAACAAAUCUAUCAUUUUUAAAAUCCACAAACCAAUACCAACAACUAGACUUCGGUUUGAAAGCAUAAUUUCUCUCAAUCGUGUGCAAAACAAAGUAAAUAUCCUUCCAAAAUCUCUAAAGUAUUUUAGUAUGACCAAUAAAGGUUUUAUAAAUACUUUCUGCCAUUAUUUUACACAUCACUUGAAAGAAUAAUUGUGCUUUUUUUCUUAAAAACAUGUUUUGCCAACUUACUUGCAUCAACCCAACAAAGAAUAUCAUCCAAAUUACAUUGUUUGAGAUAUUUUUCCACUGUUAAAAUUCAGCCAAAAUAUGUAUGUCUAUUUGUGUUUAUAGGAGUCAAUAUGGAAAAUUUUUCACCAUCAAUCAGAUCUUUAUAAUAUUCCAUUAUUUAACAAUUUGUAUACCUGAAUAAAUUUUUUUCCUCCAUCCUGUCAUGUUUUCUUGGCCUCCUUGGUUGACUGACCAAAUUAUUGUUGUAUGUAUACCCAUGCUUGUCAAACCUCAUUCGUGUACACUCGUAAGGAGUGGUUUUGAGCUUACUGUGAAUGCUUAAUACCAAGAAGUAGAAGAGAGAAUGCAUAAGAGAGAAUUAACUUGGCUAAAGAAUUGGGAAGCAAUUUAGGGAUUUUUUAAGAAAUUAAUUCUCCAACCGCCACUUUUGGAAAUUUCUAUCAACAACUAGUUACCAAAACACUAGGACAGCGAUCCGUCUCUAUUUUACUCUUCAAGUCUUCGCCGGGGAAGCAACCCGGCCUUGCGAGACUAUAAUGAAUAGGCACUUGCCUUCUGUUUUUACUUUUUUUUUGUUCAAAGACUAUAAUGCCCUUAUUAUUUGACUGCGCAUCUCGCAAGAUAAUGCUUUCCAUCAAAAUUAACUGUUGGGUUUGACAGAAGCGCCACGAAUAUUCUAUUUUAUUAGAUCCAGAGUCAAAAUUUUACCGUUAAUUGUUAGAGGGUUAAAACUUUAUCUGGAAAGGAGUUGGAGGGCCAUUGGAACUCUUUUUCCAAAAAAAAAAAAAAGUCACUUUUGUCAUUUGUCCAAGAACAGUUCUGGGGCCAUCUCGACAGUAUAUAUUUUUCUUACAUGCCAAGACAAUUAAUGAAAAUUGACCAAUAACACACGCACACACACACACACACACACACACUCUCUCUCUCUCUCUCUCUCUCUCUCGGUUGCUGCCAAGUCUUUCCAUUGAAAAAGGAAAAUUCAUAUUGUUUACAUAGAUAAAUUACCUCCAGUCCGUGGAAUGUCUUGAUGUUAGGUGAGUUCUAAUAUUUUGGUAUCAUCUAGAGGUGGCAAAUCAACCCACUUAACUAAAUUUACCCAUAUCCGCCCAUGAAUAGAUGGGUAUGGAUAUCUUAAAUUUUUGUAUAUGAGUAUAAAUGGGUUACCCAAUAAUACCCAUUUAAAUGGGUAACCCAUCAAACCCAAUUAACCCAUUUAGAAUUCUCUUCCCCUCAAGUCUCUUCUUUUCCCCCACCUUUUUUUUUUUCAAAUUUUUCAUUUUGUCAUGAUGUUAACUACUUUUGUUUUAUUAUUAUUAUUUGUUGGUUUUAUCUUAUUAUUUUAUUUUCUCUUAGUUUGUUAACUUACUCAUUUUUUACCAUUACCAAUUUAUGAUAAAUUUUAGCCUAUUUUCUUAUCUUUAUAAAAUGAAAUUUUAAAUUUAUAUAUGAAAAAAAUGUUAGGGGUUCAAAAAUUUUGGAUUAAGUUUUUAUAUUAAUUUUUAUAGUACUUAGUUCAAAAUUUUAUAUUCUUAUUAUUCAAUUAUUAAAUAAUAGGUAAUUUUGUGACAUAGAGUAUAAAUGAAAAAAAAUUGGUAAUUAAGUUUAUUGAACAUUAUAAGUAAAUAUUUAAAACUAAUGAUGGGUAUAAAGAGUGAUAUAAAUUGAUAACUUAGUUUGCAAAAAUGAAUUUAAAUGAGUUUGCAAAAAGUUAAAAUAAAUGGGUUAUAAAUGGGUAAUUGGGUUACCCAAUUCAUUUUUUGACUUGCCUAUUUAUACCCAUAUAAUUAAAUGGGUAUAAAUGAGUUGACUCACUUAUACCCAUUACCCAUUUUACCCAACUCAAACCCGCCCAAGUCACCCAUUUUGACACCUUUAGUAUCAUCUAAUGUUCAUUUGUGAAAGAUUGAGAAAUGAUAAAGAGCAAAACACCAAUUUAUUCCAUAAAUUAUUUUGCUAAAAUCAAAAUAGUCCAUAAAUUUUCUUUUGGCCAAAUUUUUGUCAUGAACUUUCAGAAACGGUUGCAGGGGAUUUCAUCCGGAUUGCUUGUGCAGUUGAGUAACUAUACAGAAAUUCUUUUUGGGAUGCUGAGUAUCUUAGGAUGGGUACAAUGAUCGCUUAGAUCAGUAGAGAUGAUUGAUGAUGUAGUAGGGGAAGAUUCCCUUUAUAAAGCUGAUUUUCUCAUGAUUAAUAAGAAUAUAAAUGUUACCAAAUUUUCUUUUCAAAUGUGUAACGAAAAUAUUGGCCAUGAUCAGCAAGACCUCCUUAAUUAUAAAAGUUUCUUGAAUGUCAUCAUCCAAUUUGUUUAAGCGAGGAUUUUUAAAUGCUAUCUUUAAGCAAAUUGAUUUUUGUAUUAUAGAUACUUACUACUAUUACUUCAUACCUAGCUACAAACCUCAUGUAUGUUUUAGUUUUAAUCCAGAACAAAUCAGGGCCACGGGCCACCUUGCACAUAGCGAGAGUGGAAAAAUAAAACUACACAAUUGCUUUUUUGAAGCCAGUGACUCAACUGAUUUUGCGCUCGGCAAUUCAUCCGAUUUUCAUUAAAAGGGCCCUAAGAGGCCAUUGGCGUUUUGGGCCUGUGAAAAUUUGGAUGAUUUGGUGUGUCCAAUGCAUGUGUAAGCACAAAUUUUGUUGUCUAAAAUAAAAGACAAGAAAACUUACAUAAAUAUCAAAUUUAUUAAAUUAAAUAACAAGAGGGUUACAAUAUUUGAAAAUUUUUGAAUCAAAGAAAUUAAUCUCCUAAUUUUUAUCUUCAAAAGGCUUUAAUCGGAAGGCCAAAAAGGCUUGUUCUCCGAUCAAGAGGGUGUUUUCUAUGAUUUCUAUGUAAAAAACGGCUGCUUUGAUGAUGACGUUAAUAUUUGAAUCUUUAAAUCUUCAACGCCGAUGGAAGGAGGAUUUAUUUAACUUAAUUUGGAUUUGGAUUUGAAUUUGAGGGAAAAAGCUCUCAAGAGAAUUUGACAAAGUUACUUUGAAAUUUAGGAAUUUUAAUGUAUUUUUGCCUUGAGGGAAGACCUUUAUUUAGAGUCAACAUAUGCAAGCUAUGUCUUCAAGAGAAUCCUUCAAAACCAUCUUGCGUUUGGGUAACUUGUACCUUAAGAAACCCAUUUAACUUGGAGUUAAAUAGUCGGCCGACCCAAAUAGUCAAUUGUGAAUUAACAAAUCAAUUAAAUCACUUUAAUUUAAAUGGGCAUCACAUUUUUUAUUUGAUUUAAUAGCUCAUAUAACAUUGGCUCAAUUUGUCAAUCCAAAACAUAAUGAACUUCUAUAAUUUAAUUUAAUUUAAUAAAAAUCAAUUUAAUUUACUUAAUCUUGCCUAAAAAUAAAUUAAAUAAAUUUUCGUUGUCUAUGUCCCCACUUCAAAACUUGGCAAGGCAUUGCAUGUUUAUUUGAAUUAACUUAAAACUUCUUAAUACGAUUCAUCUAAGCACCUUUAUAUAUAUAUAUAUAUAUAUAUAUAUAUAUAUAUAUAUAUUUAUUUAUUUAUUUAUAUAUAGAGGUACAGAAGACAUGUCUUUGUCUUGAAACUGUGACAAACAGGACACUUAAGACAAGGGCGUGUGAAGACUAUCGCACUAUUUGAGCGAAAAAAACCUGUUUUGCACGUAUAUUUUGAAGGUAAUCAUCUUUAUUGUCUUUUGACAACUUCAUGUUGGUCGAGUAUCAGAUAUUCACCAAAUUUUGUUGAAAUUUGUCAAAACUUGAUUUGUUUCCAAUUUGGAGAAAAAAAAAGAUUUUUUUCUUCGUUUCUGCAAUUUUCCAGGUCACUCUUUCCUAUCAACAUGUUACGAUUCAGAAAUUGAGACAAAUCUUGUACAUAGGAAUCUUUUUUAACAGCUGAUGGUUGGAAUUUAGCAGACACCUUGAAGUCAAAGAAGGCAAAUAGCAUUCCAAUAGCAUUAUUUGGUUGCAUGCCAUAUCCAAGAUUUUCACUAGUAAGCCACCAUUUUCUUGCUUUUGAUUGUUAUUCAUUCUCUGUUGCGCAAUUUUAUUUUCGCACAAUCUAUUUUUUUCGUUGAAUUUUCUCUUUUGCAAAACAGCGACCACCAAGGAAAGACAGAAAGAUUUUUUUGUUUUUGUUUUUGUUUUUGUUUUUGUUUUUUUUUUUAUGGUUGCACCUUGUGUUGGCACCCCUUAUUUGAAGCAAGUUGAUGUUCCAGUUGUGUUGGGGAUUUUAGGGCCAUAGCUCUUAGAACUCAAAAUACUAAUGUAAUUUCCGCACUCCAUGACAUUUACUUCUUGUCAAUGCCAAACUCUCCUCUUUUUUUUUGUGAUAUGAAAGGAAGAUCUCUCGUUGCAACAUAUAUGGUGGACACUCAAUUUGAAAGAAGGUGCAACCACCAACUUGCACGAGAGCCAUAUCAUGGUUUGAGGAGUAUAAUGAAAAUGAUGCAACUGCAAACUCUUAUGAGAGCCAUAUCAUGGUUGAGAAGUACAAUGAAGAUAGUGCAAUCAAAAAUUUGAAAAAGGUGCAAUCGCAAACUCCCAUGAGAGCCUAUCAUGGAUUGAGGAGUACAACGAAGAAUGUGCCACAAAAAGUUGAAAAAUGUGCAAUCGCAAACUCGCACGAGAGCCUAUCAUGGUUUGAGGAGUACAAUGAAGAAGGUGCAACUACCCACUUCAAUGAGAGCUUACCAAAACUCGAGAAGCCCUUUCAUUUAACUUCACAUUGACUAUUUAUUACUUCUCUCACUGUCUUCGAUCACACCAUUGUAAUCAAAUUUUUUUCUCUUGCUUUUGGUCCUAACGAAAUGGUGAUGGUCAAGGAAGUUACAUCUUCAAACAAAAGGCACCUCCUUAUCACUAAUAGCCAUGAUGACUCUGCUGACAAAGGAACGAAAUUAUUGGUGCAUCCCUCUAUACAAGAAAUUUACUCUGGUGAUUGGUUUUCUCACAAGUAUUCCGAAUUAAAGGAUUGGUCACUAAAAUUUUCUCAAGAUGAUGGUACGAAAGUUCACUCCUUGAAAUUCCUUAUCAUAAUAAGGAGCCAAGGACAAUUGGCAGGCGAAUCCUAGAUGAGACUAAGGGUGCAAACGAGGCAAGUCGAAUCGAGUUUUGAAGUUAUUGAGUCGAGUUACACUUAUUUAUAUGCGAGCUCGAGUUCGAGGUCGAAAAAUAGAGCUCGAACUCGGCUCGAUGUAGGAAAAGGAAAACUCGAGAUCGACUCGCUUAUGGCUCGCGAGUUUAGCUCGAAUUCUGGCUCGCGAGCAGCUCGAGUUUUGCUAGAUUUUCUGGCUCGCAUGAAGCUCGAAGUCAGCUCGAUUCUAGCUCGUUAGGAGCUCCAGUUCGAACUCGAAAACAGCUCGAUUUUCUGGAAAUUUAUGCAAGAAAACAGAAUUUUUGUCCGCAUAUUUUUGAUAAAAUUUGAGCAUGAUAACAAUAAGUUUUCACAUAUUCUUGAUCUUGAGGCCUACAAAUUAUGCACUAAUACAAUCAUAAAUGUCCAAAUGUCCACUAAUACAAAUUAUCCAAAUGUCCACAAAUGUCCACUAAUACAAAUUAUCCAAAUGUCCACAAGAAGUCUGAAGAAUACCAGCUUGUUGUCCACAAAAACCAAGGCAUGACAUGAAGCGAGAAUUUCCUGACUGCGUCCUGGAACUUUACUCAUUUCUGUCUCUAAUUCCUCAUGAUCAGUUAGUCCACCAACAUUGAACAAUAUGGAUCAGGAAUGGGGAAAAAUCACUUUCUAACACUCAAGAUCACAUACAACUCAUAUCCAACAAAUAUCCUGAAGUUUCAUGAGUAUAAUCACAUUAAAAGAGAAAAGGAUACUGACAAGCAUGCUAAUCAAACUCAAGCAGAAAAGGUACUUUCUCCUUGCCGUCUCCGACAUCCCAGCCAGCAAAUGGCUGGGGUUCGUGACAGCUGUUUGGGUCCAAUCCAUCUCCGGCAACAACUAUACCUUCUCCAAUUACUCCGACGCCCUCAAAUCACUCAUGGCCCUCACUCAGCUCCAACUCAACAACCUCUCCGUCGCCAAUUGAUGUCAUUAAAGCAGAAAAUCGGCCUGAUGGCCUCCACCAGCUGCCAUCCCUAAUCCAAGAAGGUCGAGUGUAGUAUGCUUAGGACCAAAUACAGAUGGAGUUCCCAACAUCAGUUCCUUCAAGCUAGACCCACCAUCACACGGCAGCCCUAGUCCUAGGCCUACUACCAAUGAUGCACUAUCAGACUCAAUUGCCCUCCCACUCUUCGCCCGGAAAGACAGUGGUGAAAAGAGGUAAGGAGGUGGCGGCAAAGAGCGACGGGUUAGCCAAAGUUAGAAGAUCCUCUUUUUCUAGAUUUGCAAGUUUCCUACUCUAGAGACAAAAAUGUCCUUGAUAUUUGGUCGUGCAUCUUACAAGAUAAUGCUUUCCGUCAAUUUUAACCGUUGGAUUUGACGGAAGGGCCAUGAAUAUGCUAUUUUAUUAGAUCGAGAGCCAAAAUUUUACCGUUAAUUGUUGGAGGGUUAAAACUUUAUCUGGAAAAGAGUUGGAGGGCCAUUGGAACUCUUUUUCCAAAAAAAAAAAGUCACUUUUGUCAUUUGUCCGAGAACAGUUCAGGGGCCAUCUCGACAGUAUAUAUUUUUCUUACAUGCCAAGACAAUUAAUGAAAAUUGACCAAUAACACACGCACACACACGCGCACGCACACACACACACACUCUCUCUCUCUCGGUUGCUGCCAAGUCUUUCCACUGAAAAGGAAAAUUCAUAUUGUUUACAUAGAUAAAUUACCUCCAGUCCGUGGAAUGUCUUGAUGUUAGGUGAGUUCCAAUAUUUUGGUAUCAUCUAAUGUUCAUUUGUGAAAGAUUGAGAAAUGAUAAAGAGCAAAACACCAAUUUAUUCCAUAAAUUAUUUUGCUAAAAUCAAAAUAGUCCAUAAAUUUUCUUUUGGCCAAAUUUUUGUCAUGAACUUUCAGAAACGGUUGCUUCCUGCAACCGUUGGUGAGGGAUUUCAUCCGGAUUGCUUGUGCAGUUGAGUAACUAUACAGAAAUUCUUUUUGGGAUGCUGAGUAUCUUAGGGUGGGUACAAUGAUCGCUUAGAUCAGUAGAGAUGAUUGAUGAUGUAGUAGGGGAAGAUUCCCUUUAUAAAGCUGAUUUUCUCAUGAUUAAUAAGAAUAUAAAUGUUACCAAAUUUUCUUUUCAAAUGUGUAACGAAAAUAUUGGCCAUGAUCAGCAAGACCUCCUUAAUUAUAAAAGUUUCUUGAAUGUCAUCAUCCAAUUUGUUUAAGCGAGGAUUUUUAAAUGCUAUCUUUAAGCAAAUUGAUUUUUGUAUUAUAGAUACUUACUACUAUUACUUCAUACCUAGCUACAAACCUCAUGUAUGUUUUAAUCCAGAACAAAUCAGGGCCAUGGGCCACCUUGCACAUAGCGAGAGUGGAAAAAUAAAACUACACAAUUGCUUUUUUGAAGCCAGUGACUCAACUGAUUUUGCGCUCGGCAAUUCAUCCGAUUUUCAUUAAAAGGGCCCUAAGAGGCCAUUGGCGUUUUGGGCCUGUGAAAAUUUGGAUGAUUUGGUGUGUCCAAUGCAUGUGUAAGCACAAAUUUUGUUGUCUAAAAUAAAAGACAAGAAAACUUACAUAAAUAUCAAAUUUAUUAAAUUAAAUAACAAGAGGGUUACAAUAUUUGAAAAUUUUUGAAUCAAAGAAAUUAAUCUCCUAAUUUUUAUCUUCAAAAGGCUUUAAUCGGAAGGCCAAAAAGGCUUGUUCUCCGAUCAAGAGGGUGUUUUCUAUGAUUUCUAUGUAAAAAACGGCUGCUUUGAUGAUGACGUUAAUAUUUGAAUCUUUAAAUCUUCAACGCCGAUGGAAGGAGGAUUUAUUUAACUUAAUUUGGAUUUGGAUUUGAAUUUGAGGGAUAAAGCUCUCGACAGAAUUUGACAAAGUUACUUUGAAAUUUAGGAAUUUUAAUGUAUUUUUGCCUUGAGGGAAGACCUUUAUUUAGAGUCAACUUAUGCAAGCUAUGUCUUCAAGAGAAUCCUUCAAAACCAUCUUGCGUUUGGGUAACUUGUACCUUAAGAAACCCAUUUAACUUGGAGUUAAAUAGUGGUCCGACCCAAAUAGUCAAUUGUGAAUUAACAAAUCAAUUAAAUCACUUUAAUUUAAAUGGGCAUCAUAUUUUUUAUUUGAUUAAAUAGCUCAUAUAACAUUGGCUCAAUUUGUCAAUCCAAAACAUAAUGAACUUCUAUAAUUUAAUUCAAUUUAACUAAGAUCAAUUUAAUUUACUUAAUCUUGACUAAAAAUAAAUUAAAUAAAUUUUCGUUGUCUAUGUCCCCACUUCAAAACUUGGCGAGGCAUUGCAUGUUAAUUGCUGGAGGCAAGACUUGAAGUAUUAAUUUUACUGCUGACCUAAAGUCAAACUAAAUUAAAGACUUCAAGCGUUCGGCAUACGGGUGAUCCACUUUUUUUUUUUUUUUUUUUUUUUCCUUUUUCUUUGGGAAGAGAAUGGUCCACAUCAAUUGUAGAAUUGCACCUCAAAGUCCAAUUGAAUAGGCAACGGUCACGGGUCUUCACUUUCACCUACUACUUGAAUAAAGCCUUGAAGCUCUUGAAUUUUCCAACUCUUAAUUUAGUCGUCAAUGGAAGUGCAGCCCCACAAUAUUAGACCGCAACUUUGACCCGUAGAAUUAGAAACCCCCGUUUGAUUAUGCGAUGUGGGCUCCUGCGCAGAAACUCCCAUAUGCUGAAAUUUGGAGUUUGCUCGUACGUUUCUGACCACCAAAUCUUGUUUUGGCACUUGGCAAUAUGGAAUUUGCUGAGUUUCAACGCUUCCUAAACGGAACUUUAAUGUAUUUCCAAAACCAAUGUUUGCAACUUCUGAAUAAGAAUAUGCCAAAUUUUAAGAGCUUCCCAAAUUGACUUCCAGCCAUUGAAAUUAUUCUUGGGAACCAAAUUCAAAUGAUUUCCAAAAAGUUAAACGAUAAUCACUGAAUUUAGUAUCUGUCCAAAACUUAAAACUUCUUAAUAUGAUUCAUCUAAGCACCUUUAUAUAUAUAUAUAUAUAUAUAUAUAUAUAUAUAUAUAUAGGUACAGAAGACAUGUCUUUGUCUUGAAACUGUGACAAACAGGACAUUUAUGACAAGGGCGUGUGAAGACUACCACGCUAUUUGAGGGAAAAAAAACCUGUUUGACACGUAUAUCUUGAAGGUAAUCAUCUUUAUUGUCUUUUGACAACUUCAUGUUGGUCGAGUAUCAGAUAUUCACCAAAUUUUGUUGAAAUCUGUCAAAACUUGAUUUGUUUCUAAUUUGGAGAAAAAAAAAGAUUUUUUUCUUCGUUUCUGCAAUUUUCCAGGUCACUCUUUCCUCUCAACAUGUUACGAUUCAGAAAUUGAGACAAAUCUUGUACAUAGGAAUCUUUUUUAACAGCUGAUGGUUGGAAUUUAGCAGACACCUUGAAGUCAAAGAAGGCAACUAGCAUUCCAAUAGCAUUAUUUGGUUGCAUGCCAUAUCCAAGAUUUUCACUAGUAAGCCACCAUUUUCUUGCUUUUGAUUGUUAUUCUUUCUCUGUUGCACAAUUUUAUUUUCGCACAAUCCAUUUUUUUUCUUUGAAUUUUCUCUUUUGCAAAACAGAGACCACCAAGGAAAGACAGAAAGAUUUUUUGUUUUUGUUUUUGUUUUUGUUUUUGUUUUUGUUUUUUUUUUUUAUGGUUGCACCUUGUGUUGGCACCCCUUAUUUGAAGCAAGUUGAUGUUCCAGUUGUGUUGGGGAUUUUAGGGCCAUAGCUCUUAGAACUCAAAAUACUAAUGUAAUUUCCGCACUCCAUGACAUUUACUUCUUGUCAAUGCCAAACUCUCCUCUUUUUUUUUGUGAUAUGAAAGGAAGAUCUCUCGUUGCAACAUAUAUGGUGGACACUCAAUUUGAAAGAAGGUGCAACCACCAACUUGCACGAGAGCCAUAUCAUGGUUUGAGGAGUAUAAUGAAAAUGAUGCAACUGCAAACUCUUAUGAGAGCCAUAUCAUGGUUGAGAAGUACAAUGAAGAUAGUGCAAUCAAAAAUUUGAAAAAGGUGCAAUCGCAAACUCCCAUGAGAGCCUAUCAUGGAUUGAGGAGUACAACGAAGAAGGUGCCACAAAAUGUCGAAAAAUGUGCAAUCGCAAACUUGCACGAGAGCCUAUCAUGGUUUGAGGAGUACAAUGAAGAAAGUGCAACUACCCACUUCAAUGAGAGCUUACCAAAACUCGAGAAGCCCUUUCAUUUAACUUCACAUUGACUAUUUAUUACUUCUCUCACUGUCUUCGAUCACACCAUUGUAAUCAAAUUUUUUUCUCUUGCUUUUAUUGCAAGUUGGUCCUAACGAAAUGGUGAUGGUCAAGGAAGUUACAUCUUCAAACAAAAGGUACCUCCUUAUCACUAAUAGCCAUGAUGACUCUGCUGACAAAGGAAUGAAAUUAUUGGUGCAUCCCUCUAUACAAGAAACUUACUCUGGUGAUUGGUUUUCUCACAAAUAUUCCGAAUUAAAGGAUUGGUCACUAAAAUUUUCUCAAGAUGAUGGUACAAAAGUUCACUCCUUGAAAUUCCUUAUCAUAAUAAGGAGCCAAGGACAAUUGGCAGGCGAAUCAUAGAUGAAGACACACACUGGGGUGCUUCCUUGAGAUUUAGUGAUGAAUUUGGUUAUAUCGAGAAUUAUUAGGAGCGGUUGGAAGAUAUUUUUGGAAAAAACAAACAAGUGUUUCGUGAAAAUUACUUGUUCGAUGUCUUAUAUGCUUCGCUUCUCAUAUAUAACAAAAAUUCUCAUGUGUUUAGAGCAUUUUGCGAGACAUGGUGCCUAAACACUAAUACCUUGCAUAUGUCAAUUGGAGAAUUAUCUCUCUCACUUUGGGAUCUGUGUAAAUUAGAAGGACUUCCAAUCAUCGGAUACAUCUAUGAAGAGGCGAUCCCAUGUGUAGAGGAACUAACUGGAGUUAAUGAAAAGAAGUUGAUGCAUAUUCCGCAAAAUUGUGAGUAUUUGUUCGCGGCUCUGCACUACCUUCAACAUGGAGAAUACUACAAUUAUGGAGUUUCUGCUAGCCAAUAGAUUAACUUUUGGUUUAAAGGCAACGUGAGGUAUUCAAAACCAAAACAGAGAAGGAUAAAGAGAGCAUCUAGUGCUUAAGCAACCCAAAAUCCAGAUGGAAAGAUUGGACAACCACGUAAUUUUUAAUUCAAGACAAUGGCAUAUAUGAUACCAUUGGAGACAAGUCUCACUUACGAGAAGAGACUUAUCUUGUAGCAUUUAUAUCUUGUUGACUCUACGUUUUUACUCUACCAGAUGAGGACGUCUAUUAUAUUAGACUAUCUACCUUCAAAAUGGCUAGCAUGAUGGCUGUCGGAUAUAAAACUUGCCUUGCUGUUCCUGUCUUGCUGAGUAUCUAUCACGGAUUCAAUAAAAUUUCAAAUUCAUCUACUCCAAGGUGUGCGCGUGCAUUUUUUUCAAUGCACUACGUGUAUGCUUAACUGGCGAGUUAUUUCUCUACCCAUUAUUCAACUCCGAAUAUCAUGCCUGGACCAACAAUUAUCAAUUAUUCUGGAAAGGGUGUGCACAAUAUUUUGAUGAAAAUAGUGCUUGCGACCUCAUUCAUCAAGGAGACAAAGUAACUUGGGGGACAACUUCUCUUGUGAAGAAUUAAAAUGAAUUUUUUGUUGAUGAUGGCAAGUUAGCGAACCCAGAACUGAUUUAUUUCGUAAGUGCUUGCUCAAAUUAUUUAGUCUUACAUGCUGAAGGAGAUUUUCUUGUUGAGCCAUACAGGUUUGCAAGGCAAUUCGAAUUUUAUCAAAACACCCCACAAGAACUGGGAGCAGAUGUUCAUUCUACAAAUUAUGACUUGAGUCAAAUACUUUGACACAUUGCUAUUCAUAAUAAGACAGAGUCGAAGGUAUUUUUUUCUAGUUACCCCUUGAAUGCUAACAAGCAUAUAUCUCCAGAUUUUCAAACAUGAUGUUUUGAUUAAGAGUGUCCAACCAAAUUUGAAACAGAAGAAAUCGAAAGGAAAGAAACUUGCAAAUUUGAAUAAUCCUGUCAAGGUUGGCAGUAAUCUUGAGGCGAAACAGAAAAUCACCAAGACUGUGAGGAUUGAGGAGAAAGCAUUGCAGAGCUCCAGCAACUCGUGAAAUUCUAAUUUUCAAUGAAGAAUUUUCGAAUGGUAAUUCAUUUUGUCUUCCUUCAAUAAUUGUAAAAGCCACCAAUCAUGAGUCUCGCAAUUCCAAUGAAAAGAAGAGGAGCAACUCUUUUGAUGAGAAGGAUGAGCAAUCUACUAGUACAGACUAGCACUAGAAGCAUAAGAAAUUCAAGGUAAUGACUUUCUCUUUGGAUGAUAUUGUUUUAGACCCUAAAGAAAUGUUUAAGGACAUUCUGGACAAAUAUGUGCUUGGUAUAAGUCAUGCCAAUAUUAUAAGAACAUUCUCUUGCCUUCUUUAGUUUGGCAUUUGAAAUUUACUUAUCAAUUUCAUAUUCAUGAUAUGUCUCAUAACAUUUUCCAUGUAGUUGAAUGAUCAAAACUUGAUUUUUAUUAAUGAUGGGAAAUCAAGCUAAGAAUUCGUUGAAGGACCCACUAUAUUUUAACUUUUAACAAAACAAGUGGUCAAUUCUACUCAAUAAAAGGGCAUCAUUGAAAAUUUCAAAAAGGCAGUGCAUGAUGAAAAUUCAGUUCAACAAAUCAUGCUACAGAAGAAAGAACAUGUGACUUCACCGGAGAAAAAAAAGUUCAAAAUUUUUGAUCCACAACCGUAGCCAAGGGCACCUCAAGUGUCUGAAUUUUGCCCCCAAACUAUGAUCUUAACAUGUCAUCGAGAUUACAUUCAAAUGCUCUGAAAUAAUUUGAAGGUGCUGAUAUCCGAAACAAUCCUGGAACGCAUUUCUGCUCUUAAGAUGAAAGCAAAUGAAAUCAUGGAGGAAAUGCAAAGUUUCAAUGCUAUGAAUAUUUCAAACUUGUAAGGCCUUUUAAAGCCUUUCUUUACAAAACCAAUUCGUUCUGUCGUAAUAAAGUCUUCUUUCUCAAAUAAAAUUUCAAUUGAAUCAUAUAAUGAGUUGUUUUCUAUAGCUACCCAACAUCUUAGAGAUGCUCAGAGUAAGGAGAAAUAAUAACUUAAAAAGUUCUCAACGUACAUGUUAAAAUUUAAAGAGAUUGACCAUGAGAAAAUAGAGCUAAGGAAAUGACUUGAAUCUAUGGGUACUCAUAGGAUGGAAAUACUUUCACUGCUACGAAAGAAACAAGACGAGCUUACCUAAAUGCAAGGCAAGAUGAUCAACUUAUGAAAUGAAAUUCAAAAGAUUGAAGAUUCCCUAUCUUUACUUGUUGAGGAGAGCCAAACAUUGAACAAAAUGCAAGCACUACUUGAAAGCAACUGCAAAAAACUGUCAUCAUUUGAACUUUAGAAUUAGUUACAAUCUUUUACUUUUUUCAAAUUUUAUUUAUUGUCACUUGCCUAUAUUAUAUAGCCACAGGCAUAAUUAAUUUUUUAUUUCACCAUGAAUCAUGAUUUUUUUUAUUUCAUGAUACUCUUGUGGAUAUUUCUUACUUUCCUUUGUUGCUUUCAUUAACCACCAUUUUAGACUAUCGAUUGCAAAAUAAACAAUUCAACAUUUGCAUAAUUUUAAUCACAUUUGAAGAGGUAAUUGUCUACAUAAUUUGAUAAUUUGAACAAUAUACUUUCAGGUGUAUGUUGCAAAGUAAUUUGAAUUGCCCUAAAGAGAAAAACUUUUUAUCUUUUAUUGCAUGACAUCUUUAUGGGGUUGUAACUGAAUUUCGAAGUUACCAUCUAAACUGUUUGCAUAUCCCAAAAGGGAAUAAAUUCACGUGUAGUUCCUACCAUCCACAGUUUAAUUUCUUGCAGGUCAGGAGUAUCUAUUUGCUUAUCACUUUAAACUUGGUGGAGUGUUUUAGUAGUUUAACCAUAUACUACACUAUUGGUGAUUGCCGUCCACAGUUUUAACUCAUAUGGACCAAGAGCAACAUGCAGUUUAGACUCAUGUGUCAUGAAACAACAUGCAGUUUAGGGUCAUGCGUCAUGUUGUCCUUUAUUUUUUUUAUGGCGUGUAUAAUCUUAAGAAAUUUUCAUUUAUGGGUCAACAUUUACACCAUUUUGUCAACUACCUUGUACGCGUUAUUUGUAUAAACAUUUCGGAUAAUAUAUGGUCCAUCCUAUUCGGAGACAAAUUUAUCUUUAGCAUGAUGAGUCAUAACUAUUGAUUUUCGAACGGCGAACACUAUGUCACCAAUUUGAAAGGAAUGAUGAUGAUAGCUUUAGAAAGGUAAGCCUGGUAGCAUUCAAGAUUUUGUUGAGUUUCCAAUUCCUUUUCAUCUAAAGUUUCUAAUUCUUUAAGAAGCAAGCAAAUAUUUUCUUUCUCCAUGAGCCCUUAUUGGAUGGCAAUUCUCAGAGAAAGAAUUUGUUGUUCAAGAAGCAAGACAACUUCUACACCAUAAACUAAGGCAUCAGGGGUGGCUUGCAUUGGAAUUCGAUAUGUGGUGCGAUAAACGCAGAGAGUUUCACCUAUCAUUUCAUGCCAAUCCUUCUUUGAUCUGGCCAUCACUUUUUUCAACAAGUUGCAUAGAGUUUUAUUGAAUGCCUAAACAAUACUGUUGGCAGGGACAUUAUACAUAAAGGACUUGCGAUGUUUGAAUUUAAAUUUCUCACACAACCUAUCCAUUAAACAGUUGAAGAAGGGUUUCCAUUAUCAGUGAUAAUGUGUUAGAGAAUUUCAUAACGAUAAAUAAUAUUUACACGAAUGAAAUUCACCAUAUCUUCUUUUCUCACUUGAGUGGUAUAGUUUCAUCCCAUUUAGAGAAGUAGUUGGUUGUAACCAAUAUAUAUAGAUGUUGUCCGAACGACUUAGGCAAUGGUCCAACAACAUUAAGGUCCCAGGCAUCAAAAGGCUAAGAAGUAAUAGUCAAAUGUAAUAGUUCGGGUAAUUGAUGAAUGUAAUUUGCAUAGAAUUGACAAGUUUGACACCUUUGAGCGUAUUCCAUACAAUCUUUGACCAUAGUAAGGCAAUAAUAGCCCAUCAUUUUAAUCCAAAAAUGCAACUUGGGACCGAAUUGGUGAGUUUGACAUAUUUCAAAAUGUGCCUCUUGCAUAGCUUGAUAUUCAUUAUCUUCAUUCAGACAGCGCAAGAAUACACUUUCAAAUGAUUUUUGAUAUAGCGUAUCUUUGUAUAAGAUGAAACGGGGGCACGACAAUAGAUAUCAAAUCUUUUAUGUUGCUCCUUAGGUACCUUUUGAUACUUGAUAUAAUUGAUAACAGGUUGUCUCCAAUCUUCUUUAUCAACUUCAUAAGUUGAGACGACAUAAGCAUCACCUUCCUCAAUAUUUUCAUUAUCAAAUAAUGGUGAAACUAUCCACUUUUGAUACACACGAACUUGUAUUUCAUAAUUUGACAUAGUCAGAGAAGAAGCAAGCAUAGCUAAUGCAUGAGUUUGCUUAUUUUCUCUUUUAGGGACAUGUUCAAUACUUGUACCUUCAAGUUACCUUAUAAGUUGCGUUGCAUUCUUGUGAUAUGGAAUUAAUUUAAAUUUUUUAACAUCAUAAUUUCCCAAGGGUUGACUAACGACUAAUUGUGAGUUGCCAUAGAUUUGAAACUCAAAUUAUUUCAUGUCAAUAGUUAUUUCAAGUCCGAAUAUGAGGGUUUGAUACUUAACGACAUUAUUUGAACAACGUUGAUUUAGAAUAAAGGAGUAUGGCAAAACUUCUUCAUCAGAUGUUGUAAAUACAAUUUUGACUCCAACUCCAUGACGAUGAGUAGCAGAUUUCAAUAAGGAGUACAUUUUUAUUUGGUAGAUCAUCACUUAACUCCCAUUCAACAAGUAUCGGGUGAUCAAUAAGAAAAUCUACUAGUACUUAACCCUUCACGGCCUUUUGGAAUACAUAAAUAAUUUUAAAUUAUUGUAACUAGGUACCAUUUAGCUAGACAGUUGGAUAGUGUUGGUCUACUUAUCACGUAUUUUAUGAAGUUUGCCUUGAAGAUGAGUCUCACACUGUGUGCUUGAAAGUAGUGUUUUAACUUCUAUAUUAUAAAAAUAAGAGUUAAACACAACUUUUCAAUCGGUGAGUAGUUUAAUUUAUUAGAGAUCAUCAUAAAUAAUAAAGGGCAGUUUCUUUCACUUCAUUAUUUUCUUGUGCAACCAAUACCUCCACUAAACGUUCUUGGGUAACAAUGUAAAGAAUUAAUGGCUUUCUAUAAAUAGGUUCAAUCAAGACAGAUGCCUUCAUGAGAUAAGAUUUAAUGCUAUUGAAUGUAUUGCUGUACGCUUCAUUCCAUUGGAAUGGUACACCUUUCUUCAUAAGGUGAUUAAAUGGUUGACACCUUUCAAUUAAAUUUGAGAUAAACCUCCACAGAUAGGUUAAUCGCUCUUGAAGGCUUUUUAUUUCUGAAUAUUGCGAGAUUCAGGCAUUCUCAAUAUAGCAUCAAUGUUGACUCGAUCAAUUUUAAUACCUCGAUGACAGACCACAAAAUCAAGAAACUUUCCUGAUGUAACUCUAAAUGCACAUUUGAGAGGAUUCAAUUUGAGUUGAUAUAUUUUCAACCGAUCAAAAUUUUGUUUCAAAUCCUCCAAGUGAUUAUUUCUUUUUUUUUUUAUUUAACAACCAAAUCGUCCAUAUAACAUUUAAUAUUUUUAUGAAGCAUGUCAUCAAAAAUAUUUUACAUUAAUCUUUGAUAUGUAGUUUUGAUAUUUUCAAACUAAAGGGUAUUAUGUUAUAACAAUAAAUACCCUUAGGAGUAUGAAAUCUAGUGAGUUAUUUAUCCUCAGGUGUUAUUCGAAUUUGAUUAUAGUUAGAAAAGCUAUCCAUAAACGACAAACCCUCAGACCCAAUAAUUGCAUUAAUCAUGAGUUUGGUGAUGGGUAGAGAAAAAUCAUCUUUGGAACAAGCACUGUUAAGAUCCCUAAAAUUUACGUAGAUGUGAAUUUGCCUGUUCUUCUUUCGUACAGACAUGAUAUUUGAAAUUCAUGUGAAAGACUUAAAUUCAUGAAUAAAUCCAUCAUCAGUGAAUUUAUUGAUUUCAACUUCGAUCAAAUAGACCAAAUCGGGUCUAAAUCACCAUUGUACUUACAUUACAGGUCGAACUCCCUUUUUAAUAGGUAAAUGGUGGACUGCUACUUUUGAAUUUAGACCUAACAUUUCUUUAUAAGUUCAUGUAAAAAUAUCUUGAUACUCUUGCAAGAACUCAACAUAUGUCUUCUCUUCAUCAGAAUUCAAUAAAGCACUUACCUAUAUAGGAUAUGGGUCCUGUGAAGUGCCAAAAUUGAUUUUUUAAGUCAUCUACAGUGGCCUUAACGCCUUGUUCAAAUUCAGGUGAAGCAUCUUCAACAUCUUCUUCUUCUCCAAGGGAAUUAUUAUCAAAUAUGGUUAUAUGGUUGUAUGAAACAAUACUUUCUUCAUCAUCUUCCUUUGAUCUUGUUUCUACAAUAGUAUGCUCUCUAACCUUUAGUUCAGUCCCAUAAAUUAUUAUAAGAUUUGUACAUCUCCUCAUUCUUGAGAGAAUAAUGUUACCAAACUUAUAAAUGUUAUGGGGACAAUCAAAAGAUUCUUCAAAUUCUUUCAGUGAUUUUGUCAUUCUCCAUUUAUUCUUAUGAGAAUUUUGAGACUUUUAUUUUCUUUGUGGUCCUAGUCUUUUGAAGACGAAUACUCACAGAGCCUUAUCCCUAUUUUUAUGAAAAACGUGUGACUUAUUGACUAUUUUAGAAGAUUCAUCUCUUAUAGCAAUAAAUUGACUACCAGCUCUAUUGAUUUUGAUGCGAAUUGGUACAGGUGAAAAAUAGUAAAGAUCAGAUUUAGAAUUCUUAACAGCAUAUCCUUUCCCUUUCAACAUCUUUUGAGUAAGGUUUAACCCAUAAGUCACAUCGCUAGUGGCUUGAGGAGGUUUCAAUACCAGAGAUUUCUUGAAAUCAUACCCAAUUUUGGUAAGAAGUUUAUAAGCAAUAUAAUCAAAAGCUUCAUUAAUUCUUGACGUCAGUAGCAUAUCUUGCUUGAUGUCAAACUCUUUAUUAAGAUGAUCAAACCCUUUGAUUAAAGGCGAUGGUAUAUUCGUAGCAUCAAGUUUAGCCACAGGAAGAGUUAAUCCUUUCAGAGUUUUGUGUGGAAUUGAAGAUGGUUGUCCUUGUCCCAAUCUUGACUUGGGAGGGUAUCCGAAGACAACUGAUUUAUUUUUUAACAAUGAGGCAUCAAUUUUUUUAUGAACUACCUCUUUUGAUUUUGGAAUCACCACUUUCUUCGUUUUGCACUUGAUGAUUCGAGAUCUUGGAUUUUAACCAUAGAUGGAGAUUGUUUAAACUCAUUCUUUAUGUUAUACUGAUUUAUUUUUUAACAAUGAGGCAUCAAUUUCUUUCUGAACUACCUCUUUUGAUUUUGGAAUCACCACUUUCUUCCUUUUGCACUUGAUGAUUCGAGAUCUUGGAUUUUAACCACAGAUGGAGAUUGUUUAAACUCAUUCUUUAUGUUAUAUUUUUGGAUAUAAAAUUUAGCAUUAGCGAUAUGCAUUUCUACUUCAGUGUAAAGAUUAUAAUCAGUUUUCACACUUUUUACCACUCCAUUUCGGUAAUACUUGAAAUAUUGGUGAAGAGUUGAAAGCACAACCCCAUUUUCAUGAAUCCAGGGUCUUCCCAGUAGCAUAUUAUUUAUUGUUUUAGUAUCUAUUACAUACAGUUGUGCUUUAGACAAUAUAUCAUCGAUAACUAUCUCUAAAUUUAACGAUCCAAUAGCUCUUUGCCCUCCUUGAUUAAGGUCUUGUAUUAUUAGUCAGCUUAUUGGAAAGUUUAUCAAUGGAGAUGCCAAAUUCCUUUAGAGUUUUUAAGACAAGGCUAUUGACAGCAGAACCUCUCUCUAUCAAAAUUUUAUUCACAUUUUAUUUUUUAGCAUAAACAGUUACAAACAAAGGACGGUUAUGUGAUGUUGACCCAAAAAACAAGUUGAUAGGGUGUUAAUUGUUAGUAAUUUUAUUGCUAUUUUUCCCCUUUGUCCUUGCCAAAUAUUAUUUUAAUUGUUAACAUAUACUUAUUUUUGGUAUUUGGACCAAUCUACAGGAAGUGGAACUGACAAAUGCUAAAAAGGAGAUUUUAUUGAGAAAAAUCCUUCACAUGCUAGAGCCUCCAGCGGAUAUACAAGUUGGGCCCACAUGGUGUUACAAAUUCGGUUGCUGAUGGGGAGCUCUUAUUAUUGGGAGUUGACUUGUACGUGUAGGAGUCCUCCUACCAAGAGGAAACAAGAAAAAAGGAAUUCGGCAGAGGCCCAUCUUUUGUACUUAGCUUUCUCAAUUCGGUAGGGACCAUGGACUAGAGGUUUUCAUUAGUGAUUGGACUUUAAAAGGGAAGAAACGUAUAGAGGCUUGGGGAUUAUUAUGAUUAGCGUAGCUUUAGUUUUAGUGGUUAGCUAGCGUUUCCUUUUCAUGCGCACGAGGUGCUCGACAAUAUUUUUCAACGGGAAAAAAAAACAUCUUUUACUCUUGCUUUCUAGUGAAAAACUUGAUGCCUUUGCAAUCAAUUAAUUUGCGUGGAGAUUUAAUUAUGCGGCGUGGCUAAGCCUUUUAUCUAGUCAAGGAUCAACUCGACGGCGCAGUCCCAAAUAUCUGUGAGAUCUAAUUAGUUUUCACGCGUUUCUUAAUUUGUUAAUAUUUGCAUGUUGCCUAUUUGAAUUUCCACGGGAUUAUUUUGUUAAUUGGAUAUCAAGAGCCCGAUGUUCAAUGUGACUUAUUAAUUUCCUGCCAAAUUAGUCAAUUAAAUCCGUAAUUGUUUGAUUGAUUAAUAUUAGUAGCAACUGACAUGUUUACACACUAGAAGAACGUGCAAUCUAAUUUAAAUAACCCUCGUAGCGUGUUAUUGAUUGGGAUUAGAUUUUUCUAGUUAUUAAUGCAAUUGGGAAAUUAAUUCAUACAGUUGUACCUAGGAGUAUUUUCUGGUUAGGAGUAAUCAUUGGUCGUACCUUGGUUAUCAAUAAAUUAAGGAAAAAUUGGUCGUUAGAAUUCGUCGGCGACUAUAACUAGCCUAUUAAUAAAUUAAGUGAACCUCCCUUGCAUCAAUGAUCGGGUAAGUGGACUGUGUCUGAGUAGUUGUAUUCUUAACUAAAAUUUAUCUAUUCUUGAUUUAAUUCCUGCCUAUAUUCGUGCUAAUUAAUUAUUUAUUUUUAGUGAAUUGCUUAAUUAUUUUUAGUUUUACUCCAAUAAAAUUCCUCUUUACCAAUUGGAAUCUCAAAAAGACAAAUAUUCUCAGUCCCUGAAGAGACGACCCUACUUGCCAUUGUCUACUAUUUAGUAAGUUUUGUCAACUAAUUAAUUUUGGUAUAUCGGAUUAAGCAAAUUUUUCGGGAACAGGGUGAAUUAAGUAACCUAUUGCACAUCUAGAGUCCCGGCUCUAAUAUCUAGGAUUCAUUAUUGACUGCUUUUAGUGGUAUUUAGGUUAUUAUUAUUAUUAUUGCACAGUCUCGACACCUGUCAAUUUUUGGCGUCGCUGCCAGGGACUGGCGUUAAUUAUUUGUUUUUUUAAGUUCAAUUUUGUUCUAAUUUUCUGGUAUUUUUUCUAAUUUAUGCAUCAUUCUUCUCGUAUAAGUGAAUUAAUUUUCGACCCUGAAGUAGAGAAGAUCGCGCGUAGAACGAGAAAAGAAACCAGACAAUUCAGAGAAGAGCACUCAAGUACUACAUCUCAGAGACUUGAGCCGGAAGUUGAACCGGCAAAUUCGUUUGGUAACACUUCGAGUGACUCGGAUCAAGAGAAACUCACCAUGGCAAAUGCACAAACAUUAAGGGAGUUGGCUGCUUCUAAUUUAAAUCAACAGCCUUUAUGCAUUGCUUUCCCAAGUUUGAAUGAUGACACCCUCUUUGAACUAAAAUCUGGUCUAAUUCAUCUCUUGCCAUCUUUUCAUGGUUUACCAGGUAAGGAGCCCUACAAACAUUUACAAGAGUUUGAUGUUGUUUGCAACAGUAUGAAACCCCCGGGAAUCACAGAAAAGCUGAUAAAAAUGAGGGCCCUCCCCUUCUCUUUGAAGGAUUCAGCGAAAGAUUGGCUAUACUACCUACCACCAGGUAGUAUCACCACGUGGGACCAGUUGAAAAAAAAAUUCUUAGACAAAUAUUUUCCUGCGUCUCGGGCCGCCAGCUUAAGGAAAGAGAUAUGCGGUAUCAAACAACACCCAGGCGAGUCUCUCUAUGAGUACUGCGAGAGGUUUAAGAAGCUGUGUAUCAAAUGCCCUCAGCAUCAGAUAAGUGAGCAACUGCUCAUCCAAUAUUUCUAUGAGGGACUACUCUUCACGGACUGGAGCAUAAUCGAUGUUGCCAGUAAAGGGGCGCUAGUGAACAAGACCCCUCGAAAAUCUUGGGAGUUGAUUGAGGGGAUGGCUGAAAAUUCACAGCAGUUUGGUGGGCAGUGGCGAUGGCGAAGGCUCGCGGGGGUGGAAGAGCCGUUGGCGCGACUGGGGCCGCGCGGCUGCUAGAAUCUAGUUGCAUCAGUCUCUGUGGUCCUUGGGAUCUUUGAUUCGGCUGUUCCAUAGCUUGUCGAUCCUUUGUUGCAUCCCUGUAGGCAUUGUAAUUCCUGUUGAUUGAGUUGUUAUCUAGUUUUUGAGGGCACCUCUAGUAGUUCCUUUAUUUGGGAGUUAUUUGGGGUUGAGUUGGGAGUUAUUGGCCAAUUGAUUCCUAUUUUGCUUUCGUCCUGUUUCUGGUACUGUAUGGUUUUGAUUGGGGGGUGUCUCAGUGGUUUGGGUUGCCUGUUUGAAUUGGUUCUUACCUGUGUGUGCACCAGUGGUACUGGUUGUGUUGGGAAUCCGUGACUGAUUUGUUCUUGUCCAAUUGAAGCCAUUUUGAGCAAUUUUGGGGUGAACACAUUUUGUCAUUAAUUGUUGAUUGUUGGGGGACGUUUUUGGUAACACUUGAGUUGAUAGGGUGUUAAUUAUUGGUUAUUUUAUUAUUAAUCUCCCUUUUUAUUCUUGCCAAAUAUUGCUUAAUUGUUAAUAUUUACUCAUAUUUGGUAUCUGGACUUAAUUUCAGGAAUGAAGUAGAAAACUACCAAAAAGGAGGGAUUUUAUGGAGAAUAUGGAAACUUCUAAGGGCUUCAAUUCUUGGGCCCUUGAAUUGGUGGGGACCACAAGCUAGUGAAAGGCAUUUAGUCAUUUGAGCUCUUCAAAAGAAGCUACGUAUAUUUUAUUUUAUUUUAUUUUAUUUAUUUUAUUUAUCUCUUAUUUUUUUUUAUAUAGUUUAUGGCUUCUAACACUUCGUAUUUUGGUGAUAUACUGGAUUUUGUUUCCGGGAAAGGCAAUGUGACUAGUUUUUUUGCUAAGUCUGCAUAUGCAGAGGCACUAAACUCUAUUAGAGAAAGAAUGGCUGCUGCAACCUGUAAAAUUUGUUAUACCAGGGAUCAUUCAACCGGUAUGUGCCCCGAAUAUCAAGAUAAUCUGAGUGUCCCAUUCGAUAAUUAUGGAGAAUUUUCACCCUGGUCUCAAACGUGGUACGACCCUAAUCCAAACGGGUAUGAUCAAGGAUGGUGGGAUAACUCCAAUUAUAAUUAUACAACGGGACCAAUGAAUUUUCAGCAGUAUGAGUCUCAAGAAUCGUCAUCUAUGUCAGGUAUGUCUCUUGAAGAAAUAGUUGAACCAAUAGCUACUAACACAUACCAAUUCCAACAGGAGACACAAAUGAGGAAUGAGAUGAUGAAGGAUGCAAUGAGUUAUCUGGCAGAUCAACUAUGUCUAUUGACAUCCAGAAUAAAUCGAUGGGCUUCUCAAAUGGAAGAACUGCCCUCGAAAACCAUUGUUGACCUAGAAGAAAAUGAGAGUGCAAUUUGCUUGACUAGUGAUGAGGAGAUGCAAGAGUGUCAAAAUGAAAAAUCUACAGAUACAGUUGAAAAAGAAGCCGAAAAGGAAGAAAUGGAACCCCAACCGCAACCCAUUCAAGUGAAAGAAUCCAGUGAAGAAUCAUCAAAUGUGGUGACACCACCUCCAUUCCCUAACCCGCAUUUUUUCUAACUCUUACUCUAUGAUUUCUGUUAAUGAGAUUGAUUUUGUUAUACCGGAAGUUUUUGAGUCUCAUGGCAGAAAUAAGUUGAGAGUGGAGAUGGCGAAAUAUCUUGAACCGUUGAAUGCUCUUGAUGGAGGAAUGGAUGAAGAAUUGCGAUCAAUGCUUGAUUAUGUGGCGCCAUCAACUAGUCCAUGGAAGCCCGUGGUUCGUGUGCUCAAAGAUUACUCCAUCUAUGAGGGUUACCAGGAUCAUAUUGAAGAUGAAGCAUUGAAGCGAGCUACAAGAUUUUAUCCUCCAUGAACAAGACAUAACAAUGUCUAGCCAAAGACAUUAAAGAAAGGCGUUUUUUGGGAGGCAACCCAAAUAUUGAUUUUAUUAUUUUUAGUUGUUCAAUUCUUUCGUUCUGUUGUUUCUCAUUUGGAUAGUAGUUGGUCUUGAUAUUUUUCUCCACUGUGAUCAGGAAGUGAAAUCUUGGCGUGCCCACGCGGUGUUUAGGUCUCCUGAGAUCAGAGGACGAACACCAAUCUUGGCGUGCCCACGCGGUGUUUGGGUCUCCUGAGGUCAGUGAAUGUUUUGUAAUCUUGGCAUGCCCACGCGGUGUUUGACGACCCAAAACAUGAAAAAAAAAAAGUUUCAAAAUUUCACAUUGAGAAAAUUCAAAAAUUCAAAAGGCAUUUUUCUUUUUCUUCAAAAAUUCAAAUUUUGGAAUUUCAAAUUCAGGAAAAAAUUUGAAAAAAAAACAUUGAGAAAAAAAAACCCAAAAAGAAAAAAUUAAGAUUCAAAAAAAAAAAAAAACUAUUUUUUUUUCUCUCUUUUUCUUUUUCUCUUUUCUUUUUCUUUUUUCUUUUCUUCUUUUUUCUUUCUUUCUUCCUUCACCACCGCAGCAGCUACCCCACGCGACUCUCCUCCGCCUACCCCAGCGCACAGCCCAGGCCACGCGCUCCCUCCUUCCUGCAGCCCGUCGACGAAGCCCACCAGCCACCACCAGCAGGCCGCGGCUCCUUCCCCCUUGCGCGGCCACAGCUCGCGAACCACCUCUCCCACAGCGCGCGGCCUUCUCCCUUAUCUUUUGGCCGCGCGUCAUUGGCUCGCCCAAGGGCAGCCGCCGCCGCCGUUCCUCACAGUCAAGCAAUCGCAGGCCAAAGCCCACAACCCCAGCCGGCGCCGCCCGCAGCUCCUCGUGCGUGACAGCCGUGCGACGCCGCGCCUCCCUCAGCAACAGCUCCAAGCUCCAGCUCACUCGCAGACAGCCGCGCGAUUCUCAGCCAUUCACCUCGCGCGACCCCGAGCGCACAAUUCCGCGUGCCGCCAUCGAAGACCGCCGCGCCUCUCCCUCAGCCCGCCAUUGCGCCCCACCACUGUCCCGCUGUCUACGGUUGGGCACAAGGGAGGUACUUUUAAAAGAAAUUUUUAAUUUAAAUACGAGAAUGUCAAUUUCUAAAUUCUGGGGCUGUUUAGUGAUUGUUUGGAUUUCUUGGUGGAUUUGGUUGGCCGUCUGAUUAAAUUCUUCCUUGUGUGAUAACCAGUGGUACUGGUUGGGGUCUUUCGACCAUAGUUGUUGCUUAUAUUUGGUCAGAUGUCUGCUUGUUUGAAAGUUCACGUUCUUGUGAUUGAGUUGUUGCUCAAAUUCUGAUCUGCUGUUGCUAGAACUUUUGGUUGGUUGAGUUGUGCAAUUGACUGUCCAAUUGGAGACAGUUAUUGAGAUCUUAGGUGGGAUGGUGUCCAAUUGCUAAAAUUUGUUGCUUUGUUUCGUCACUCGCACUGCUCCUAGUUUGUUCGAGUGAAAUUGGUUGGAUGUUCUUUGCCCGUGGAGUGUAACUGUUACAUUGUUUGGGGCAGUUUUUUGGUAUUGAUUGAAUUGUUGGGCGUAAAUUGCUCAGGACUUUACAUUGCUAAUUUGGUGGGCCAUUUAUUGUGCAUUACCCUUUUGAAUUGGGAGAUACCUGUGCUUAUUGGGUUUUGACUACUUGAGAUUUCUGUUGCAUCUGGGGGAUAAAAUUUGAUGACUUUUGUGCCAGUUUAUUUGUUUGGAAAUUGUUGGGGGUAAUUUGGGAGUUACUUGUCAAUUGGGUCCCGUGUUACCCUCUACCAUUCAGUGGUACUGAUUGGUGUGUUUGGCUUUAUCACAUGUCUUGGGUUGGCCAUUUGAUUUCAAUUUUCCUUGUGCAUGCACCAGUGGUACUGGUGAGGGUAGUUUACAUAAUAUUUGUUACUCCUGUGUUAUUGGUUGCCUAAUCGACUACUGGGCAUUUGUGGUUGAAUUGUUUCUGUCCAACUUCUGAACUGUUGUUGCUGGAGUGCCAUUUUCUUGGGUCAAUUGCUGAUUUUAGCAAGUUGAAGUGGGUAAUUGACUGUCCAAUUGGAGACAGUUGUUACGAUAUUGGGUCCGAUUGUGUCUAAUUGCUGGAAGUUGUUGAUUUAUUAAGACACUAGCACAGUUCCUAGUUUGUUCGAGUUGCUGUUCUGUUGCAUUAUUGGGAGCUGUGCUCUAGUAUUGUGGCUACUUUCCUGCGUUUAUUUGUUGAAUUGGGAUAUGAAUGUGCCUAUUGCUCAUUUUGUUGCAUCUAAUUGACUUGCUUGGGGUAAUCUGCCCAUCAAUUUUAAUUACUCAAGUCUUUGGAGCAGUUGUUGCACAUUUGGACUACUUUGUUUCUAUAUCUGACUGAAUUGGGACCACAAGUGCUUAUCAAUUGCAUUUGCUAUAAGUAUUGGGGUAUUCGUAUAGAUUUUAGGAGCCUGCAUUGUGCAUUUUAUUGUUUGGGUUGCCUACUAGUUACCAUGGUGAAGCCACGAUCCUCCCCCAGGGGCCGAUGACUGGCUCCAACUUUCGAUGACAGUUGAGAGACUGGAGACUCGAGUGACCCACAUUGACAUCGACUUGCAUAACAUGGCGCAGAAUUUGGCAGCACUCCGCCCGACCCGCCCCUGUUUUGACAAUUUCAAGGAAGUACCGUUGCCCUUCUCUUUACUUUUGUUGUUGGUUUAUCACAUUGAGGGCAAUGUGUGAUUUAGGUGUGGGGGGAUCAGUUUGGGUGCUAGUAUUUUUAGUUUUUAGGUUCUAGAGGUUUUUCUUUUGUUUUAGUUUGAUAUUUAGUUCUUUUUUUUUCGUCUAUUUUAUUUUAUUAUUAUUAUUUUUUUUUCUUUCUCCUUUUUUCUAGUGGUCAGUCUUCAUAUGAAUACCAAGUUUGAUACUGGAUUGUUGUCUCUAAUUCUGCUAUUGCCAAGUCUUAUUAAUAAAAGGGUAUUAAGUUAAUGUGCUUGAGUUCAGGAAUAUCUCUUUGGUGAAUAUCGGUAAUUGCUUAACUUUUUCAAUUUUUGGUUAACUUUUCUAGGCAUAGGGAAUGAUUGUUGGCAUUUUUCAUGUGAAUUGGUUCAGUUAUUAAUUUUAGUUCUCCAUGUCUGGAAAUUUGAGGCUGGCUGCUGUUAAUCUUAUGUUGCUUUUAGAUAUCGUGUUAUAUGGUUGUAAAUAAGAGUUGACUGUACUCCGCUAGUGGUUACUACUGAGUAACCGGGGAUUUUCACCUAAAGUGUCGAUUCUCGCGUCAAAAGGUAGUAGUUGCUAUGAAUGCGUGGUCCUGUAGCGAUCGGAGCUGAGUAACCGGGCUCCUCCAUCUGAUAAAUGUUGGAGUUCGCGUCAAAAGGCUCUAAAUGGCUAGAGACUAAGUCUUUUGCUAUUCCCAAAAAAAAAAAGAAAAAAAACAAGUAAAGUUUGUGUUAGUAUUUAAAAAAAAAAAAAAGAAAGUCAGCUUGCCUAUUUGUGAUCUUAAUGUCGAGAUUUUGGUUAAUAGAUGGACCAUUUGCUGAUAAAUGUGAGCAACCAUUCCUUUUCCUUAGAUUAGUUUGCUUCAAAUUGAAGGAGUUGGUGGUUUAGAGGCUAAUCGGGGUGAUUUUUCUUGGAUGUUGACCUGUGAUGCUUGAUAUUUAUUUUUCUUGGACAUCUUGGCAAUACGGUAGUUGGAGUAACAGCCAUGGUCAACUUUUGGUGUUCAAUUGUUGUUCCCAUACUUGAGGGCAAACAUGAUUUAGGUGUGGGGGGAAUUGAUAGGGUGUUAAUUAUUGGUUAUUUUAUUAUUAAUCUCCCUUUUUAUCCUUGUCAAAUAUUGCUUAAUUGUUAAUAUUUACUCAUAUUUGGUAUCUGGAUUUAAUUUCAGGAAUGAAGUAGAAAACUACCAAAAAGGAGGGAUUUUAUGGAGAAUAUGGAAACUUCUAAGGGCUUCAAUUCUUGGGCCCUUGAAUUGGUGGGGACCACAAGCUAGUGAAAGGCAUUUAGUCAUUUGGGCUCUUCAAAAGAAGUUACAUAGAGAGACUUGGAGAAAGAAGUACUUUGGAGGCUUUGUCCAUAUGUGUGGGGACCACCUAGAUAGCUUUUAGUCAUCUUUCUUUUGUUGCUUUAAAAGGGGACAACGUACAGAAGCAAAGGACAUCUAGGGCUUUAGUUUUAGUUUUUUUAGUUUAGUUCUAGUUUCCUUUCUUUGGACUGGCCUCUGACACACGCCAGGUGUUCGACAAUAUUCCCCAACGGGAAGAUUUUCUCAUGAGGCGUGGUUAAGCUUUUCUAGUCAAGGGGACAACUGACGAUUUGGUUCGACAAUUACUGUGAGAUCGAAUCUGUUUUAAUUAUUUUCUUCAUUUAUUGGUAUUUAUAUGUUCCUUGAUUUUAAUUGCUAUGGCCUUGUGUAUGAUUGAUUAGUGCGCAAUAAUUAAUUAUUCAUAUAGGCUAUUUUUGCUAAAUAGGGGUAAUUGAAUCCGUAAUUGUUCGUUAUCUCUACCUCAGUAGCAACUGGCGUAAAUGGGUUUAUGUCAGGGGAGCAUAUGAUCUAAUUUAAACAAACCCUCGUAGCGUGUUUGUUGGUUAGGAUUGGGCCUUUCUAAUUAUUAAUGCAAUCUAGAAAUUAAAUCCUACGGUCGUACCUAGGGUUGUUUUUGGGUUAGAGAAAUAGCUAACGGUCGUACCUUAGCUAUCGAGAAAUUAAGGAAGGGUUGGUUGUUUAUCGCGUGCAUGACAACUAUAACUAAUCUAUUGCUAAAUGUUGGAAUUAUUUCUGCAUCAAUGAUCAGUGCAUGAACCAUUUCUGAUGUGUACCCUUGGCUAGAGUUUCCCCAAUCAUUUCUUUUAAUUAAUUAUUUUCUGCAGUUAAUUUAUUUAGUUAGCAUUUAAUCCAAAACCCCCCAUACUUUGGACUCUAGAAGAAACGAAUUAUCCCCAAUCCCUGUGGAUUCGACCCUACUCACCGCUAUAUACAAAAUCUGUAUCUUUAUUGAGUAGGUAUUUAUUAUUGUACAGGUUCGGCACCUGUCAAUUUUGGGGUGAACACAUUUUGUCAUUAAUUGUUGAUUGUUGGGGGACGUUUUUGGUAACACUUGAGUCUAUUUUGCUGAGUUCUGUUGAUAGAGCAGUUAUUUGGCACAUUUUACAGUGUUAUUUUGUCCUAAUUUUGGCUAUUCAUGGUGUUAAGAAUUGGAAUAUCACUCAUAUUUGAUGUUUGUGUGAAUUGUAGGUGGUCGGCAUUAAAAAUGACCUCUCAAGGCAAAUUUCUAGAAGACUCUUCGUCUCAGAGCAUGGCCACGCCAGAGAAGGUCGAUGUUACCGAAAAGCCGGACCCCGGUCCACGUGAACCGCAAGGAGCACGGGAUUAAAGCUCUAAAAGGCUAGCUUUUGUUUCAAUCAAUUGGGUCAGACAUGACUUGGCUCCUAGAGGCUUCAAUUAAAAAAGAAAAGAAAGGGCCAGACGUCGAGGGAAUGAGAAUGAGGAAACUAGGUCUACAUGGACCAGCUACACGGGAUAAAAACUCCAAUGAAGAGAAGAGCUCUGCUCCGCGUGGAUUUCCCCUGCGGCACUAUAUAAGACAACAAAAAAGGUGAUGCAGCGGAGAAUAUAGAUUAGCUUUGAUUUUCUUUUCGAGAGGGGUCAGGCGAUUGCAGACUUUUGUAGCUUUUCGGUUGUGACACUUGGACUCCUUGGCUUUUGUUUUGACUCUGCACAAUUUACGUUAGUUUUUGUUCGUACACUUGCGGCACCAAAGCAAAGACGAAGGCAGUGCCUUCUCUGUUGUUACUGCAAUUAAUUCCCCUUCCCCAAUUUUCGGCGAAUAAUUGAAUGAAUUCAAUUAAAUCACGCGGGAUUGACACGAUAAGGAGCGGCUAAUUUUCUCCUCUACCCAAAGGUUGACGCGAAGGCGCGGUCCAUAAUAUCUGUGAGAUCUAAUCGAAUUUUCAUUAUUUCUUUCAAUUUAUUGCUAUUCGUACGUUUCCUGAAUUAAUUGUUCAUGAGUAUUUUACUAAUUGAAUAUCAACGGCCGGGUAUUUGAUUUAAUUUAAUAGUCUACUGCCACGUUAAUUAAAUAGAAUCCGUAAUUGUUCAUUUAGUUAACACCUCGUGGCAACCACCAUAAUUGGCUUUAUGAUGGGAAAACGCAAGAUCUAAUUUAAAUAAACCCUCUUAGCGUAUUUAUUGGUUAGGGUUGGAUUCUUCUAGCUUUAAUGCAAUUGGGUAAUUAAAUUCUCACGGUCGUACCUAGGGUUGUUAUCUGGUUAGAGAAGCAGUCAAUGGUUGUACCUUGACUAUCGAAAAAGUAAGGAAGAACUGGUUGUCAGAGCUUAUUGAUAACUAUAACCAACCUAGUGAUGAAUGGAUGAAAUACCUUUGCAUUGAUGAGCAUCUGUCUUGAGUCCAUUGAAGUGCCGUUGGUUGAGUAAUUUCUGCGUCUUUUUGUUGAAUUGGAAGGCUAUUGUGACACUUCCAUUGCACUUUCGGAAUGCAUUGUUUCUGUAUUUGACUAAAUUCAGGCCACCAGUGCUUCUUGAUUGCAAUCACUGUGCUGUUGGGGUAUUUGUACAGCUUUGAGUACCUGAAUUGUGUUUGUGUUGGUUGGAGUACCAUUUAUAGAGAAUGGUGAGACCUAAAUCCUCCUCUAGGUCUAGGACACCUAGAACUUCUCAGCCUCCUCCCACCCUAGGGGCUAACGAUUGGCUCCAACUCCGAAUGCAAGUUAAGAGACCGGAGAUUCGAGUGACCCACAUUGACAUCAACUUGCAUACCAUGGUGCAGAAUUUGGCAACAAUUAUGCACCAUGCGGGUCUUGUUCCUCAGUUUCCGUCUGACCCACCCCUGUUUUGACGACUUCAGGGAAGCACCGGUGCUCUUUUGCUUACUUUUGCUAUUAAAUUAUCACAUUGAGGGCAAUGUGUGAUUUAGGUAUGGGGGGGAUCAGUUGUGGUACUAGUAUUUCCAGUUUUUGAUUUUUAAGUGUUUUUCCUUUGUUUUUAGUUUGAUAUUUUUCUCUUUUUCGUUUAUUUCUUUUAUUCGUGAUCAGCUCUUAUUUGAAUACCAAGUUUUGAUGUUGGAUUGUUGCCUCUAAUUCUGCUCUUGCCAAGUUUUAAUAAUAAAAGGGUAUCAAGUUAAUAUGGUUGAAUUCAGGAACAUCUCUUUGGUGAAUAUCAAUAAUUGCUUAACUUUUCCAAGUUUUGGUUAACUUUUCUAGGCAUAGGGAAUGAUUGUUGGCAUUUUUCAUGUAAAUUGGUCCAAUUAUUAAUUUUAGUUCUCUAUGUUUGGAAAUUUGAGGCUGACUGCUGUUAUUUUUAGUUAUUGUGUUAUAUGAUUGUAAAUAAUAGAUAACUGUACUCCAUUAGUUGUUACUACUGAGUAACCGGGGAUUUUCACCUAAAGUGUCGAUUCUCAUGUCAAAAGGUAGCAGUUACUAUGAGUGCGUGGUCCCGUAGCGAUUGGAGCUAAGUAACCGGGCUCCUCCAUCUGUCAAAUGUUGGAGUUCGCAUCAAAACGCUCUAAGGGUUAUAAACUAAGUCUUUUGUUAUUCAAAAAAAAAAAAGAAAAAAAGAAGCAGAAGAAAACAAAAGAAGCAGAUUGUGUUAGUAUAUGAAAAAGUCAGCUUGCCGAUUUGUGAUCUUAAUAUCGAGAUUUUGGUUAAUAGUUGGACCGUUUGCUGAUAAAUAUGAGCAACCAUUCCUUUUUCUUAGAUUAGUUUGCUUUAAAUUGGAAGAGUUGGUGGUUGGGAAGCUAAUCGGGGUAAUUUUUCUUUGAUCUUGACCUGUGAUGCUUGAUAUAUGUUUUUCUGGAUAUCUUGGCAAUACGGUAGUUGGAGCAAUAGCCAUUGUCAAAUUUUGGUGUUCAAUUUCUGCUCUCAUGCUUGAGGGCAAGUAUGGUUUAGGUGUGGGGGGAAUUGAUAGGGUGUUAAUUGUUAAUAAUUUUAUUGCUAUUUUUCCCCUUUGUCCUUGCCAAAUAUUAUUUUAAUUGUUAACAUAUACUUAUUUUUGGUAUUUGGACCAAUCUACAGGAAGUGGAACUGACAAAUGCUAAAAAGGAGAUUUUAUUGAGAAAAAUCCUUCACAUGCUAGAGCCUCCAGCGGAUAUACAAGUUGGGCCCACAUGGUGUUACAAAUUCGGUUGCUGAUGGGGAGCUCUUAUUAUUGGGAGUUGACUUGUACGUGUAGGAGUCCUCCUACCAAGAGGAAACAAGAAAAAAGGAAUUCGGCAGAGGCCCAUCUUUUGUACUUAGCUUUCUCAAUUCGGUAGGGACCAUGGACUAGAGGUUUUCAUUAGUGAUUGGACUUUAAAAGGGAAGAAACGUAUAGAGGCUUGGGGAUUAUUAUGAUUAGCGUAGCUUUAGUUUUAGUGGUUAGCUAGCGUUUCCUUUUCAUGCGCACGAGGUGCUCGACAAUAUUUUUCAACGGGAAAAAAAAACAUCUUUUACUCUUGCUUUCUAGUGAAAAACUUGAUGCCUUUGCAAUCAAUUAAUUUGCGUGGAGAUUUAAUUAUGCGGCGUGGCUAAGCCUUUCAUCUAGUUAAGGAUCAACUCGAUGGUACAGUCCCAAAUAUCUGUGAGAUCUAAUUAGUUUUCACGCGUUUCUUAAUUUGUUAAUAUUUGCACGUUGCCUAUUUGAAUUUUCAAGGGAUUAUUUUGUUAAUUGGAUGUCAAGGGCCCGAUGUUCAAUAUGGCUUAUUAAUCUCCUUCCAAAUUAGUCAAUUAAAUCCGUAAUUGUUUGAUUGAUUAAUAUUAGUGGCAACUGGCGUGUUUAUACACUAGGGGAACGUGCAAUCUAAUUUAAAUAACGCUCGUAGCGUGUUAUUGAUCGGGGUUAGGUUUUUCUAGUUAUUAAUGCAAUUGAAAAAUUAAUUCCUACGAUCGUACCUAGGAGUAUUUUCUGAUUAGGAAUAAUCAAUGGUCGUACCUUGAUUAUCAAUAAAUAAAAGAAAAAUUGGUCGUUAGAAUUCGUCGGCGACUAUAACUAGCCUAUUAAUAAAUUAAGUGAACCUCCCUUGCAUCAAUGAUCGAGUAAGUGGACUGUGUCUGAGUAGUUGUAUCAUUGGCUAGAAUUUAUCUAUUCUUGAUUUAAUUCCUGCCUAUAUUCGUGCAAGUUAAUUAUUUAUUUUUAGUGAAUUUUUUAAUUAUUUUUAGUUUUACUCCGAUAAAAUCCUCCUUUAUCAAUUGGAAUCUCAAAGAGACAAAUAUCCCCAGUCCUUGAGGAGAUGACUCUACUUGCCACUGUCUACUAUUUAGUAAGUUUUGUCAACUAAUUAAUUCUGAUAUAUCGGAUUAAGCAAACUUUUCGAGAAUAGGGUGAAUCAAGUAACCCAUUACACACCUAGAGUCCCUGCUCCAGUAUUUAGGAUUAAUUAUUGACUGUUUUUAGUGGUAUUUAUAUUUUUAUUAUUAUUAUUGCAUAGGCUCGACACCUGUCAAUUUUUGUGAUGUUGACCCAAACAACAAAGGACGGGUUAUGUGAUGUUGACCCAAAUAACAAGUCUUCACUAGUGAAUGUGAUAUUUGUGAUAUCCACCUCUUUAUUACCAGUGGGCACGUGAGUUAUCUCACAAGGAGAUUCGCGAGUAUCAUCCUUUGUUCUUCAAUAUCAUCAACUUGCGUUGUGUGACAUGAGACCAUAUCAAUAUCAAAGAAUCUUUUAGAUAUGAAUUCUUUUAAAAUGAUAGAAACUCGCGACUUUUGCUUGAAUACUUGAUUUUCUUGAAGAUUGUGAUUAUUAUUAUUUUUCUCUAUAUUCUUCUCUUUUCUCUUCCAGACCAUUCUACUUCUUGUUAAGGCCUUGUUUACCUUAUUAGAUGGACGAGAGUUUCAUCUUCAUCUUCGCGUGAUCAGAGUUCAUCCAUCAUCAUCUACGUCUGAUUGUAAUGACUUCUCAUCUUCAUAUUCAUAUUUUUGAAGAGCUGAAGGGGCGAUUUUUUGUUCAACUUCUAUAGGAUCAAAUGAUCCAAAUUGAAUGGUUGGCAAUAUAGGUAUCGUAAACUUUUCGACUUCCAUGGACUGUAGUGAAUCAACGGAGGUUUGAUUCAUACUUGCUUUGUUUUUUUCAAGAAAAUUUUUUUCUUGUCUUGCCAAAUCCAUCAUCUCAUCUUUAAAGACAAAGUAUUUUUGAAUGGGAUGUCCAACCAAGCAAUGAUACUUGAUUUGGAUCAUCCGUAUUACUAAUCUCGUCAAGUCAGUUCAUCUUGGAAGCAUGAUCAAGUUCAUGCUUAACAAAUUAUCAAAUAUACUAGGAACAUCAGAAUCAAGGAAAUUGUACUUCUUGUUUUGCAUCUCCUUGAGUGUUGGUUUUUUCUUUCCUUCGUCUUGAUGCAUACUGGUUUUCUUGUCUUCUCUUUUAGCAGUUCUGAGAAUAAUCUUGAAAGGUGUUAUACUUGCAGCUAUGGCCUCUUUCUCACUUUGAUUGGGGGCUUGCCUCCUUUCCUCACUUCUUGUUUCUCCUUAGCCUUGCGAGAAUCAGGAAUUGGCGGCUCUUGUCCAUCAAGGUUAAUUUCUAUCUUAUGAGUUUUUGGGGAUAAUUCAUCAAAUAUUUCUGGUUAUACCCCUUACAAGAUAUAUCUGAAUCCCCAAUGCAAGUCUUGAAUACACAUCUCAAUAGCGGAAGACUCGAAAAUUCGAUCCUUACAGUUUAGGCUUAGAUUUUUUCGAGCGAUUGAUAAAGUUAAUAACAUGUUCAUUCUUUCACUAGCACAUAUUUUAGAGUUCAAUUAUGCUGACAGUCCUUUUCGUGCUAUAGAAGCAAUUAAGGAAUUCCUACUCUAAUUGCUCCCAACUGUCAAUGCUGCUAGAUUCUAAAUCUGUGUACCAAUCAAACGUGUUACCCUUCAAUGAGUGAACAAAUUGCUUAACUAGCAAGUCACCAUUAGUGCCAGCAUUGUUACAAUUUUCGACAAAGUGCGCAAUAUGUUGUUUAGGGUUACCUUUGUCAUCAAAUUAUUGAAACUUUGAAAAUUGAAAUCCUACAAGCAUCUUCAAACAUUUACUCUUGUGGUGUAAGGUUUGAUAUAAUUGCUAUAUGACUUGGUAUUUCCACCAAUCUUGUCCUUGAUCGUACCUUUGAUAAACUCCUUUAAAUUAUCAACAUGAAUGGUACUAUCAGGAGAGAUUGAAAACUCCUUCAUUAUUCGUGACUUGGUAUCCUCUUUCUCUUUCUUCCUUGAUGAUGAGUUACCUUCAUAUUUUUUACCAUGGCCAUUAGUUUGGCUAUUUUGGCAUCUUGACUUUGCACGUGCCCUGCUAGCCCUUCGACAAUUUGGCAAGAUUUGAAAUUUGAUCUCUACGGUUGUGGUGUUAGUCAUCAUGAUGGGCAUUACCACAGAAGUAGCUAAAUUGCUUGAGCUAUCAGCAGAUUCAUCAUGGACUCCCUUCUUGUUGGGAAAAAUCUCAAAAUUUUUUCUUUCAACCACAGCAUUCGCCUUAACCCUAUCUACUAAUUUCUUAGCCUUGCUCCUUGUCAUAGGUGUAGUAUACUGCAUCUCCUGAGUUGUUGGGAUGCCAGCAACUGAGCCUUCAAGAGCAAAACUCAUCUUCUUGGACUCCAUUGAUUCUUGAAACAAGUAAGCUAUUCAAAGAAAAGAGAUGAAAAACAGAGAUGGUCCCACCAGACGUGUCAUAAAAUUUGUGAGCAUAAAUUUUGUUGCCUAAAAUAAAGACAAGAAAAUUUGCAUAAAUAUCAAAUUUAUUAAAUCAAAUAAUAAAUGGGUUAUAAUUUUUGAAAAUUCUUGAAUUAAAGAUAUUAAUCUUCUAAUUCUUCUCUUCAAAAACUUCAAUUGAAGGGUUGAAAAGACUUGUUUACCGAUCAAGAGGGUGUUUCCUACGAUUUUGACAUAGAAAACCGCUGAUUUGAUGAUGACGUUAAAUAGUUGAUGUUGGGUUUGGAUUUUAUUCCACCAAUCGUUCAUUUUGUUGGAUUUGAGUUUUAUACCACCAACUGUGGGAUAAAACCCAAUCCCAAUAAAAUGAACGGUUGGUGGGAUAAUACUCAAAUCCAAUAAAAUGAAUGAUUGGUGGGAUAAAAUCCAAACCCAACACUUGUAUCUUUAAAUCUUCAAUGUCGAUAGAAGGAGGAUUUAUUUUAACUUGAUUUGGAUUUGAAUUUAAGGGAAAAUGCUCUCGAGAGAAUUUGACAGAAUUUCUUCAAAAUUUAGAAAUUUCAAUGUGUUUUUGUACUAAGAGAAUACCUUUAUUUAUAGGCAAAAUAUGUAGAUUAUGUCUUCAAGAAAAUUCUCCAGAACCUUCUUGCGUUUGGGUAACUUGUACCUCAAGAAACUCAUUUAACUUAGGUUUAAAUAGUGGGCCUAUUCAAAUAAUCCAUUGUGAAUUAAUACAUCAAUUAAUCCACUUUAAUUUAAAUGGGUAACACAUUGAUUUGAUUUGAUUUAAUAGCCCAUAUAUCAUUGGUCUAUUUUGUCAAUCAAAACAUAAUAGACUGCUAUAAUUUAAUUUAAUGUAAUCAAGAUCAAUUUAAUUUAUUUAAUCUUGACUAAAUAAAUUUUCUUUGUCUACAGCAUGUACGUGUAAUUUUCCAAAUAAUGAUACUUUUCAAAGAGAGUUUUCAAAUAAUGAAAGUUCUAAAACAAGGCAUUCACCGAAUGCGUGAAUGUAUCUUUUUAAACAACGCAUUUAGUCAAUACGUUUUUAAGGAAAAAUGCCUAUACAAAUAAAAGAAUGAAUUCUAUAAAUGUGUCUUUUGAGGAAACAACACAUUUACUAAGUACGUUUUUUCACUCUUUGGGAAGAAGUUCAAAAAACACCACCAUUUGAAAGGUAAUUUUAGAAAAUCCCACUUUUUGAGAAUUUACUCAAGCUUGUACUUGACAAAAUGUGUUGGGAAAAUUGUGACGUCAGGUGAAUUGUAAAACUGUUGUGCCAUCGUAAUGUAUGUUUUGCACUAGAUUGAGUAAGAAUUAUAUCAAAAUAGUCGGCCACAAUAUAGGAAUGUGAAAACUUUGUGUUAAGUAAGUUGUAAUAUUUUUGUAUCAUCUAACGUAUAUUUGAAAACGAUUGAGAAUAUAAUAUAUGGAAACAACAGGUCACAAUGUUGAAAUGUCAAACCUCUUGUUUCAAACCAAAUACUUAUUAAACUCCUUCAUAUCGCUAACGAAUUUUGAUUCUGAAGUAAUAAUAGUUUUAUUUAAUUAUUUGCCUUUUUUGGAACAAUAUUAAAAUGUAGCCAUAAAUUUAAAUUCCAAAAUUGUUGAAUACUUGAGGAAUUCUAGAAAUGGCACUGAGAGUCAAAGUUCACCUUAUUCAAAAGUCACCAGCCAUCUCAGAGUGCAUGUUUCUAUUGAGUUUCAGGUUCAAUGUGUACCCACUUCCACUUUUGGCUGAUCAAUCAGGACUAAGGUUCCGUUUGAUAAAACUGAAUCUGAAUUCUGAAAUCUGAAUACUGAAACAAUUAAUUUGCUGAAUUUUAAGUUCUGAAAAGAAAUAUAUGAAUGUCUGAAUUUUAAUGUUAAAUCUAUUUCUACUGUUUGAUAAACAUUUAUAACUGAAUGCUUAAUAAGUUAAAUUUGACAAAUUUGCCCUUAAUCUUUUCAUCCAAAAAAGAAGUAGAACCUAUGAUUUAAUUAGGUAAAAAUGUUAGGUAUGAAAAUGACAAUAUUUAUUUUUAAAUCAAAUUAAUAUAAAAGAUGAAAUAUAUUAUAUGCGGAGUGGAGAAGAUGUAAAAAUCAUUCAAAAUGGAGAAAAAAGAAAUAGAAAAUCAUUAGAUAGAGAAUAUUAGAUUGUUUAAUUAGAUAAGAAUUUUGAACAUAAUUAACAAACAAUGGUAGAUUUGAUAGAUAAGAUAAGGUAAUUGAAGUAAUUCUAUUGAUUCUUAUCAGAAUUAAGUAUUCAGUUAGGAUUUUUGUGCUGAAAAAAAUACACACAAUUUCAGCACUACUUAACAAGUUCAGCAAAUAGAUUUUCAUUUAUCAAACAUUCAAAACAUCUAAAUGUCUAAAAAAAUUUAGAUUCAACACUUUUUUAUAUUAUUAAACAGACCCUAAGAGAAUAAAAUAACUUGCUUGCUGUUAGCGAUGGCAACGGGGCGGGGUUGGGGCGGGGGACCCCUCCCCCGUCCCCCGCCCCGUUGCCUAUUAGUUCCCCCUGUCCCCCGCCCCCCCCCCCGCUUCCCCCGCGGGGUUAAUAAAAUUUUAUUAUAAUUAAAUUUUAAUAAAUAAUCAAUUACUAAAAUAUCAACACAUCACCAAAUUAUUAUUCAUUGUAAUUUUACAAUUAAAACUCAUAAAAACAAUCAAACAAAAGUUAUUUGAAUACAAUCCAAUAUGAUGAAAUAAAUAUAACUAAAAUAGUUAAGUUUUCGCUUUUAGUACAAAUGCAAUCACUAAUUCAUUAUUGUGUUUGUGCUUUUCUUUUGAGAAAAAAGUGUUAUUCUAUUAAGUGUAAUUAGAAAUUUAGUAUAAAUGUAUUAGUAAAUUUAGUAUAACUAAUUAAUAAAUUUUAUUAGUAGACAUGUAUAAUUAUUCAUAUAAUUGAUAAUAUCAAUUAUAUUACAUAAACUACUAUACAUUAUAUAAUACAUCUAACUAAUAAUAUCAUUAUCAUAAGUUUAUAACUAAUUAACUUACAUAUUAUAUAUAAUUAUAUAUAUAUUUUUUUUAGGGUGGCGCGGCGGGGGAUGGGGCGGGGGUAUACUCCCCCGUCCCCCGCCCCGUUUCUAAGCGGGGGGAAAAAUUCCCCCCCCCGCCCCAACCCCCGCCCCGAGAGCCCCCCGUGGGCACCCGCCCCCAUUGCCAUCCCUACUUGCCGUUUUUAAAAAAGGAUUCAUUAUUUUUUCUUUGAGCAUUGGUAUCUCCACCCUCAAUGACACUAAUCUGGAUUCAAUAUGAGGAGUGUCCGUAGAGGCUGACUCUUACUCGAGAGUAAAGACUUGACCCAGAGCUUUUCAAGGCGUCAUCAUAUGUAGGAGUCAAACUUAUGAACUCUGUGCAUAGAUAAUUUAGCUCCAGUCUGUGGAAUGUCUUGAUGUUAGGUGAGUUGUAAUAUUUUGGUAUCAUCUAAUGAAAUUUUUAAAAGAUUGAGAAAUAAUAUAGAGCAAAACACCAAUUUAUUCCCUAAAUUAUUUUGCUAAAAUCAAAAUACUCCGUAAAUUUAUUUUGAGUCAGUUUAGUCCCCCAACUAUUUUUACAAAGCUGAAAUAGUCCUUAAACUUUAUUAUGAGCCAAUUUAGUCUCUCAACUAUUUUGUUUAAGUGAAAUAGUACCCCACCUUUAUUUAUUUGGCCAGUUUGGUCCUUGUUUGACUCAUCCACCCAAUUUAUCAACCUUGUGCACUAACAAUCAGGGGCAAAAUAAGAAAUUUAGUCAAUGCCCUUACUAAAAUGAUAGAAGAAUUAGAUAUCUGGCAAAAUUAAAAACAAAAUUGAAUCAUAUAGAGAACAAAAAAAUAUAGUGUUUCUUAUGGAGGAAAAAAAUGGAGCUGAUGCCUAAAAUCUCACAUGGAUCCAACUCAGUCCAUUGAAUGGAGAAAAGGGAAAAUAACACAACAAGAAUAUGUUAAAAGUUGGAAAAUGUGCUAUAAUUAUGAUUACUCCUUUAAGAAAUAAAGCUGAAAGAAGCUCAAUUUCUUUUUGUUUUCCAUAUUAUUCAAUUUCGUUGUCGAUUUUUCGAUAGAUGUAUGUUUUUUUUUUUGUUUUAAUAAGGGCUAUGAUUGGAUUUCCUAUUAUGCCAUUGGCUGUCGAUGCUACACUUGAUAAAUUAGAUGGAUCAUCCAAAUAAAGACAAAAUUGGCUAUGUAAACAUUAGUGAGGGACUAUUUCAGCUUAAGAAAAAUAGUUGAGGGACUAAAUUGGCUUAUAAUAAAAUUAGGGACUAUUUCAGCUUUGUAAAAAUAGUUGAGAGACUAAAUUGACUCAUAAAAUGUUUAGGGACUAUUUUGACAUUAAGGAAAUAGUUUUGGGACUAUAAACAUUAGGUCACAAUGUUGAAAUAUCAAAACCCAUGUUUUGGACCAAAACUCAUAGAACUUCUUCACGUCGCUAACGAAAUUUGAUUAUGAAGUAAUGCUAAUUUUAUUUAUUAUUUGUUUCCUUGCUGGUCUUCUGUCUUUUUGGUUAUUCCAAAAUUGUUGAAUAUUUAAACGAAUUCUAGAAAGGGCACUGAGAGUCAAAGUCUUAUUCAAACAGCCAGCUAUCUCAAAGUACAUAUUUUUUUAUUAUCAGGUUCAAUAUGUAUCUAUUGCAAUUUUUGAAUGACCAGCCAUGACUAAGAGAAUAAAAUAAUUCACUUGCUGUUUUUAGAUAUGAAUUCAUGACUGUCAGUAGUCUAUAAAUACACUUAUUGCUCACCACUCUUUGCACCGCAAAAUCUCUUCAAGAUCCAACAAACCCUCCUGUUCUUGGUCUUUGUCCAUUUGUGAAAAAACAAAUUAAAGCGUCAUGGCCCCUAUCACUUGUAGUGCUGAGAUGACCUCCCCAAUCCCUCCUGCAAGGUUGUUCAAGGCCGCCAUCCUUGAUGACCACCCUUAAUGCCACAGGCUAUUAAGAGUGUGGAAAUCCUUGAAGGAGAUGGUGGCGUUUGAACCAUUGAGUUGAGCACAUUUGGUGAAGGUUAGAUGUUAUAUUAAAUGUAGAACCCCAAAUUUAAGGAUCUAAUAAUAAUCAAUGCGUGCAGGGUUACAGAAUUGGAGGGAUAAAACAAAUACUCAAAAUAUACGUGGAAGAAAAGAAAAAUAAUAAAUUCAACUCACAAUAUUAUUGAAAUUUCAAACAAUGAAGAAAAUCAUACCACAAUGAAUUCAACUGGUUCUAAUAAUAAUCAAAGCAUACAAGGUUACAGAAUUAAAAGGAUAAAACAAACACUCAAAAUAUAUGUGGGAGAGAAGAAAAUAAUAAAUUCAACACACAAUAUUAUUGAAAUCUCAAACAAUGAAAAAAGUCACACCAUAAUAGAAAACCUUGCUAAUGCUUCUAGAUUCUUUCUCUUGAGAAACCAACCUAAAUAAUGUUCUAUUUAUAAUCUACCAAACUUGUUAGGAAAGAAACCACUUGCAUAAGAAAUUACCAAAUAAUACAGAAAUUCCUAAAUCACACAACUACUAAAAACAUAACUCAAAUAAAACUAAAAAAUAAAUAAAUAUUACUAGGCUUAGUUUAAUUUGUCAACAUUGCCUCCUUUAAACCAUACUAUCCAUUGAGAUAGGUUCAACACCAUCUCGAGCAAUAAUUUCUAUGCAAAUCUAUGUUGUAGUACACUUGACAUGAAACUCUAACUUGUUACCAGUUAUUAAUUUCAUUUUUACACGUAACAGUGGACACACUAUGUAUUGUGUAAACAACUUCUCAGCAAUUUCUUCUUGAUCAAAGAACUCACUUAUACAAACCCAUUCAUCACCAGAAUCACCAUAUUUACCACCAAUGUAAGUGCCUAAAAAUACAAAAUCAUAGAUUUCUUUCUCGCUAAAAUUAUCAUCACCAAAUAAUUCAAAAUAACCACUACUACAAUCAUCCAAAAUUUUCAUACUGUCAGUCAACUCUUUUGGAGUAAAAUAUUUUUCAACUCCGAUGACAUCCAUAUCUAUUAAAUCAAACAUUCUCCCAUCACUUUGAAGAGAGUCCGAACCAACGAAUUUUUCAACAACAAUUUCAUGUUCUCUUCUCUUAUCAAAUCAAAAUUUUUUUCUUCUUUUGUCAAAUUACCAUAUUAUUUUUUUCAACAAAUUCAUUACUUCUAAUUUCUCCAAACAAGGUACGCAAAUCAAAACUAUCAAUUGAUUCAAAAUUUUCGAUAUCACCCAUAUUAUCAACAAAUCUAUCAUUUUUAAAAUCCACAAACCAAUACCAAUAAAUAGACUUCGGUUUGAAAGCAUAAUUUCUCCCAAUCGUGUGCAAAACAUAGUAAAUAUCCUUCCAAAAUCUCUAAAGUAUUUUAAUUAGUACGACCAAUAAAGGUUUUAUAAACACUUUUUGCCAUUAUUUUACGCAUCACUUGAAAGAAUAAUUGUGCCUUUUUCUUAAAAACAUGUUUUGACAACUUACUUGCAUCAACCCAACAAAGAAUAUCAUCCAAAUUACAUUGUUUAACAUAUUUUUCCACUAUUAAAAUCCAACCAAAAUAUGUAUGUCCAUUUGUGCUUAUAGGAGUCAAUAUGAAAAAUUUUUCACCGUGAAUCAGAUCUUUAUAAUAUUCCAUUAUUUAACAAUUUGUAUACCUGGAUAAAUUUUUUUCCUCCAUCCUGUCAUGUUUUCUUGGCCUCCCUGGUUGACUAACCAAAUUAUUGUUGUAUGUAUACCCAUGCUCGUCAAACCUCAUUUGUGUACACUCGUAAGGAGUGGUUCUGAGCUUCUUGUGAAUGCUCAGUACCAAGAAGUAGAAGAGAGAAUGCAUAAGAGAGAAUUAACUUGGCUAUAGAAAUAGGAAACAAUUGAGGGAUUUUUUAAGAAAUUAAUUCUCCAGCUACCACUUUUGGAAAUUUUCUAUCAACAACUAGUUACCAAAACACUAGCACAUAAUAAGAAAUCAGGAUAAUUUCAGAAACCUCCCUUGAGGCUUUUAAUAACCUCAAGAAGCUCCCCUCAAUAUUUUAAAAUUACACGUACCUUCCCUAUUGGUGCAAAAGUACUCUACUACCCCUAAUAGGAUACUCAAAAGACUUUUUUUUAUGGGAAAAAUGAAGCUCAGAAAUCCAAGCAAAAUCAAAAAAAUCAAUUGAUUUUCUCUUUUAGCCUUUUACACUUUUGCCUUCUACCUUUGCUCACUUUCCCAUCCCAAUCUUCCUACACCCGCUUUCCCAAUCCCCUUUCCCCAACUUUUCUCCUCUACUUCAAGACCAAUUUUUGUCUAUCUAUCCUGGCUUGUGCUUUGUUCCAUUCCCUUCCCUUCUCCUUCUUUGAUUUCGCCUACAUCUCCCUUUCUCUUUGCAAAAGUGACUAGGCUCAUGUCUCUCUUUUUCCCCCCUAUUCUAAGUGUAGUGGGUUUGAUUAUUUUGCAUCUAUUUUAUUUGAUUUGGGUUGAUUAUGGGUGAUAGAACUUGGCGAUGUCAAAUAUCAAAAGUUUGAUAGAUGGAUAUUGGGCUUUAGACAAUGAUUUGCUGAAAAAAAUGGCUGCAAUGAGACAAAGAGGCAAGGGGAUUUGAGUGUGGGGUUGAUUGUUGAUAAAUUGUUGUUUUGGACAAAAUUUGAGGUUGAGUUUUAUUAAAUUUGAUAGCAAGUGGCGAGUUUUGUUCAGGUUGCGGGAAAUAAAUUAGAUUGUGGUUUCUUGGGCACCCACAGUUGUUGGAAUUGGUUUUGAUUCAAAUUAGGGUGGUUACUUGAUUUUCCUAAUAGUGUUGCUUAAAAGCACACGAUCAUCAAAAUUCCUUAUUUUUAUCUUUUGUUUUUUCUUGUAGAAAAGAUUUCACGACUUUCGUGAUAGUCUAAUUUGGAAGAAGGCAAUCAAGGGAUGCAAUCAACAUUUAGCAAAAGCUCUUGUUCUUUCCUUUGUAAUUUUUAGGGUAAAAAGGGUAGUUUAGGGUAUUUGAAGGAAAUGAUAGUCUAUUGGGUCUAUUUUCAAGCAUAAAUAGUGAACGUAAGGGAGGUUGGUGUAAUUUCUGAAACCUAAGGGAAAUUGUCUGAAAUUGUUCGAGACCUCAGAGGAGGUUUUCGAAAUUAUCCCUAAGAAAUCAAAUGCGAAACUUGAUUAGUACACGCACACACGACACCGCACCACGCCGCGCGUGUGUUGAGGAUUGGUGUCCGUAACCAACGACAAGCAGGUUUUCAAUUUUUUUUUCCUUUCCUGGAUUCUCCAGAGAUGGUGUCAGCUUCUAUUAUUGAUGAGCAGGAGGAAAUCCACAAUAUACAGUACACAUCACCCAUAUUCUUUUUAAUUGAACAAUGUAUGAAAUUAUGGUGAUUCGAAAUUAAAUUAUAUGUUUAUUGGGCACUGAAUCCAAAAUAAGAGUUGGAAAUGUAUUGUGACAACAAUUGUUAACAUAGGCCACAAAUGAUCAAAACAAAUAUUUAAGGUUUAAUAUGACAUUAUGGGUUCAGAAUAUAGUUACUUGUUAUGAAACAACUAAAAGUAUGGAUAUCCAUUUGUAUUUUCAAGAGGAUCAAUUCAUAAUUCAUUGCUCCCAAGAGGAUUAAUUCAUAAUACAUUGCUACAUUAUGUAAAGGAAUUGCAUUGGAUGAACGGUUUCAAUCCAUAAAAGCUAUUUAUGUAUUGGAUGAACCGUUUCAUAUGGCUAUUCAUGUUCUUGUAGUAAUGAGUGUUUAAUAGAAUUGAUGUACCUUUAAUUUUGUAGUACCUAUAUAUACAGGUACUUUGGCACCUCUUGGGUAUACUUUUUGAUUAGUUGGAAUAAUAAGAAAAUUAUUCUUCAUUUCUGUACUUCUUUCUCUAAUAUUUCAAUUCCUAUUAUAGUAGUUCAUUUUUUUUAGUUUUACAACACGUUAUUAGCAUGAGUCUCUACUUUUGAACAAAAAGGUGAAAACGGAGCCUCUACCUUAAAAAAAAGUGAAACACGAGAUUCUGCCAAAAUUUUGCCCGUAUUUUUCCGGCAACUUCUGUCCACUUAUUGAGAAAUGGAUGCCAAAUAUUUGGGAUUAAAUAAUGGUGAUGAUGAUAUUUGUCUCAUUGAUAGUGCUACUACGCACACUAUAUUGAAAAAUAAAAAAAAAAUUUCUUGUAUGAAAAUGGGAGAGACAAAUGUUAAUACCAUAACUGGUAGUGCAAAAUUGAUUGAACGCUCCGGAAUAGCCUCUCUAUUUCUUCAUGAAGGGACUAAAAUUGUCGUAAAUAAUGCACUACUGUCUCCCAAGUCUCGGAGAAAUUUAUUGAGUUUUAAAGAUAUCUGCGAAAAUGAAUACUAUAUAGGGAUAAUGACUGAGACAAAUGGAGAAUUUUUAUUAAUCACAAGUAUCAUUUCUGGGCAGAAAUGCGUAGUAGAAAAAUUACCUUCUUUUUCUUCUAGCUUAUAUUAUGCACAAAUUAGUGCAAUUGAAAUUUAUCACCUAGUAGACCAGAAGUCUACUCAUCCCAAUAAUUUUAUGAUUUGGCAUGAUCGUCUCGAAAAUACUGAAUCUAUAAUGAUGAGACGAAUAAUCAAGAAUUUACAUGGUCACUCAUUGAAAAAUUAAAAGAUAUUAAAAGCAAAUGAAUUCUCCUGUGUUGCUUGUUCCCACGGAAAAUUAAUUAUUAGACCAUCACCAGUUAAAGUUGGGACUGAAUUCCCUACAUUUCUAGAACGAAUUCAUAGUGAUAUAUGUGGACUCGUAGAUCCACCAUGUGGACCAUUUCGAUAUUUUAUGGUGCUAAUUGAUGCAUCAACUAGAUGGUCACAUGUAUUUUUAUUAUCUACUCGCAACUUGAUAUUUGCGAGAUUGCUUGCUCAAAUAAUUAAAUUGCGAGCACAAUUUUCAGACUAUCUAAUAAAGAAAAUUCAUUUAGAUAAUGCUGGUAAAUAUUCGUCACAUGCUUUUGACAAUUAUUGCAUAUCUAUUGGAAUAACUAUUGAACAUCUUGUAACUUAUGUUCACACACAAAAUGGUCUAGCCGAAUCAUUUAUUAAAUGGUUACAAUUAAUUGCUAGACCAUUGUUGAUGAGGUCUAAACUUCCUUCAUCUGCUUGGGAAUAUGCUAUAUUAUAUACAGCAAUACUUGUGAGAAUUAGACCGACAAGUUAUCAUACUUAUUUUCCUCUAUAAUUAACUUUUGGUUAUAAGUCAAAUAUUUCUCAUUUACGAAUAUUUGGUUGUUCGGUUUAUGUUCGAAUUGCACGGCCCCAAUGUCGUAAAUUGGGUCCACAAAGAAGAUUGGGGAUAUAUGUCGGAUAUAAAAUCACCUUUAAUUAUUAAGUAUAUGGAACCAUUGACAGGUGAUUUAUUUACUGCAAGAUUUGCAGAUUGUCAUUCUAAUGAAUCACAUUUUUCGACAUUAGGGGGAGAUAAAAAUCAAUCGAAAAAGAAAAUCACUUGAAAAAUAUCAUUCAAUUUUCUCGAUUCUCGUACCAAAGAAUGUAAACUAGAAGUUCAAAGGAUUAUACAUUUGCAAAAAAUUACAAAUCAACUACUGGACGUAUUUAAUGACUCCAGAAGAGUUAUUAAAUCACAUAUUUUUAUUGAAAAUACUCCGAUUAAAAUUAAUGUCCUUGAAGGACAAAUUACAAGUGUUAAUGAGUGUAAAGUGCGCCUGAAGCGUGGGAGACCUCUUGGUUCUAAAGAUAAAAAUUCUCGAAAGAAAAGAGAAAUUGAUGAAUCAACAAUUAGUGACAAAAUUCAACCUCCUGAAGAAGUCGCUCCUAAAGAGCCAAUUCUUGAAGAUAAUGAAAUUAUAGAAAAUUCAAUAAAUUUUGUCGCUUCAGGAAAAAGUUGGAACAAAAAAAAAUUAUUAAUAGUAUUUUUGCAUAUAAUGUAGCACUUGUUAUUAUGGUAGGUAAUGAAGAUCGUGAGCAUAGAUCGGUUGAUGAAUGUCGACGUAGAAAUGAUUGGCCAAAAUGGAAAGAUGCGAUUCAAUCUGAAUUGGACUUACUAGCUACAAGAAAAGUUUUUGGGCCUGUAGUCCAAACACCUGAAGGUGUAAAGUCAGUAGGAUAUAAAUGGGCAUUUGUGAGAAAAAGAAAUGAGAAAAAUGAAAUCGUGAGGUAUAAAGCAAGACUUGCAACCCAAGGAUUUUCACAAAGGCCUGGAUUUGAUUAUGAUUACACGUAUUCACCUGUAGUGGAUGCUAUCACAUUUAGAUAUCUUGUGAGUUUUGCAGGACAUGAAAAAUCAGAUAUGCAUCUAAUGGACGUCGUUACUGUAUAUUUAUAUGAAAAUUUUGAAAAUGAUAUUUAAACGAGAAUCCCUGAAGGAUUCAACAUGCCUGAAGCAUGCAAAUCAAAUUUUAAAGAUAUUUAUACUAUUAAAUUACAAAGGUAUUUGUAUGGGUUCAAACAAUCUGGACGUAUGUGGUACCGCCUCAAUGAAUGUUUAACUAAAGAAGGCUAUACCAAUAAUCUAAUACAUCCAUGUGUCUUUAUCAAGAAAAAUGGACUAAUUUUAUGAUAAUUGUUGUCUAUGUUGAUAAUCUUAAUCUGAUUGGAACUCUUGAAGAGAUUCAAAAUAGUGUUGAAUAUUUGAAGAAGAAGUUUGAAAUCAAAGAUUUUGGAAAAACAAAAUUCUACAUUGAUUUACAAAUUGAGUGAUAGGUUGCAAUUUUAUCAUUUAUUUUAUUAUUAAUUUUCCCUAUUACUUAACCCAAUGUGAAUUAAUUAUUAGAUUCUACUCACUUUUAGUAUUUUACAUAUAUUUCAGGGAGUAGAACGAAAAUACCAUAAUAAGUGCCGAUUUGACAGUUAUCAGGAAAGAGUUCAAGUAGCAGGCAUCCAGGGCAUUUUUGGAACAAGGAGAUACAAGUCCUUUUUGGUAAUUCGCAGAGCGCAGCAUUAAAAGGAGGAACGAAGGGCUGAAGUAGGGAGUCUUCUUCCCCCUGGGAGGAACCGCCGCACAGCAGAGGGCUGUCUGGUCCUCUUAGUUUUUCCGUUUCUUUAGUUUUAGCUUCGGAUUUUGACUUUUCUUCUCGUAGGAAUUUUGGGUAGCCUUGAGCUUAGCAACUUUUGUUGACCCUUUUUUGGCCUUUUAGCUAGUUUGUUCUUACGCAUGGAAGAUGGCUGAAUAGCUGAGGCUUGUUCUUUGUUUUUCUUUGACUUUUCCUUUUGGUUUGCUUCCUGCGGACGCCCAGACCGAAGGAAAACUAUGAAGUCCCUUUUGUAGCUUUCUCUCUUUAUUAAAUAGACGAAUUGAAUUCCCUCAACUUGCGAAUUGAUGGCCGCAGCUUUUGCUUCAAUUUCUUGUGGGUUUAGUUCAUUAAUUAUGAACUAAUUCUACAAUUCUAGUCAAGGGGACAACUGACGAUUUGGUUCGACAAUUACUGUGAGAUCGAAUCUGUUUUAAUUAUUUUCUUCAUUUAUUGGUAUUUAUAUGUUCCUUGAUUUUAAUUGCUAUGGCCUUGUGUAUGAUUGAUUAGUGCGCAAUAAUUAAUUAUUCAUAUAGGCUAUUUUGCUAAAUAGAGGUAAUUGAAUCCGUAAUUGUUCGUUAUCUCUAUCUUAGUAGCAACUGGCGUAAUUGGGUUUAUGUCAGGGGAGCAUAUGAUCUAGCUUAAACAAACCCUCGUAGCGUGUUUGUUGGUUAGGAUUGGGCCUUUCUAAUUAUUAAUGCAAUCUAGAAAUUAAAUCUUACGGUCGUACCUAGGGUUGUUUUUGGGUUAGAGAAAUAGCUAACGGUCGUACCUUAGCUAUCGAUAAAUUAAGGAAGGGUUGGUUGUUUAUCGCGUGCAUGACAACUAUAACCAAUCUAUUAAUAAAUGUUGGGAUUAUUUUUGCAUCAAUGAUCAGUGCAUGAACCAUUUCUGAAGUAUACCCUUGGCUAGAGUUUCUCUUAGUUAUUUCUUUUAAUUAAUUAUUUUCUGCAGUUAAUUUAUUUAGUUAGCAUUUAAUCCAAAACCCCCCAUACUUUGGACUCUAAAAGAAACAAUUACUCCCAGUCCCUGUGGAUUCGACCCUGCUCACCGCUAUCUACAGAAAUCACUUUUAGUUUGAGCAGGUAUUUAUUAUUGCACAGGCUUCGACGACCUGUCAAUCUUUGGCGCCGUUGCCGGGGACUGGUGCCAGAUUAAAUUGUUUCUUUUUGAGUUUAUCUUGUUUUCAUUUUUUUAAUUUAUUUUUCUCUUAUUUUUUAUUAUUAUUAUUAUUUUUUUUAUGGCUGCUAACAUUCCAUAUUUUGAUGAUAGACUGGAUUUUGUUCCUGAAUGGGGUUAUGAGACUCAUGUUUUUCCUAACGAUCAAUGGGCUGUUGCAAAUUGUGGAACUUAUUUUGACUCAAGUUAUUCAACUGACACAUGCCCCGUAUUUCAAGAUAAUUUAAGUUCUCCACUUGAUACUUUUGGAGAUUUUUCACCCCAAUAUCAAACGUGGUAUGACCCUUAUUCAAACGGGUAUGAUCAAGGAUGGUGGGAUAAUUCCAAUUUUGAUUAUGCGACCGGGCCAAUGGAUUUUCAACAGCAAGAGUCUCAGCAAUCAUCCUCCGUGUCAGGUAUGUCUCUUGAAGAAAUGAUAGGUUUACUAAUUGCUAAUUCAAAUCGAUUUCAUCAGGAGACACAAGCGAGCCUAAAUCGAUUUCAUCAGAGGACACAAGCGAGCUGUCGCGACCUGGCGGAUCAACUGCGUCAAUUGACAGCCAGGAUGCAGCGAUUAGAGGCUCACCUUGAAGAAUUGCCCUCGCAAACCAAUAUCAAUCUUGAGGAAGAUGAGAGUGCAAUUGUCCGGGCAAAUGACAUGGAACUGCAAGAGUUUCAAGAAAACGGAUUUAAAGAUGCAGUUGAAAAGGAAGCUGAAGUGCAAGAAAUGAGACUCCAAGAUCAACUCGUUCAAGUGAAUGAAUCCAGUGAACAAUCUCCAAAUGCGGUGACAUCUUCUCCACUCCUUAAUCAAUAUUUUCCUGGCUCCUAUUCUUCAACUCCUGUUACUGAAAUUGAUUUUAUUAUACCAGAAAAUUUAAAAUUUCAUGACAGGAAUAAGUUAAGAGUGGAGAUGGCAAAAUAUCUUGAACCAAUGAAUGCGUGUGAUGGAGGAGUGAGUGGAGAAUGCAGAUCAUUGUUGACUUGUUUAGCGCCAUUUACUAGUCCAUGGAAGCCCGUAACUCGUGUGCCCAAGAAUUACUCCAUCUAUGAGGGUUACCAGGAUCACGUUGAAGAUGAAGCAUUGAAGCGAGCCACAAGAUUUUAUCCUCCAUGAGCAAAACAUGAUAAUGUCUAGCCAAAGACAUUAAAGAAAGGCGCUCAUUGGGAGGCAACCCAAUUUCUUUUAGUUGUUUGUUUGAUUUUAUUUGUUAGUUUAAAUCUGUCUUCCUUGAAUUUGACUGAUUUUGGGUGUUAAUUUUCGUUUUUACUGAUUUGUAGGUGACCUUCAGUCAUGACGCGCCCGCGUGGUGACGUGCAGGAAGCUCACGAUCAGAAACUUCUGGGAGCUCUCUUACCCUCAUGACGUGCCCGCGUCAAGUCACCUGGAGAGUUCCAGAUUCCGUGCCUUCAUGGUGUGCCCACGUCACGUUCACGGGAGAGAUAAGUAUUUAAAAAAAAAAUUCAAAAACGAUUGUUGAUUGUUGGUUAUCUCUGCUUUUGAAUCUCGAAAAUAAAAUUUGCUAAUGAAAAUAAAUUUCAAAAAAAUAAAAAAAAAUUUUUUAAAAAAAAAAAUUUAAAUUUUUGUUUCACGGUAGCUUAGAUUUUCAAAUCCUAAAAAAAAAAAAAAACACAGAAACUCUUUCUUAUCAACGUAGCUUUAGUGUCAAAUAUUUUAAAAAAAAAAAAGUCUCAAAUGAAAAAAAAAAAGGGCUUUUCUUUUUCUUUCUUUUCUUUCUUUCUUCUUCUUUCUCUUUUCUGUCUUCCUUCUCCCCUGUUUCUUCUUCCUCUCUGUUGACCGAAGCCCUCUGUCCGCCGCCGCUGCUGAAGCGCCCUCAGCCGUCGCGCAGCAGCUCCUCACUCGAAGACGCCGCGGCCACAGCACCUCUGCACGCGGCCUCCACCUCUCCAUCGCGCGCCGUCAAGAGCUCCGCCGACCCACGACGCGCGAGGCACCAGCUCGCGCGCCUCCCCCACCUAGCAACUGCUGGCCGACCAGCCCCACCACCAGCCCGCGCCGCACCUGCUGGCCGACCUAUCAACUCCUAAGCUCGCGAACCUCCUCAGCUCAGCUCCACCAGCGAGCUGCUCCUCGCUCACUCCAUCGCGUGAAGACCAGGCGAGCACGGCCCGCAGCCUCUCACCGCCACUGCGCACCUCUGACCAGCUCGCAGCACCUCUCUCUGCCCUCCGUGCGCUGCCCGCGCGUGGCACCAGCGCCUCCACAGCUCGUCGACGAAGCCCAAGCUGACAGACCACGCCGCUCGUCCACUUCCACCACUCGCGACGCACAGAUCAGCGCUGCCGUUGGUUGCCCAACCUCCCUGGUGCCAGGUUUUUCUUACUAAUUUUGUGGUCUACGAUUCCAAUUUCUUGAUGAUGGGAUUUUUGAUGAUUACGAUUUCAUUGAGUAAAUUUGAUUGGCUUGCAUCUGUGUUACUGGAGCCCGUGGGUUGGGUUAUGACCUGCAACUGAUUUGCCUAGUCUAAUAUAAUUGUCAUUUGUUUGGGCUCUUGAAGUACUGUCUAGUGUUGUUUGUAUUUCUUAGUGAAUUGAGUUUGCCGUUUGAUUUCAUUCUUCCCUGUGCGUACACCAGUGGUACUGGUUGUGGUAGUUGCCUAACAUUUAUUCAUUCUCAUUGGUGUGGCUGUUGGGAUUGAAAGCUCAGAACUUGUGACUAAGUUGUUAUUGCCUAAAUGCUGACCUGCUAUUACUAGACUUGCUGAUUUCUUGGGAGCAUUUGUUGGGAUUUUGGGUGGAUAUUAGCAAGUGGUAUAUUGCUUGAUUUUUUUUACCUGUGCCUUGCUUGGAGUUUCUAGUGCAUGUUUGGGGCUGCCUUGGGAGUUAUUUGCCACAAUUGAUUGCCGUUUUGGUUUCUUCUGUUUCUGGUACUGCUUGUGCUGAUGGAUUUAUCAGUGUUUUGGGCGGCUUAUUUGAAUUGCUUCUUCCCUGUGUGUUUGGUCAGCUGUUUGCUUGAAAACCCAAACCCUUGUGCUUAUAUUUGCUCCCAGUUGAGUUAUGUGUUGGACUUUCCAAUUGGUGACAACUUUUGGGCUUUAGGGGUGAGUUCAUUUUGUCAUUAUUUGCUACCUUGUUGGGGUCAUUUUUGGUUUCACCUGAGUCUAUUGUCCUGCCUUCUGUUUUGAGUCCAUUGGAGUGACGUGAGUUGAGUAAUUUCUGCUUUUGUUUGUUGAUUUGGAAGGCUACUGUGCCACUUUCAUUGCUUAUUGCUUAGUGAUUAUGUCUAAUUAACAAUGUGCAUAGCAUGGCGCAGAAUUUGGCAGCAUUCAUGUAGCAUGCCGGUCUUAUACCUCAAUUGGGUACCUCUAUUUGGUUGGCUGCGUUCUUAUUGUCCAAUAUCUAUGCUGUUUUCAAUGGAAUUGCUGAUCUUGGGUUAAGACUUUAGCUGGCCAACUGGAGCCAUUUGUUGAGAUUUUGGGUGAACUGCAAUACUGCACUCGUUUGUUCAAUUGGGAGGUUUCUUUUGGUAUUCUGGUUGAGUUAUUUCUAAAGUUGCCUGAUGAAUUGAGAGACAUAGAUGGCUAUUGCUCUGCCCUGAUAUUGCUUGGUUGCCAGUGCGCAUUCUCUAUGCCAAGUGGCAAGGAUGUCUCAGAACUCGGCUUCCCUCCACUGUUCCCUCCUAUCCCUUAGCUGUUCAGCAGGGAAGUCUCGUUAUCCUCUUCGCUUUAAUUAUUUUAUUACCUCCAUUGAGGACAAUGUAGGAUUUAGGUGUGGGGGGAGCAGUUAUGGUGCUAGUGUCUUUCGUUCAUUUUCUUUUUCUUCUUUUUAGUGAUUGGCUCGUAAGUGCAUGCCAAGGUUUGAUGUUGGAUUAUUGCCUCUAUUUCUACUUUUGCCAAGUUUUAAUAAUAAAAGGGUAUCAAGUUAAUGUGGUUGAAUCCAAAAACAUCUCUUUGGUGAAUAUCAAUAAUUGUUUUACUCUUAUAAUUUUUUGGUUAACUUUCCUAGGCAUAGGGAAUGAUUAUUGGCAUUUUUAGUGAAUUGGUCCGGUUAUUAACCUUAGUUCUCCAUGUUUGAAAAUGAGGCUAGCUGAUGCAAGUUUUCUUUUGGUUCUUGUGUUAUAUUGAGUUUUUGUGAUUUUUAGCUCUGAAUAAACUUGACUGUACUCCGCUAUUAGUUACUACUGAGUAACCGGGGAUCUGCACCUAAAAGUGUUGAUUCUCGCGUCAAAAGAUAGUAGUUCCUAUGAGUACGUGGUCACGUGGCGAUAGAAGCUGAGUAACCGGGCUCCUUCAUCUGGCCAAUGUUGGAAUUCGCGUCAAAAGGCUCUAAUGGCUAGCGACUAAGUCUUUUGUUACUAUUGAAAAAAAACGAGAAAGAAGAAGAAGAAAAAAAAAAGAAAAAAAAGAGAAAAGUAGAAAAAUGUGAAAGAAAAAGUGAAUGCUGUGUUAGUGUAUAAUAAAAGUCAGCUUGCCGAUUUAUGGAUUUAAUGUUGAGAUUUUGGUUAAUAGUUGGACCAUUUGCUGAUAACUGUUAUGCGUCAUUCCUUUUUCUUAGAUUGGUUAACAUGAAAUUAGAGGAAUUUAUGGUUUAGAAGCUAACCGGAGUGAUGUUUCUUGGACUAGACCAUUGAUGCUUGAUUAUUAUAUUUUCUUGGUAUCUUGGCAAUAUGGUAGAUGGAGUAAUAGCCAUUGGCAAGUGUUGGUGUUUAUUUGCUGUUCUCAUGCUUGAGGACAAGCAUGGUUUAGGUGUGGGGGGAAUUGAUAGGUUGCAAUUUUAUCAUUUAUUUUAUUAUUAAUUUUCCCUAUUACUUAACCCAAUGUGAAUUAAUUAUUAGAUUCUACUCACUUUUAGUAUUUUACAUAUAUUUCAGGGAGUAGAACGAAAAUACCAUAAUAAGUGUCCGAUUUGACAGUUAUCAGGAAAGAGUUCAAGUAGCAGGCAUCCAGGGCAUUUUUGGAACAAGGAGAUACAAGUCCUUUUUGGUAAUUCGCAGAGCAGCAGCAUUAAAAGGAGGAACGAAGGGCUGAAGUAGGGUCUUCUUCCGCCUGGGAGGAACCGCCGCACAGCAGAGGGCUGUCUGGUCCUCUUAGUUUUUCCGUUUCUUUAGUUUUAGCUUAGGAUUUUGACUUUUCUUCUCGUAGGAAUUUUGGGUAGCCUUUAGCUUAGCAACUUUUGUUGACCCUUUUUUGGCCUUUUAGCUAGUUUGUUCUUACGCAUGGAAGAUGGCUGAAUAGCUGAGGCUUGUUCUUUGUUUUUCUUUGACUUUUCCUUUUGGUUUGCUUCCUGCGGACGCCCAGACCGAAGGAAAACUAUGAAGUCCCUUUUGUAGCUUUCUCUCUUUAUUAAAUAGACGAAUUGAAUUCCUUCAACUUGCGAAUUGAUGGCCGCAGCUUUUGCUUCAAUUUCUUGUGGGUUUAGUUCAUUAAUUAUGAACUAAUUCUACAAUUCUAGUCAAGGGGACAACUGACGAUUUGGUUCGACAAUUACUGUGAGAUCGAAUCUGUUUUAAUUAUUUUCUUCAUUUAUUGGUAUUUAUAUGUUCCUUGAUUUUAAUUGCUAUGGCCUUGUGUAUGAUUGAUUAGUGCGCAAUAAUUAAUUAUUCAUAUAGGCUAUUUUUUGCUAAAUAGGGGUAAUUGAACCCGUAAUUGUUCGUUAUCUCUACCUCAGUAGCAACUGGCGUAAUUGGGUUUAUGUCAGGGGAGCAUAUGAUCUAGCUUAAACAAACCCUCGUAGCGUGUUUGUUGGUUAGGAUUGGGCCUUUCUAAUUAUUAAUGCAAUCUAGAAAUUAAAUCUUACGGUCGUACCUAGGGUUGUUUUUGGGUUAGAGAAAUAGCUAACGGUCGUACCUUAGCUAUCGAUAAAUUAAGGAAGGGUUGGUUGUUUAUCGCGUGCAGGACAACUAUAACCAAUCUAUUAAUAAAUGUUGGGAUUAUUUUUGCAUCAAUGAUCAGUGCAUGAACCAUUUCUGAAGUAUACCCUUGGCUAGAGUUUCUCUUAGUUAUUUCUUUUAAUUAAUUAUUUUCUGCAGUUAAUUUAUUUAGUUAGCAUUUAAUCCAAAACCCCCCAUACUUUGGACUCUAAAAGAAACAAUUACUCCCAGUCCCUGUGGAUUCGACCCUGCUCACCGCUAUCUACAGAAUUAAUUUUAGUUUGAGCAGGUUUUAUUAUUGUACAGGCUUCGACAACCUGUCAUUGAGCAUUUGAAAAGUGAAAUUUUUGUCCACCAAACUGCUUAUACCCGGAAGGUAUUAAAGUAGUUUUAUAUGGAUAAGGCAUAUACAUUAAGUACCCCAAUGGUCAGAUCAUUAGAUCCUAAUAAGGACCCUUUUAGACCGCGAGAGGAAGUUGAAGAGAUACUUGGUCCUAAAGUACCAUAUCUCAGUGCAAUUAGUGCACUAAUGUAUCUUGCUAAUUGUACAAGACCUGAUAUAUCAUUUGCAAUAAAUUUAUUAGCAAGAUUUAGUUCUCGCUCACAAGACGACAUUGGAAUAGUAUUAAACAUAUUUUUUGUUAUCUCCAAGGAUCAAUUGAUCUUGGCUUAUUUUAUUCAAAUAAAUCUAAACUUGAAUUGUUUGGUUAUGUUGAUGCUGGAUAUUUAUUUGGCCCACAUAAAGUAAGAUCUCAGACUGGUUAUCUAUUUACAUAUGGAGGUACAACCAUUUCUUGGCGAUCUACAAAGCAAUCAUUAGCUGCCAUUUCAUCGAAUCAUGCUGAAAUAAUAGCAAUUCAUGAAAUUAGUUGAGAAUGUGUUUGGUUAAAAUCAAUGACCCACUAUAUCCGGAAAAGUUGUGGGUUAUCCUCCGAAAAAGAAAAUCCUUCAACUAUAUUAUAUAAAGAUAAUGCAGCUUGUAUAACUCAAUUGAAAGGAUGAUAUAUUAAAAGAGAUAGAACGAAAUAUAUUUCACCAAAAUUCUUUUUUACUCAUGAUUUACAAAAGAAUGGUGAAAUUGAUGUGCAACAAAUCUGAUCAGAUAAUAAUUUGACAGAUUUAUUUACCAAUGCAUUGCCAACUGCAAUAUUUAAGAAAUUGGUGAAGAAUAUUGGAAUGCGACGACUAUAAGAUCUCAAAUGAUAUUUGCAUCCGGGGGAACAAUCAAUACACAAGAAUAGUGUACUCUUUUUCCUUCAUUAAGGUUUUUAUCCCGUUGGAUUUUUUCCUAGUAAGGUUUUAAUGAGACACAUUCUUUGUGUAAUGGACAUCCAAUGGGGAGUGUUAUGAAACAACUAAAAAUGUGGAUGCCCAUUUGUAUUCUCAAGAAGAUCAAUUCAUAAUUCAUUGCUUCCAAAAGGAUUAAUUCAUAAUUCAUUGCUACAUUAUAUAAAGGAAUUACAUUGGAUGAACGGUUUCAAUCCAUAAGAGCUAUUCAUGUAUUGGAUGAACCAUUUCAUAUGGUUAUUUAUGUUCUUGUAGUAAUGAGUGUUUAAUAGAAUUGAUGUACCUUUAAUUUUGUAGUACCUAUAUAUAGAGGUACCUUGGCACCUCUUGGAUGUACUUUUUGAUUAGUUGGAAUAAUAAAAAAAUCAUUCUCCAUUUCUGUACUUUUUUUUCUAAUAUUUUAAUUCCUAUUAUAGUAGUUCAUUUUUUUUUUAGUUUUACAACAUUACUCAAAGAAGAGGGUUAUUGGACUAUAUGUUUAUUGACCUCUACUAGGGAUGACAAUGGGGGCGGGUGACGGCAAUGGGGGCGGGUGACCGCGGGCACCCGUCCCGCGGGGGGCUAAUGGGGAGAGGGAUGGGGCCGGGGCGGGGGGUAGGGGAGUGUACCCCCGCCCCAUCCCCCGUCCCGCUACCCGCUUUAAAAAAAUAAAUAUAUAAAAUAUAUAUAGGUAUAUAAUUAUAUAUAUAAUAUAUAAUUUAAUUGGUUACAAACUUAUGAUAAUAAUAUUAUUAGUUAUAUGUAUUAUAUGAUGUCUAUUAGUAUAAAUAAUAUAAUUGAUAUUAUUAAUUAUACUAAUAAUUAUAUAUGUGUACUCAUACAAAUUAUUAAUUGGUUAUACUAAAUUUACUAAUACAUUUAUACUAAAUCCCUAAUUACACUUAAUACAAUAACAUUAUUUUCAUAAAAAAAACACAACCACAAUAAUGAAUUAGUGAUUGUAUUUGUACCAAAAGUGAAAAUUUGAUUACUUUAGUUAUAUUUUUUUCAUCAUGUUGGAUUGUAUUCAAAUAAUUUUUGUUUGAUUGUUUUUAUAAGUUUCAAUUGUAAAAUUGCAAUGAAUAAUAAUUUGAUGAUGUGUUGAUAUUUUAGUACUUGAUUAUUUGCUAAAAUUUAAUCAUAAUAAAAUUAUAUAACAAAUUUUUAUUAGCUCAGCGGGAGCACCCGCCGGAGAAGCGGGGCAGGGUGGGGACGGGGCGAGGGAAGCGGGGGAUGGGGGAGGGGUCCCCCGCCCCAACCCUCUUCCCCAUCUCCCGCCCCGUUGCCAUCCCUAACCUCUACUAACUUAUUUAAGGUCAUUUUAUAUCACUAUCCAAAGAAGAAUUAAGGUCAUUUUAUAUCACUAUCCAAAGAACAAUUCUUGGGCGUUAACAUUUUUCUUACAUGCCAAGACUAUUAAUGAAAGUUGACCCAAAUCUCUCUCUCUCUUUCUCUCAAUUCUUAGGACUGAUGCCAAUUCUUACCAUUUAGAAAGAAAAAUUAGAUUGUUUAUAUAUAUGAUGAGUUCCCUCUAAGUCAUGGUUAAGAAAAAUUCUUAGUUAGACGCAGUUUUAUGAAAUGUGAAUUUCCUUUUCUUUGUCUUUAUUCGUUAGUAUUAUUGGGGUUAUUGUAUUAUGAUUGCAAUGCACAGAUACAUGGAUUUUUGACAUUUUUUUCUCAUUUUUUCUUUUUAAUUGACUCUGACUAUGUCUCAAACUCGAGACAUCAAACCUGGAGAAGACUUUUGUCCAAAAUGCUUGUAAAAAUUCAGAAGAAUAAUGUUGGACCUUAUUAUUUAAUAAUGGUGCAAUUAUGAGAGUCAUUCCUGGUUUAAUUAUCAACAUCAUGUCAUUAUUAUUUUUUUGUUUCAUAGAAAAAUAAAGUAUUCUCCGACUCGACAUUAUCAUAUUAUUUUCAAUUGGCAGCUUUAAGUGAGAAAGGCCGGUGAAAAUUUUGGGCAUUACUAGUUUAUUUAGGCCUCACGCGCUCCGUGAAGGUGCCGACGUCAUCUUCGUUUUAAUGGAAAAAUUUGAGCGCGCUUUGAUCAUAAGGAAUUCACAAUCAUCGGGCCAACAAAGAAAGCACUAAAUGGUUAAAACAAACCAUGCAAAUUUGCUCAGCACUUAAACAAUAGACUCCUAAACCGACCAUUUUACUGUCUUGCCAAAAAAGGGCAUUAAAGUAAAAACAACCCAUGCCUAACACAACUAACAAACUUCAGCACCUUCACUUCACUGCCACGUCAUCAACAACAUCUGUAAAUUUCCAAGGAAGUCCACGCACUAAAGGUGCCAUGGGGGACCUCAGGUUAGUGUUCUUAACAUCAACUCCUGUCUUUAUAUUCUUAGGAAAUAUUGAAAUUAAACAUUAUAACUAAUCCUGAUUUCCUUAUGCUGUAUUUGUACACAAUUUGGCAACUUGAUAAAAAGUUUGUUCCAAUUUAUUCCAAUUUAAUUUGUCAGCUAGUCGAAUCUAAUUUGAAUAGUAUUUAACUUUGAAAUUUGAUAAAAAGUUUGUUCAAACUUGGUUUACUAAAUAAACAAGUUAAGUUUGAACAAAAUUUCAAACUUAUUAAAAUAAUUAAAUACGUUUGAAUACUAGGGUAUUCAAUUUAAUUAGACUCGUUUGCACCCAUAAUUAAAGCAUGCACUUUUUUAUAAAUUUAGGAAUCAACAUUAUCUAUUUGAUAGCUAGCUAAUGGCCCAAAAAGUUAAUUGCCUUAAAUUCUUUUAGCAGCCAUAAAGUAUAGUUGGAGGGAUUCCCUUGAAAUUGAUUAGAUUCUUCUAUGUGACUGUGACGUAUUACUAGUCCUACCCAAAAAAAAAUGGUAUUACUAGUCCUUUUUUCUUUUUGUGGCGUGCCACCGCCGUAGGGGGCGGGGAGGGCAGUCAGUGCGAGAAUUCUAGAUGGGGUAGAAGUAGCCAAAGUUCACCUUAUUCAAAGUAAACAACCGACAAUCUCAGUUGUCGACUUUCCUGUCGAUUGCGUAUAUAUUACUAUCUUUUACCAUGACUUUAGAGGAUACCUAAUUUUGCUUGCUAUUAAAUAAUAAUUCCUGGCACCACAUAAUUCUUUCAAGAACUACCAAAACCUUCUUGAAAUCCCUCUUUUUCCUUUUAGUUCAUUUCCAAGAAACAAAUUGAACCAUCAUGGCCCCUGUCACUUCCAGUUAUGAGGUCACCUCCUCAAUCCCUCCUGCAAGGUUGUUCAAGGCCACCAUCCUUGAAGAGAAGCAUCUUCACAAGAUCUUGCCACAGGGCGUUAAGAGUGUCGAAAUCCUUGAAGGAGAUGGUGGAGUUGGCACAAUUAAGUUGACCACAUUUGUUGAAGGUAAGAUAUCAAUACAAAGUGAUUAUUUUCACACAUUUGAAGUCCUCAAAAUGUUCUUUUUUUUUUUUAACAUUUUAUUUGUGGGGGUAAGUAUGUAUGUAAGCCCUAAUAACCUUUUUUUUUUUGUUGGGUUAAAUAUUUAGGUGGCGAGCUUAAGACUGCCAAACAGAGAGUUGAUGGAAUUGACAAAGAAAAAUUUACAUACAGUUAUACUGUACUUGAAGCUGAUGGAUUUAACGAUGUAAUCGAGAAAAUCUGUUGUGUCAUCAAAUUUGAACCCUCUGCUGAUGGAGGUUCAAUCUGCAAAACCACUAAUACAUACUACCCCAAAGGUGGUGCUCAGAUCAGUGAGGAACACCUCAAGGGAGGAAAAGAGAAGGGUUUGGGAAUGGUUAAGGCUGUUGAGGCUUACCUCCACGCAAAUCCUACUGCCUACAACUAAUUAAAAUGAAUGCUACUGAAGGACUCUUCGACAUAUUUUCUUCAAGAUUGAAGUAUAAACUGAGGGUGUCUGUUUCCUUUUUUGCUUGGUUUGCUUAAGCUGUUUGGUUAAGUUAUUCGCAGCAAGAGAAUAAAAUAAUUCACUUGCUGUUUUUAGAUAUGAAUUCAUGACUGUCAGUAGUCUAUAAAUACACUUAUUGCUCACCGCUCUUUGCACCGCAAAAUCUUUUCAAGAUCCAUCAAACCCUCCUGUUCUUGAUCUUUCUCCAUUUGUGAAAAAACAAAUUAAAGCAUCAUGGCCCCGAUCACUUGUAGUGCUGAGAUGACCUCCCCAAUGCCUCCUGCAAGGUUGUUCGAGGCCGCCAUCCUUGAUGACCACCUUCUUCCCAAGAUCAUGCCACAGGCUAUUAAGAGUGUGGAAAUCCUUGAAGGAGAUGGUGGAGUUUGAACCAUUAAUUUGAGCACAUUUGGUGAAGGUUAGAUGUUAUAUUAAAUGUAGAACCCCAAAUUUAAGGAUCGAAUAAUAAUCAACGCAUGUGGGGUUAUAGAAUUGAAGGGAUAAAACAAAUACUCAAAAUAUACGUGAAAGAAAAGAAAAUAAUAAAUUCAACUUACAAUAUUAUUAAAUUUUCAAACAAUGGAAAAAAUCAUACCACAAUAAAUUCAGCUGGUUCUAAUAAUAAUCAAAGCAUACAAGGUUACAGAAUUAAAAGGAUAAAACAAACGCUCAAAAUAUAUGUGGGAGAGAAGAAAAUAAUCAAUUCAACACACAAUAUUAUUGAAAUCUCAAACAAUGAAAAAAGUCACACCAUAAUAGAAAACCUUGCUUAUUCUUCUAGAUUCUUUCUCUUGAGAGACCAACCUAAAUAAUGUCCUAUUUAUAAUCUACCAAACUUGUUAAGAAAGAAACCACUUGCAUAAGAAAUUACGAAAUAAAUUAGAAAUUCCUAAAUCACACAACUACUAAAAACAUAACUCAAAUAAAACUAAAAAAUAAAUAAAUAUUUCUAGGCUUAGUUUAAUUUGUCAACAUUGCCUCCCUUAAACCAAAUUAUUCAUUGAGAUAGGUUCAACACCAUCUCGAGCAAUAAUUUCUAUGCAAAUCUAUGUUGUAGUACAUUUGACAUGAAACUCUAACUUGUUACCAGUUAUUAAUUUCAUUUUUACACGUAACAAUGGACGCACUAUAUAUUUUGUAAAAAAUUUCUCAGCAAUUUCUUCUUGAUCAAAGUACUCAUUUAUACAAACCCAUUCGUCACCAGAAUCACCAUAUUUACCACCAAUGUAAGUGCCUAAAAUUAAAAAAUCAUAGGUUGCUUUCUCGCUAAAGUUAUCAUCACCAAAUAAUUCAAAAUAACCACUACUACAAUUAUCCAAAAUUUUCAUACUGUCAGUCAACUCUUUUGGAGUAAAAUAUUUUUCAACUCCGAUGACAUCCAUAUCUAUCAAAUCAAACAUUCUCCCAUCACUUUGAAGAGAGUCCGAACCAACAAAUUUUUCAACAACAAUUUCAUGUUCUCUUCUUUUAUCAAAUCAAAAUUUUCUUCUUCUUUUGUCAAAUUACCAUAUUAUUUUUUUCAACAAAUUCAUUACUUCUAAUUUCUCCAAACAAGGUAUGCAAAUCAAAACUAUCAAUUGAUUCAAAAUUUUCGAUAUCACCCAUAUUAUGAACAAAUCUAUCAUUUUUAAAAUCCACAAACCAAUACCAACAACUAGACUUCAGUUUGAAAGCAUAAUUUCUCUCAAUCAUGUGCAAAACAUAGUAAAUAUCCUUCCAAAAUCUCUAAAGUAUUUUAGUAUGACCAAUAAAGGUUCUAUAAAUACUUUCUGCCAUUAUUUUACGCAUCACUUGAAAGAAUAAUUGUGCCUUUUUCUUAAAAACAUGUUUUGACAACUUACUUGCAUCAACCCAACAAAGAAUAUCAUCCAAAUUGCAUUGCUUGACAUAUUUUUCCACUGUUAAAAUCCAAUUAAAAUAUGUAUGUCUAUUUGUGCUUAUAGGAGUCAAUAUGAAAAAUUUUUCACCGUCAAUUAGAUCUUUAUAAUAUUCCAUUAUUUAACAAUUUCUAUACCUGAAUAAAUUUUUUUCCUCCAUCCUGUCAUGUUUUCUUGGCCUCCCUGGUUGACUAACCAAAUUAUUGUUGUAUGUAUACCCAUGCUCGUCAAACCUCAUUCGUGUACACUCGUAAGGAGUGGUUCUGAGCUUAUUGUGAAUGCUUAGUACCAAGAAGUAGAAGAGAGAAUGCAUAAGAGAGAAUUAACUUGGCUAAAGAAUUAGGAAACAAUUGAGGGAUUUUUUAAGAAAUUAAUUCUCCAACCGCCACUUUUGGAUCUUUUCUAUCUACAACUAGUUACCAAAACACUAGCACAUAGUAAGAAAUCGGGAUAAUUUCAGAAACCUCCCUUGAGGCUUUUAAUAAUCUCAAGAAGCUCCCCUCAAUAUUUUAAAAUUACACGUACCUUCCCUAUUGGAGCAAAAGUACUCUACUACCCCUAAUAGGAUACUCAAAAGACUUUUUUUAUGGGAAAAAAGAACCUCAGAAAUCCAAGCGAAAGCAAAAAAAUCAAUUUAUUUUCUCUUUUAGCCUUUAACGCUUUUGCCUUCUACCUUUGCUCACUUUCCCAUGCCAAUCUUCCUAUAACCACUUUCCCAAUCCCCUUUCCCCAACUUUUCUCCUCUACUUCAAGACUAAUUUUUGUCCAUCAAUCCUGGCUUGUGCUUUGUUCCAUUCCCUUCCCUUCUCCUUCUUUGAUUUCCCCUACAUCGCCCUUUCUCUUUGCAAAAGUGACUAGGCUCAUCUCUCUCUUUUUUCCCCUUAUUCUAAGUGUAGUGGGUUUGAUUAUUUUGCAUCUAUUUUAUUUGGUUUUGGUUGAUUAUGGGUGAUAAAACUUGGUGAUGUCAAAUAUCAAAAGUUUGAUAGAUGGAUAUUGGGCUUUAGACAAUGAUUUGCUAGAAAAAAAUGGCUGCAAUGAGAGGAAAAGGCAAGGGGAUUUGAAUGUGGGGUUGAUUGUUGAUGAAUUGUUGUUUUGGACAAAAUUUGAGGUUGAGUUUUGUCAAAUUUGGUAGCAAGUGGCGAGAUUUGUUCAGGUUUCGGGAAAUAAAUUGGAUUGUGGUUUCUUGGGCACCCACAGUUGUUGGAAUUGGUUUUGAUUCAAAUAAAGGUGGUUACUUGAUUUUCCUAAUAGUGUUGCUUAAGAGCACACGAUCAUCAAAAUUCCUUAUUUUUAUCUUUUUUUUUUUGUAGAAAAGAUUUCAUGACUUUCGUGAUAGUCUAAUUUGGAAGAAGGCAAUCAAGGGAUGCAAUCAACAUUUAGCAAAAGCUCUUGUUCUUUUCUUUCUAUUUUUUAGGGUAAAAAGGGUAGUUUAGGGUAUUUGAAGGAAAUGAUAGUCUAUUGGGUCUAUUUUGAAGCAUAAAUAGUGAACGUAAGGGAGGUUGGUGUAAUUUCUGAAACCUAAGGGGAAUUGUCUAAAUUGUCCGAGACCUCAGAGAAGGUUUUCGAAAUUAUCCCUAAGAAAUCAAAUGCGAAACUUGAUUAGUACACACACACACGACACUGCACCACGGCACGCGUGUGUUGAGAACUGAUGUCCGUAACCAACGACAAGCAGGUUUUCAAUUUUUUUUUCCUUUCCUGGAUUCUCCAGAGAUGGUGUCAGCUUCUAUUAUUGAUGAGCAGGAGGAAAUCCACAAUAUACAGUACACAUCACCCAUAUUCUUUUUAAUUGAACAAUGUAUGAAAUUAUGGUGAUUCGAAAUUAAAUUAUAUGUUUAUUGGGCAACGAAUCCAAAAUAAGAAUUGGAAAUGUAUUGUGGCAACAAUUGUUAACUUAGGCUACAAAUGAUCAAAAUAAAUAUUUAAGAUUUAAUAUGACAUUAUGGGUUCAAAAUAUAGUUACUUGUUAUGAAACAACUAAAAGUGUGGAUGUCCAUUUGUAUUCUCAAGAGGAUCAAUUCAUAAUUCAUUGCUCCCAAGAGGAUUAAUUCAUAAUUCAUUGCUACAUUAUGUGAAGGAAUUACAUUAGAUGAACGGUUUCAAUCCAUAAGAGCUAUUCAUGUAUUGGAUGAACCGUUUCACAUGGCUAUUCAUGUUCUUGUAGUAAUAAGUAUUUAAUAGAAUUGAUGUAUGUUUAAUUUUGUAGUACCUAUAUAUAGAGGUACCUUGGCACCUCUUGGCUGUCCUUUUUGAUUAAUUUGAAUAAUAAGAAAAUCAUUCUCUAUUUCUAUACUUCUUUCUCUAAUAUUUCAAUUCUUAUUAUAGUAGUUCAUUAUUUUUUUAGUUUUACAACACGUUAUCAGCACGAGUCUCUAUUUUUGAAUAAAAAACUGAAAAUGGAGCCUAUACCUUAAAAAAAGCAAAAAAUGUGAUUCUGCUGAAAUUCUGCAUGUAUUUUUCCGGCAACUUCUAUCUACUUAUUGAGAAAUGGAUGCCAAAUAUUUGGGAUUAAAUAAUGGUGAUGAUGACAUUUGUCUCAUUGAUUGUACUACUACGCACACUAUAUUGAAAAAAAAAAUUCUUGUAUGAAAAUGGGAGAGACAAAUGUUAAUACCAUAAGUGGUAGUGCAAAAUUGAUUGAAAGUUCUGGAAGAGCCACUCUAUUUCUUCCUGAAAGGACUAAAAUUGUCGUAAAUAAUGCACUACUAUCUCUCAAGUCUUGAAGAAAUUUAUUCAGUUUUAAAGAUAUCUGCGAAAAAUGGAUAUCAUAUCGGGACAAUAAAUGAGACAAAUGGAGAAUUUUUAUUAAUCACAAAUAUCAUUUCUGAGCAGAAAUACGUAGUAGAAAAAUUACCUUCUUUUUCUUCUGGCUUAUAUUAUGCACAAAUUAGUGCAAUUGAAAUUUAUCACCUAGGAGACCAGAAUUCUACUCAUCCCAAUAAUUUUAUGAUUUGGUAUGAUUGUCUCGAAAAUCCUAGAUAUAUAAUGAUGAGGCAAAUAAUUGAGAAUUCACAUGGUCACUCAUUGAAAAAUCAAAAGAUAUUAAAAGCAAAUAAAUUCUCUUGUGUUGCUUGUUCCCACGGAAAAUUAAUUAUUAGACCAUCACCAGUAAAAGUUGGGACUGAAUCCUCUACAUUUCUAGAACGAAUUCAUGAUGAUAUAUGUGGACUUGUAGAUCCACCAUGUGGACCAUUUCGAUAUUUUAUGGUGCUAAUUAAUGCAUUAACUAGAUGAUCACAUGUAUGUUUAUUAUCUACUCGCAACUUGGCGUUUGCGAGAUUGUUUGCUCAAAUAAUUAAAUUGCGAGCACAAUUUUCAAACUAUCCAAUAAAGAAAAUUCAUCUAGAUAAUGCUGGUGAAUAUUCGUCACAUGCUUUUGACGAUUAUUGCAUGUCCAUUGGAAUAACUGUUGAACAUCCUGUAACUUAUGUUCACAUUCAAAAUGGUUUAGCCGAAUCAUUUAUUAAAUGGCUAUAAUUAAUUACUAGACCAUUGUUGAUGAGAUCUAAACUUCCUUCAUUUGCUUGGGAACAUGCUAUAUUACAUGUAGCAAUACUUGUGAGAAUUAGAUCGACAAGUUAUCAUACUUAUUUUCCCCUAUAAUUAACUUUUGUUUUUGAGUCCAAUAUUUCUCAUUUACGAAUAUUUGGUUGUUCGAUUUAUGUUCUAAUUAUACCGUCCCAACAUCGUAAAUUAGACCCGCAAAGAAGAUUGGGGAUAUAUGUUGAGUAUGAAUCACCUUUAAUUAUUAAGUAUAUGGAACCAUUGACAGGUGAUUUAUUUACUGCGAGAUUUGCAGAUUGUCAUUUUGAUGAAUCACAUUUUUCGACAUUAGGGGGAGAUAAAAAUCAACCGAAAAAGAAAAUCACUUGAAAAAUAUCUUUGAAUUUCCUCGAUUCUCAUACCAAAGAAUGUGAACUAGAAGUUCAAAAGAUUAUACAUUUGCAAAAAAUUACAAAUCAAUUACCGGACGCAUUUAAUGACUCCAGAAAAGUUACUAAAUCACAUAUUCCUAUUGCAAAUGCUCCGAUUAAAUUAAUGUCUUUGAAGGACAAAUUACAAAUGUUAACGAGUCUAAAGCGUACCUAAAGCGUGGAAGACCUCUUGGUUCCAAAGAUAAAAAUUCUCGAAAGAAAAGAGGAGUAGAUGAAUCAACAAUUAGUGACAAAAUUCAACUUCCUGAAGAGGUCGCUCCUAAAGAGCCAAUUCUUGAAGAGAAUGAAAUUAUAGAAAAUUCAUUAAAUUUUGUCAUUUCAGGAAAAAGUUAGAAUCGAAAAGAAAUAAUUAUUGAUAGUAUUUUUGCAUAUAAUAUACCACUUGAUAUUAUGGUAGAGAAUAAGGAUCACGAGCCUAGAUAGGUUGAUGAAUGUCGACGUAGAAAUAAUUGGGCAAAAUGGAAAGAUGUGAUCCAAUCUGAAUUGAACUCACUGGUUAAAAGAAAAGUUUUUGGACCUGUAGUCCAAACACCUGAAGGUGUAAAGCCAGUAGGAUAUAAAUGGAUAUUUGUGAAAAAAAAAAUGAGAAAAAUGAAAUCGUGAGGUAUAAAGCAAGACUUCUAGCCCAAGAAUUUUCACAAAGGCUUGGAUUUGAUUAUGAUUACACGUAUUCACCUGUAGUGGAUGCUAUCACAUUUAGAUAUCUUGUGAGUUUUGCAGUACAUGAAAAAUCAGAUAUGCAUCUAAUGGACGUCGUUACUGCAUAUUUAUAUGAAAAUCUUGAUAAUGAUAUUUAUAUGAGAAUCCCCGAAGGAUUCAACAUGCCUGAAGCAUACAAAUCAAAUCCUAAAGAUAUUUAUUCUAUUAAAUUACAAAGAUUUUUGUAUGGGCUUAAACAAUCUGGACGUAUGUGGUACUGCCUCAAUGAAUGUUUAACUAAAGAAGGCCAUACCAAUGAUCCAAUAUAUCCAUGUGUCUUUAUCAAGAAAAAUGGAUCAAAUUUUGUGAUAAUUGUUAUAUAUGUUGAUGAUUUAAAUCUGAUUGAAACUCUUGAAGAGAUUAGUGUUGAAUAUUUGAAGAAGAAAUUUGAGAUCAAAGAUUUUGGAAAAACAAAAUUCUGCCUUAGUUUACAAAUUAAGCAUUUGAAAAGUGAAAUUUUUGUCCACUAAACUGCUUAUACCCCGGAAGGUAUUAUAGCAGUUUUAUAUGGAUAAGGCACAUACAUUAAGUACCCCAAUGGUCAGAUCAUUAGAUCCUAAUAAGGAUCCUUUUAGACUGCGAGAGGAAGAUGAAGAGAUACUUGGUCCUAAAGUACCAUAUCCCAAUACAAUUGGUGCACUAAUAUAUCUUACUAAUUGUAGAAGACCUGAUAUAUCAUUUGCAAUAAAUUUAUUAGCAAGAUUUAGUUCCUCGCCCACAAGACGACAUUAGAAUGGUAUUAAACAUAUUUUUCGUUAUCUCCAAGGAACAAUUGAUCUUGGUUUAUUUUAUUCAAAUAAAUCUAAGCUUGAAUUGCAUGAUUAUGCUAAUGCUGGAUAUUUAUCUGACCGGUAUAAAGCAAGAUCUCAGACUGGUUAUCUAUUUAUACAUGGAGGUACAGCCAUUUCUUUGCGAUCUACAAAGCAAUCGUUAGCCGCCACUUCAUCGAAUCAUGCUGAAAUAAUAGCAAUUCAUGAGGCUAGUCGAGAAUGUGUUUGGUUAAGAUCAAUGACCCACUAUAUCCGUAAGAGUUGUGGGUUAUCCUCCGAAAAAGAAAAUCCUCCAACUAUAUUAUAUGAAGAUAAUGUAGCUUAUAUAACUUAAUUGAAAGGAGAAUAUAUUAAAGGAGAUAGAACAAAACAUAUUUCACAAAAAUUCUUUUGUACUCAUGAUUUACAAAAGAAUGGUGAAAUUUAUGUGCAACAAAUCCGAUCAGAUAAUAAUUUGACAGAUUUAUUUACCAAUGCAUUGCCAACUGUAAUAUUUGAGAAAUUGAUGAAGAAUAUUGGAAUGCGACAAUUAUAAGAUCUCAAAUGAUAUUUGCAUCAGGGGAAGAAAUCAAUACACAAAAAUAGUGUACUAUUUUUCCAUCACUAGGGUUUUCGUCCCAUUGGAUUUUUUCCUAAUAAGGUUUUAAUGAGGCAUAUUCUUUAUGUAAUGGACAUCCAAUGGGGAGUGUUAUGAAACAACUAAAAGUGUGGAUGCCCAUUUGUAUUCUCAAGAAGAUCAAUUCAUAAUUCAUUGCUCCCAAGACGAUUAAUUCAUAAUUCAUUGCUACAUUAUGUAAAGGAAUUACAUUGGAUGAACGGUUUCAAUCCAUAAGAGUUAUUCAUGUAUUGGAUGAACCAUUUCAUAUGGCUAUUUAUGUUCUUGUAGUAAUGAGUGUUUAAUAGAAUUGAUGUACGUUUAAUUUUGUAGUACCUAUAUAUAGAGGUAUCUUGGCACCUCUUUAGUGUACUUUUUGAUUAGUUGGAAUAAUAAAAAAAUCAUUCUCCAUUUCUGUACUACUUUCUCUAAUAUUUCAAUUCCAAUUAUAGCAGUUCAUUUUUUUUUUUGGGUUUACAACAUUACUCAAAGAAGAGAGUUAUUGGACUAUAUGUUUAUUGACCUCUACUAACUUAUUUAAGGUCAUUUCAUAUCACUAUCCAAAGAAAAAUUCUUGGGCGUUAACAUUUUUCUUACAUGCCAAGACUAUUAAUGAAAGUUGACCCAAAUCUCUCUCUCUCUUUCUCUCAAUUCUUAGGACUGAUGCCAAUUCUUACCAUUUAGAAAGAAAAAUUAGAUUGUUUAUAUAUAUGAUGAGUUCCCUCUAAGUCAUGGUUAAGAAAAAUUCUUAGUUUUAUGAAAUGUGAAUUUCCUUUUCGUUGUCUUUAUUCAUUAGUAUUAUUGGGGUUAUUGUAUUAUGAUUGCAAUGCACAGAUACAUGGAUUUUUGACAUUUUUUUUCUCAUUUUUUCUUUUUAAUCGACUCUGACUAUGUCUCAAACUCGAGACAUCAAACCUGGACACGACUUUUGUCCAAAAUGCUUGUAAAAAAUCAGAAGAAUAAUUUUGGACCUUAUUAUUUAAUAAUGGUACGAUUAUGAGAGUCAUUCCAGGUUAAUUAUCAAACUUGUAACUUGAAAAUAAUGUCGACAUCAUGUCAUUAUUAUUUUCUAGUUUCAUAGAAAAAUGAAGUAUUCUCCAACUCGACAUUAUCAUAUUAUUCUCAAUUGGCAGCUCAUGUGAGAAAGACAAGAAAUUCACAAUCAACUGGCCAAGAGAGUGCCAACAAAGAAAGCACUAAAUGGCUUAAACAAAGCAUGCAAAUUUGCUUAGCACUUAAACAAUAGACACCUAAAUCAACCAUGUCACUGUCUUGCCAAAAAAGGGCAUUAAAGUAAAAACAACUCAUGCCUAACACAGGUAACAAACUUCAGCACCUUCACUUCACCGCCACGUCAUCAACAACAUUUGCAAAUUUCCAAGGAAGUCCACGCACUAAAGGUGCCCAUGCCCUUAGGGGACCUCAGGUUAGUGUUCUUAACAUCAACUCCUGUCUUUAUAUUCUUAGGAAAUAUUGAAAUUAAACAUUAUCACUAAUCCUGAUUUCCUUAUGCUAUAUUUGUACACAAUUUGGCAACAAGGUUGUCCUUUUUUGGGCCAAAUUGGACAAGUAAAAAAAAGAAAAUUAAAAGGUUUAUCUGCAAACUGUAGUUCGGCCUGCCUCUUUUUUUUUUUUUUUUGGGGAUAAGAUCGUCAUGUAUCAAUAUUUCUGUACUUAGCAUUGGCUUCUUCUCGCCUGAAGAACACACGAACCACCGGAUGAAAGUGGUGAAUGAAAGUGCACUUAACCCUUUUAAUUUUUCAAAACAAUGCUUUUAGAAAAAAUAAUAAAGACUUUUUUGAAUUUAAUUUUAGAGAAGAAGAAUUUUAAACUUUUUUGAAUUUAAUCUUACAGAAGAAGAAGUUUAAAAUGUACUUUAAUUUUCACAACUGAUGAUGAGAAUAGCAAAAUGUAUACGGACGGUGACAAAAGUGCCGUCUUAUCCUUUUGCUGACGGCCCGUUUUCCAAUGAGAGGAUGCCUCUGCUUCGUAUUUUAUCCAUAUUGAUAUAUAUUCUUUUCUGUCCCCCUAACUAUUAAAUGUGAAAGGUUGCCCACCAAAUUUGACGAAACCGUUUAUCCUAAUUGAUUAUUAUCCAUAGGGCAUAACUUUAAUAUUCUUCUUCCAACCCGUCCGUCAAUGACCACUAACCACCUCUAAUCUAUUCUCAAAUUUUAAUGAAAUUGCGCAAUUAGUUUUCAUUUCUCACUUUUAUUUCAAAUUUGGUCUCAAUUUAAUGUGAAUCCCAAUAAAUAAGACCGGAGUUGAAAUCAAAGAACGUAUUUCAAUCACCAUCGGAUAAAUUCUUCAUGUCUAGUUUUGUCCUUGAGAUGCAUAGAAAAUGUAAGCUGAUCUUGCAGUCUACGAGAAAAACGAAGUCUAAGAGAAUAAUUUUGUCAAAACUUGACAAUGGAAUGAACCGGUGGUCGCUGGUUGGCAGCUGCUAGAAGUCAUAGCAGUUUUAAAACAUAAUUGCAGCAAGUAAAAGAUUAAAACUACGUUGUGUACUGUUAACGACUUACAUUGACAAAAUGGUUAAGGACAGAGUUGAAAGAUGAAUCAAACUGUUCGACAUUCGAUUCGAAUUUGACUUGGUAAAAACUUAUUCCAAUUUGAUUUGUCAGCUAGUCAAAUCUAAUUUAAAUAGUAUUUAACUUUGAAACUUGAUAAAAAGUUUGUUCAAACUCAGUUUACUAAAUAAACAAGUCAAAUUUGAACAAAAUUUCAAACUCAUUAAAAUAAUUAAAUACGUUUGAAUACUAGGAUAUUCGAUUUAAUUAAAUGCGAUUGCACCCCUAAUUAAAGCAUGUACUUUUUUUAUAAAUUUAGGAAUCAACAUUAUACAUUUAAUAGCUAGCUAGAGGGUCAAAAAGUUAAUUGCCUUAAAAUUCUUUUAGCAGCCAUAAAGUAUAGUUGGAGGGAUUCCCUUGAAAUUGAUUAGAUUCUUCUAUGUGACUAAAGAAUUUCGGGUGUGACGUAUUACUAGUCCUACCCUAAAAAAAAUGGUAUUACUAGUCCUUUUUUUCUUUUUUAGCGUGCCCCCGCCGUGGAGUGUGGGGAGGGUGGUCUGUGCGAGAAUUCUAGAUGGGGUACAAGGUGCCAAAGUUCACCUUAUUCAAAGUAAACAACCUUCCAUCUCAGAUGUUGAAUUUCCUGGCAAUUGCGUAUAUAUUACAAUCUUUUACCAUGACUUUAGAGGACAGCUAAAUUUGCUUGCUAUUAAAUAAUAUUUUCGGUAGUCUAUAAAUACUCUUGGUCCUAACUGCUUCUUGCACCACAUAAUUCUUUCAAGAACUACCAAAACCUUCUUGAAAUCCCUCUUUUUCCUUUUAGUUCAUUUCCAAGAAACAAAUUGAACCAUCAUGGCCCCUGUCACUUCCAGUUAUGAGGUCACCUGCUCAAUCCCUCCUGCAAGGUUGUUCAAGGCCACCAUCCUUGAAGAGAAGCAUCUUCACAAGAUCUUGCCACAGGGCGUUAAGAGUGUCGAAAUCCUUGAAGGAGAUGGUGGAGUUGGCACAAUUAAGUUGACCACAUUUGUUGAAGGUAAGAUAUCAAUACAAAGUGAUUAUGUUCACAAAUUUGAAGUCUUCAAAUUGCUCACUUUUUUUUUCUUUUAUUUGGGAAAAGCUAAUGACUUUUUUUUUUUUUUUUGGUUGGGUUAAAUAUUUAGGUGGCGAGCUUAAGACUGCCAAACAGAAAGUUGAUGGAAUUGACAAAGAAAAAUUUACAUACAGUUAUACUGUACUUGAAGCUGAUGGAUUUAACGAUGUAAUCGAGAAAAUCUGUUGUGUCAUCAAAUUUGAACCCUCUGCUGAUGGAGGUUCAAUCUGCAAAACCACUAAUACAUACUACCCCAAAGGUGGUGCUCAGAUCAGUGAGGAACACGUCAAGGGAGGAAAAGAGAAGGGUUUGGGAAUGGUUAAGGCUGUUGAGGCUUACCUCCACGCAAAUCCUACUGCCUACAACUAAUUAUAAUGAAUGCUACUGAAGGACUCUUCGACAUAUUUUCUUCAAGAUUGAAGUAUAAACUGAGGGUGUCUGUUUCCUUUUUUGCUUGGUUUGCUUUAAGCUGUUUGGUUGAGUUAUUUGCAGCUAUGAUCAUAAUAUUUGAUCGAAGUGUGCUUUUCUUGCAACCUUUGUAUCGUUACAAGGAAUAAAAUCUUGUUUGGAGCUUUUACUUUGUUGUUUGCAAUGAAAUAAACUAUUUUGGGUUCAAUUUCAUAUAGAGUGAA